GUUCUUGAGCUCCUUCACUUUCAGCUCAGCAAAUGCCUCUGGGUCAUCAGCCAGACCCAAUGGGUCGAAGCUACCACCAGGGUAAAGUGGGUCAACUACCUCACCAAGAGGUCCACCAGCAAUUCUGUAACCUUCAACUGCACCCAUCAAGAUCACUUGGGUAGCCCAGAUGGCUAAAAUGCUUUGUGCAUGGAUCAAACUUGGGUUCCCCAAGUAGUCAAGACCACCCUCACUAAAGAUCUGGGAUCCAGCCUUGAACCAGACAGCCUCACCAAACUUGACACCAUUACGCGCCAAGAGUUCGGGGAAGACGCACCCAAGAGCUCCGAGCAUGGCCCAUCUGCUGUGGAUGACCUCAAGCUCACGGUUCUUGGCGAAUGUUUCAGGAUCAGCAGAGAGCCCAGCAGUGUCCCAACCGUAGUCACCGGGGAACUCACCGGUCAGGUAAGAUGGGGCUUCGCCGGAGAAUGGGCCAAGGUACUUAACACGGUCGGGGCCGUACCAUGGACUUCCUGAUGGUGCGACUUUCUUGACUGCUGUCUUCCUCAUGGAAACCCUUCCAUUUCCGGUAAUUUCAGAACCAGAUGGUGCUACUUUCACCGCCUGUCCGACGAAAGAAGAGGAUAGUGCCAUGGUGGAAGCUGCCAUUUUUGUGAGAUUUGUUUUGAAGAUGUUUUGAUGAUAUGAUAGUAUUAUGAGUGAUGAAGAUGUGUGGAUCUGGAACGUAGAUUUAUAGGGUGGUUUUUGGGCCAGGUAGUUGAUCAAUGCUUAUCUUGAUACACUCUUUAACUUCAUUUUGAUUGGCUACCAAGAUUUUAGUUCUAUCAGAGGGUAUAUAAUUUGUGUGGUUCAAGUUCUCUGGUCCACGGGAGAUAUUUGAAGGGGCAGCGAUAUUCAUGGCUCUGGCUUAUUGAGCGAAUAUAAUGGCUCGCAUUCUCAGCCACUAGCUAGUCUUGGUGGGGUUUUAGCCAGUCUUUGUGCGGUUUUUCAUGUUUAACCAUUACCAUAGUAUCGACUAAGUUUAGUCCAAACAUGCAUUGAAGUUCAGUAGAUUUGUAUUAUCAUUUUGUUUUUUAUACAAAUUUAUCAUUUUCGUACAUAAUAUAAACUCUAGGAAAAUUAAAUAGAAUAUAUUUUGAGAUAUUGACAACAUUGACCAAAUAAUAAAAAAACGUAACACACCAUUCUAAAAAAUAACAUAUAACCAUGAUGUCCGAAAAAAAUAUAACAUAUAACCAUGAUUUUCGAAAAACAAAAUUCUUGAAGAUGUACAAUUUUCGAAGGUACUAUUUGGUGACUAAUUUUAAAAGAAGCCAUUUUCAAAAUGUAAUAUUCUCGAAGUGAUUAUUUCAGCUACUUAAGGUGAUGUUGAUUUCAAAUCUCUAACAUGACAAAAAGCUUCCCCAACAAAUCUGAAGCAUGGACAUUUCAACCUAAAGAUGGGUGAGGGAAGUUCUUUUAUUGAUCAUCUUUUGUUUUCUAACAGCUUGUAGAACAUCUAGAAAUAUUGGAUGCCACAUAUGAAAAAGAAGACUUGCCGUUGUUCCUAUUGUCAUCUUUAACAAAUUCAUAUGAUGACUUUUGUGAUAAUAUUAUCUAUAGCUGAGACACCAUUGUCUUGGAUGAGAUCAUGACCACUUUAGACUUGAACGAAAGGAUGAAACUUAUCAUUAGUGAUAGUAAUGGUGAUAUAAAGGACGAAGGUCUCCAAGUAAGAGGAAGAUAUAUGUAGGGAAGUAACGAUUCCAAAUCCCUUAACAAGUCAAGAUCCAAGUCCAAAGAGAAACGUAUAUAGUGCAAAUAUUGUGUGUCUGUUGAAGCUGAUGUGGCCGAGAUCGUCUUUGAUGGCGAGCUUCUAGAAUUAUUUCUGACGAUGGUUAUUUGAUUACCACGAACGGUGGGUUCUUGAAUUUGUGCGUGCUUUUCACAUGAGUCCAAACAAAUACUAUUGUCACACCACAUUGAAAAGGAUAGUUGAUGCCAAGUUUUAAUAGGCAACGUCGACACUUCCUCCCUUAUUUUAGGACAAGCCACAAUUAGAUUUUGAAUGUUCGAUGGUGUAGUAAGUGUUGGGUUUCUAUAACAUCAAGUACACACAAACAAGGUAGUGGAAACAAUGAAAUGAUAUACCUAAGUGCAUAUGCUCUUUAGAUCUAGGUUUUACUAGUUUUAGCAAAAUACUUAAAAAUCAACAUAAAAUAAAGAUAAAACACUUACUUUUUGUUCAUUUGUAACGUCAUAAUAAAUACUCUCUCCGUCCCAAAAUUAUUGUUCACAGACAAAAAAAAAACACACAGAUUAAGAAAACAUUAAUUACUACUAACUUUAUUCAAUAAAAUGACAGUUAUGUCCUUAUUUUGCAUUUAAUGUUCGAUUAAAUGCUUAGUUGGUUAAGUAAUAAUAAUAAAGUGUAUUUUGGUAAAAAAGUUAUUUAUUUUUAUAAGUGGACUAUAAUUUUAGGACAAACCAAAAAGGAAAGAUGGACUAUAAUUUUGGGACGGAGAGAGUAAUAAUUACUAAAAUAAAAUCCUAAAAUAGGAUAAUCUAUAGCCGUGCGCGCUGCGGACUAUAUAAUACAAGUUUCUUAUUAAGGAAAAAUAGGAAAAAUCACCCGAGUCGUCCGUAAGUCAUAAAAAUAAGUGUGCCAAAAUGUAUAUAUUAUUAUAUAUUCAAAAAGUACAUGUCGUCCUGAUCCCGAAAAUAUAAAUUUCGUAGAAAUCUUAGUUCAUAUGAAGACGAUAUGAAUUUUAUAAGACAUAAAAAUCAACAGCCUAACUAAAAAUUAUUAACGUCAAAAUGUACAAAGAGAAUGGUUGACCUUUGGGUAAAGUCACCAAAAUGAAAAUCAUAAUGCUCUUUAAUGUAAGAAUUUUGGUAAAAGAAACACAAAAACUCGGAGUCCGUAUGGGAAAGUUAUGAUUUUUGCAAAAUCAUUAAAUCAUAUAAAAAUAAGGGCUAAAAACAAAUUCAGAAUUAGCCGAUGGAGCCUAAAGGAAAGUUGUAGUAUUGUCGAGAGCUACAUGUGGAAAAAAAGAACGUCAAAAGCAGAGUCCGUAUGAAGAAGGUGAAAAUGCGACCCAAUGAGAGCUUGACACGUGACACAAUGUGGCUAGGGAGAAGUCACCUUAAAAUGCACGACGUACACCCCCAUUGCACACUGUGCACCCAAAAUCGGCUAUAAAUAGGAGGUCAAGCCUCAUUCACUCCUCAACACCGCUUCUAUCAUUCUCUUUCGAUUUCCUUUGGUUCUGGCCCAUUUUAUCUUAGUUUUAGCAUUCGGCGAAGCCCUGCGAUCCCUAAAGUAGUAGUAGUUAGCGAGUAGAAGCUUUGCCAAUGCAAUUUCCUAACUUUGUUAGGAAGAACCUUUGUAAGUUAAGCUAUACUCUAGUCUUUUCAAUGUAAGUUAUAUUUAUAGUCAUAAGUCAUUAUUAUGAACCUAUAAAUAAGAUUUAUCAAUAAUUCUAUGUCGUUAUACUGAUUGAUCUACUUACGGGAGAUGUGCCUAGAAUGGUCACGUUGGCUUGGUUGUUGGAUUUCAAAAAAGAUAAUGAUUCUGCCUCCCAACUGUCCUGCUUGGAUGAUCCUUAAUUGAUAGAUCUUGAUUUAGACAUCAAAAUUAAUGAGGAAUCUAGUCAUCAGGACCAUUAGACUAGAACUUUAUAUAAAUUAUACUUAGGUAUCGGAAAUAUCUGAGGUGUUAGGCAAAGCUCUGCCCAGAUCACCAGCCACCCACCUAAGUCAAGUGAGUACAUAGUCCCCUUCAUGAACACGAUUUAAUACAAGUAUUAAUUGAAAUAUUAAAAAUCUGCUGGAAGUCGUAUGUGAAUUAUAUACUUAUUGCCUGGAUUGUAUGUUAGGAUAUAUGGUGCUAUGUGCGAACUAGAUAUGGUUCUAUUUUAUGUUAAGAUAAAUAGAUAAUAUUACAUAAUAAUAUUCAAAGCAAAAUUGUUGAGAAGAUAAAUGAUUAAUAACACCUAAUACUCUUAUGGAAUAUAUAUAUAUAUAUAUACUAAGAUAGGUUAGUGUCGCCCAAGAAUAGAGUUGGUAUUAAAAAUUUAGUUUCAGGCACGGUAUUCUAUUCUAGGAAUAAACUUAGACUUAUGGAAGAUACCUAGUUCAAUUAAGUUGAUAUUAGAUAGUCUCAUUAGGAGAAUGUGCGUAACCUAGGAAUGGAGAGUAAAGUUUUGUUCCAUGACACUAUUAGGUGUCGAUUUGUUAUAGCUUCGUACUAGAUGACCAGAAAUGGUGGGUCCUGAUCAGGCAACUGUUAGCAGUAUGUCUAGUCACGCCACAUAGUAUUUUUGGAUUAGAUGUCCAAACCCAUAACUAUAAUUGGUAUAUACUUGACCCGAGAGUAGCAUGGUCCAUUUCAGGUUGCCUUCAUCAAAGCAAUUUGACAAGAUAGAUAUUUGAGAAAGAGGUUAUUUGUGAUUUACUAAUAUUAUAAGAAUAAUAUAUUAAUUAAGAAAUCAUAUUAUUUAAGUAGUAUUGUUCAAAAAUUAAUUUGGAAUUAAUUUAGUAAUCAAAAGAGACUAAUUAAAUUUGCAGGGACUGAUUAGGUAAAUCAGUGAUAUUUAUAGUUUGGGGCCUUUGGGCUAAUGAUCAAUGUUGAUUAGGAUUGGACUAAUUCUUUGUGAGAGUCCAUGAAGAGUUAGUCCAAAACGCUAAUGAGUUAUUGGAUUAAAAGCCCAAGUGAGUUAGGGUUUACAAGUUGAAUCCCUAGGAAUUCAUAACAUUAUUGAAGCAACAUACUAUUGAAUAAAAAAACUUCUAAACCCUAAUGGAAAUCACAAUUUUCAGAAGAAUUACAUACCUCUAAUUUGUUAUUGUAAGCAAACCUUUGAAUCCAACAAGAUCAAUCCAAAAGUCUCUUUGAAAACAAACUUCAAUUGUGAGCGAGCCUCUAAUGGUUCGCACUCACAAGACAAGAACCCUAGAAAGAUUAGGAGAGAGGUUCAAAUUUUUGGAUCUACUAUCUCAAUAGAAGUGGCCAAAAAUUUCAAGGUACAAGACCCUAUUUAUAGCUUAUUAGGAAACAUCUAGAAACCCUAAUUUGAACAUAAAAUAAAAUUAUCUCAAAUAAGUCAAUUAUUUAGUUUCUUGAUUAUCUGCAUGGAGGCUUCCUGAAACCUUAGUGGGUCUAAAAAAAAGGUCCACUGGAGGAAGGUUCUGGAAUCUCUCCUCUGCUCAACUCUUAAAACAAGUUUCGCUUUAGUCCUUCAACCUUUAAUUAAUUUUAAUUAACCAUAAAUUAAUUCCAAACCAAUUCUAAAUUAAUCAUAACUAUUUAUAAUUAAUAUAUUAAUCAUAUAAUAUAUUAAUAAAUCAUUUCUCUCUCUUCUAAAAUCAAUCUAAGCAAUUUCUUGGUUAUGAGGGCAACCCAAAAAGGACUUUGCUUUUAUUUAUCAACAUUAUAUCAAUUUAGUUUGGAUCUUAGACACCUUAAUCCAACAUAAGGUUCGUAAUACAUAUACAUGUUGUGUAUGUCCAUUAGCAAAACAAAAAUGAUUACCAUUUGUUUCUGCAAACAAUGUAUCUCAUACACCUUUUCAAUUGAUUCAUUGUGACAUUUGGGGUCCUUAUCAAAUCAAUUCACAUCGGGGUUAUAGGUUUAUCAUUACUAUUGUGGAUGAUUACACUAGAUUCACUAGGAACUAUUUGAUAAGACACAAAUCUGAGGCACAAUUUGUUAUUCCCCAUUUUUUUUUUUUAAAAAUGGUGCUCAAAUAAUAUCAUACUCAUAUAAAUAUUUUCAGAUCGGAUAAUGCAAAAGAACUUCAACUCAACGUGUUUUUUAAACUAAAUGGAGUAUUACAUCAGUUCUCGUGUGUUGAUAGACCACAACAAAACUUUGUUGUUGAGAGAAAACUUCAACAUCUCUUAAAUGUGGCAAUGACAUUGUUCUAUCAAGCUCACAUUCCUUUUAUAUGUUGGCUUGAAUGUGUUUCAACAAGUGCCUACAUGAUAAAUAGAACUCCCUCAAAAGUUCUUGGAAAUAUUUCUGCUUAUAAAAAUCUCUAUAAAGAAUAGCCUCAUUACUCAUAGCUUUGAAAUUUUGGUUGUUUACCUUUUGCAUCCACACUUCAUUCUCAAAGACAUAAGUUUGAUCAUUGAGCAAGAGCAUGUGUUUUCAUUAGAUAACCACAAGGAAUGAAAGCAUAUAGAUUUCUUGAUAUAGAAACAAAUCAAAGUUUUGUUUCUAGAGAUGUCAUAUUUCAUGAGGGGAUAUUUCCUUUUAAAUAAUGCUCGCCAUCUUCUCAUACAAAUCCAUUUAUCUUUCAUGUUUUGCCUAUACUUUUACCUAGAAUCACUCAUUCUUUUACUCCUUCAGAAAAUCUCAAUCAAUUUGAUUCCCAAAUUGAUACCUUACAAAUGAAAUUCCAAAUUCACAACCAAUAUUUCUAGACCACGAAGACAAAGAGCUCCUCCUUCAUAUCUUCAGGAUUUUCAGUAAUUUGAUAAAUCCAAUUCCAGAAGAAACAUCUAUCAAAUACCCAUUAUUUGUUGUAUUAUCUUAUUUACAUCUUUCUCCUUCUUACCAAGCAUAUACUUAUGCCUUAUCUACUCAAACUAAACCCACUUCUUUUAAAGAAGCCAUUCAACAACCUAAAUGAAAGCAAGCAAUUGAUGAAGAACGUCAUGCUUUAGAGUUAAAUAAUAGUUGAACCAUUGUAACCCUAUCUCUUGAUAGAAAACCUUUGGGCUGAAAACGGGAUUUUAAACUUAAAAAGAAGGUUGAUGGAUCCAUUGAAAUCCAUAAGGAUAUAAUGGUAGCAAUGGGCUAUAGUCAAUAAGGAGUGGAUUUUUUUGGAUACUUUCUCACUUGUGUAAAAUUUAGUCAUAGUCAAACAUUUGCUGCUAACAAAGCUUGGCCACUAAUCCAAUUAGAUGUUAAUAAGCUUUCCCAAAUGGGGAUUUAAAUGAAGAGGUUUAUAUGCACUUACCACAAGGAUAUACUCCAUCUUUGUUUCUAAUUCCAGUGGAAAAUUAGUCUGCAAUUUUGAAAAAUAUUUAUAUGGUUUACAACAAGCUUCAAGGCAAUGGUAUGAUAAAUUUUCAAAAUUUUCUUAUUUCUAAAUAUUUCAAGCAAUAUCAAUAAAAAAAUUCCUUAUUUUUCAAAGGAAAAGAUGAUAAUUUUAUGGCCUUAUUAGUAUAUGUAGACGAUAUUGUCCUUACGGCUUAUUCUCUCACAACCAUUAAUAACAUCAAACAACGUUCAAGUGAUGCCUUUUAUCUCAAAGAUUUGGGUAAACUCAAACAUUUUUUGGGUUUGGAAAUUGGAAGAUCCCCAAAUGGAAUUGUCAUUUCUCAAAGGAAAUGUGUUAGAUCUAUUUGAAGAUGUUAGCAUGUUGGUAUCCAAACCAACCUCUCAAUUAAUGGAUCCUUGUCAUAAAAAAUUAAUUUUUUAUGGAUAACCUGUAUAAGAUCCAUCUCAUUAUCGCCAUUUAGUUGGUCGUCUUCUUUAUCUCACAAUCACACCUCCCGAAAUAGCUUAUGUAGUACACAGAUUAAGCCAAUAUAUUUCUGAUCUAAAAAUACCACAUCUUCAGGUAGCUCAUCAUGUGUUAUGAUUUUUAAAGGAUAACCCUAGACAAGGUUUGUUUAUUUCAUCCAAACCAUCUUUGCAAGUCAAAGCAUUCAAUGAUUCUGAUUGGGUUGGAUGUAUUAACACUAGAAGAUCUUUUACAGGUUUUUGUGUUUUUCUUGGAGAUUUCUUAAUCUUGUGGAAAUCCAAGAAAAAAACCACUUUUCCAAGAAGAUCAAUAGAAGUAGAGUACAGGGCACUGGAUCUGUCAUAAAUGAUGUGAUCUGGUUAAGAUAACUUAUGCGUGAUUUUUUUUAUUAAUUUGGAUCCACCAACAUUUGUUUUUUGUGAUAAUAAUUUUGCAAUGCAAUUAGCUGUCAAUCCUAUAUUUCACUAGAGGACUAAGCAUAUCUAAAUCGAUUUCCAUUUCAUAAGGGAAAUGAUUGUGGAUCACACCAUCAAACUCAUGCCCAUUCAUACUUCAAAUUAACUAGCGGAUAUAUUUACAAAACCCCUUGCUUAUUCUAGAAUUGCUUUGAUUUUAUCCAAGAUGGCACUUAAAAGUAUUUUUUAGUGUACAUCUUGAGGGAGGUAUUAGAGCAUAUUGACCGCUUAGUUGAUUAAAUAUCUAUUACGAUGCCGUUUUAUAUUUGUCAUUAGAAAUAAAGGUAGUGAAACUAUGUCAUUUACUUGUGUAAAUAAGUUGUUAAGUUAGUUAGGUGCAUGUUAGCUAAUGUUGUGCAAGAUAAUAGUUAUAUAUAAUCUCAUUUUAUAUUUAUUGAUGAAUAAGAGAAGAUUAUAUUCCCUUUUCAAUUCUUUUUCUUCUUGAUUGUAAAUCUUUCCUCUACCCAUACCUUUCAUAACCCCCUAAAACUAUUUAAUCAAAUCGGUCACUGAAUUCUUGUUUCCAAUUUUGAUUCGAACGACGGUACCUCAAGCCAUUGUUUCAGAUCUUGAGGUAAAUACAAUUGCUCUAUUUCCCUUAAUUAUAAAUUGCAUUCAUGAUUUAUUGUUGAUUGAUGGUGCUAAAUGUUCAGAUGUAAAUCAUACACAUUGUGAACUUAUAGAAACAAUAUGUUGUUCCUAAAAUUGGUAAAAUCCAAAAUCCAAGAUGAUGCAAAUAUCGAUGCUCUACUAAAACUCAUAUAUGUCAAUGGCGCUACAUGAUGGAAAAAGAGCCACUUUUAGUUUGUUGUCAAAAGGCAAAGUGAAGUUAAGACAGUCUUCUCUCAAAUACGACCUCUAGCCUUAGGCUUCAAGUUGUUUCUCGUGUGAGUUUGGGUCUUUCAAAAUUCAACAAAUUUGCUACAAUGGAUACAAAUGUUCUUUAUGGAUACAUCACUAGACUGUAAAAUGAGAUUGAUAACAUUCACGAUGUUGUUAGAUUGCUUACAUUCAUGAUGUUGUUACAUUGGUAAAAGUCCGAGAUGACAUCAUGGUGGACGUUGGUAGAACGAGACAUGACAUUGUGUUCCUGCUCAGUACUACGCUUCCACCAUACUUAGUGUCACUUAUAUGUAGAAAGGUGUUAUCUAUAUCAAUUUUAUAUAUUAUGUAUAGUGUAGGGAGACAAUUUUAACAAUGUAUUGUAUAAAUAUAUUCUGCAAUAUACGCCUCCAAAUGAUGAGGUUUUUCCCACUUUAAUAUGGUAUCAAGCUACGGUUUCUACCCUCUUUAAUCAUACGUAUGGAUCAAACCUUUUACCGCCUCACAUUUUUUUUUCUGGCCAUUAAUCACGUUGUCGCUGCUCUUAUAUGCCACUAUAAUUGUCGACUGCUUCUCAAUUUUUCUCGACGUGCUCUCCUCCGUGCAUUAGGGUCUUCCUAAAAUAUGGUUGUGGUUGAUUCUUUUAUGUUUCCAACAAUAUUUUACAAUCUCCUGCUGUGAUCACAUAAUUUUGCCCUCAUCAUUAUUGUGUGCGUUUCUUGCUCCUUAAGGUAUUGCCUCCAUGACCACUCCUGGUUCAUCCUCUACCACCACUCCCAUGAAGUUAAGUCUCGUUUGUACUCUCACCAACGUUUACAAUCAUUUUAGUUUCAAAUUAAAUGUUGAUGAGCCAAACUGUAAACUAUGGAAUCAGAUUUUUUCAAACAUGUGUCGAGGCACAUUGUCCUAUGGUAAUAUUUCAUAGAAAUCGGUUCCAACCAGAGAUGAUGAGGAAUGAUAUUCGGUUGAUGCAAGGCAUCAAUUCUUAUUUUUAUAGUAUUGUGAUCCCGAGUUUCUUCAAUUCAUCUUGAGCGAUGAUUACACCACCACAAAUCUUUCGAAAAAAUUAGAUGAAUUUUUCGGAACAACAAAAUAUCUCGAAUGUUGCAAUUACAGGAUUAAUUUCGCAAUACGAAGAAGGGUUCAAGCUCCAUUACCGAAUUUUAUCACAUUCUCAAGAACCGUGCCAAUGAUCUCAAAGAUGUUGGUUCCACCAUCAUCGAAAUUGAGCUAGUAAUGCCAAUCUUGAGACAAUUACCAUCUCAUACCAUAGUAUUACGGAUGUCAUCACCAACAUCAAGCCUUUUCACUCUUUCCUUGAGGCCAAGAAUAUGCUUUUACUUCAUGAGUCUCGAGAAACGGCUUAAGAUUCCUUCACAAAUUCAUCCAUGUCUCAUAGUGUGGCUCUAUUUUCCUCAUCCAACAAUUUGGGAAAUCCAAAUACCGAUGGUCGAAAAACUGGAACAAUUCCCGAAAAAUUGAAAAACAAUGCACAUGGAAAUCAUUUUGAUUCGCAACCGCAAUUUAUUAGAAUUCUUGGAAAUGCUCUGUUGCCACCUCCGCGUGCUGCCUCUGGUUACGUUGCUGCUAUCCCAGCUGCUUCGCACUUAAUCCUACUGUCUUACAGCUCCUAUCUGUAGGUUCCAUUCUCGCCGAAUCAGCAGCCCACGUGACAACUGUCAGUGCCUCCGCAACCCUCUUCUCAACAUUUCACUUUUCAUCAGCAUCUGACUCAUGUUGUUGGGUCUUCAUCAUCAGCUACACCCCUCAGACUUGUUUCUCAACAACCAAGUCAGGUGCCUCACGGUCACUUUUCUCAACAUCAAUUUUUUGGUGGAUCUACUUUUGGUUGUCACGUUCAGACUACUCCUUAACAAUUCAUCGAUAUCGCCUCUGCCUUUCAAUCCAUGUCUCUUCAGCCGCCUCUCGACAACAACGUUUACGUGGACUCCGGUGCUAGCUAUCACAUGUCCUUCAAAUCAGUUAACAUGCCUUGCCUAUCACUACGUAAUUCUAGAUCUCUAAUAGUUGCUAAAGGUGCUAUACUUCAUAUUACUCAGACUGGUCAAAUUUUUUUUCCACAUUCACACAACUGUUUAGCUCUAAAUAGCAUACUUGUCUCAAAUAAAAUUGUUAAAAAUCUCAUUAAUGUAUGUCAGUUCACUGUUGAUAACUUUGUCUCUGUAACUUUUGACCCUUUUGGUUUCACUGUGAAGGAUUUUAAAACAUGUGCGUUUAUUUAAAGAUGUGAUAAUGGCAGUGAUCAUUGUCCCGUUAUCCCCAUGCCAACUCCUUCUUUUUCUAACACUAGUUGUGUUGUUGUUUCUCUCCCAACUUGGCAUAUGCGUCUUGGUUACCUUGGCUCAUCUAUUUUGAAUUUUUUACAUUCUUGCAAGUUUAUUUCCCAUACUACUACUAAACUACCCAUCUAUCAUGCUUAUUAGCUUGGGAUGCAUUGUCGUUUACCCUUCUCUUCGUCUAUAAUUAAAACUACUAGUAUGUUUGAAUUGGUGCAUUUAGAUUUAUGGAUAUCUCUUAUUGCUAGUCUAAGUUGUUUUAAAUAUUAUAUUUUUUGGAUGAUUUUACUCAUUUCUUAUGGGUUUUCCAUCUUCGUGAAAAAUCUGAUAUUUUUGAUGUUUUAUCUAACUUCCAUGGAUGUGUCCAAACUCAAUUUAAACCUGACAUCAAAUUUUUUCAAUGUGAUAAUGGUUGUGAAUUCAAUAACAAAUCUGUUCUCACUUUCUGUGCCCAUAAGGAAAUCAAAAUUGGCUUCUCUUGUCCGUAUACGUCCCAACAGAACGAUAAGGUUGAAAGAGUCAUACGAACCAUUAAUAACAUCCUUCGAACUUACCUGUUUCAAGCCUCCCUGCCUCCAACAUUUUGGGUUGAAGCUCUCCUCAUUACUGUUCAUACCCUUAAUCUCCUUCCCACCUCCACUCUUGCGUUUCAAACACCCUUUGAGCUUCUCUUUGGUGUUUUUUCCCUCCUAUGAUCACCUUUGAGUAUUUGGGUGCCUUUGCUACCCAAAUCUCUCAUCCACGACUCCCCAUAAGAUCUCUUAUAGGUCUUCUUCAUGUGUAGACCUCAAUCCCUCCUCUAAUCAUUGUGGCUUUUGUUGCCUUAAUCUCAUCUCCCAACGAGUAAUUAUCUCUCGUCAUGUCAUCUUUGACGAUCACUUCCAUUUCUCUACCUUUCAUGAUAAACCCUCAACCAAUUACUAUGAUCCUUUCCUUUCCGAGGAUAUACCUCCCCUCCUUACAGUAUGCACUACUCUUCGCAUCACUGAGCCCUCUCCUAGUGAAUCUUCUCCCGCUCUUUCUGAUAGUAGUUCCCCUCAACCCACUGCCUCCUCCUCCUUUCCUAAUACUAUUCCUACCCCCUCCUCCUACCCAUCCCAUGGUCACUUGCUCUCGCACUGGCUUUCUCAGGCCUAAGUAGAUUUUUAAUCUAUUUGCCACUUCUGAUGUCUCCCCUAUCCCUCGCUCUAUAUCUCAAGCUCUAUGUGAUCCUAACUGGAUUUUUCCAUGGACUCUGAAAUGCAGGCUCUUCACUCCAAUCACAAAUGGGAACUUGUUCCCCUUUCUCCAUGCCAAAAUUGUUGGUUGUCGCUGGCUUUAUUGUCAUAAGUUUGACAGAAAAGGUAACCUAGAUCGCUAUAAAGGUUGCCUUGUUGCUUAGGGAUUCUCUCAGCUUCCUGGUCUUGACUUUGAUGAUACCUUCAGUUCUGUUGUCAAACCUGAUACGAUUUGUACUGUUCUAAUUAUUGCGAUGUCCAAGCAUUAGCCAAUUCAUCAACUAGAUAUCAAAAAUGGUUUCCUACAUGGUUACCUAUCUGAGGAAGUUUACAUGAAACAACCUCAUGGGUAUGUCCAUCCCUCCCUUCCUAAUCAUGUAUGCCGACUUCUCAAAGCUCUUUAUGGUCUCAAAUAGACUCCCAAGCCAGGUACCAACGCUUUGCUGUUUUCAUCACCUCUCUCGGUUUUACUAGAAGUCGGUCUGAUUGUUCCUUAUUUACUUAUCACUCUGGUUUCGACCAUAUCUUCUUUCAUUUUUAUGUUGAUGAUAUCAUCCUCACCUCCUCCUCUUUCUCCACUCUCAUCACUCACAUUAUCUCAUGUCUCUCGUCUGAGUUUUCCAUGUCCAAAUUGGGUCCUAUUUCCUUAUUCAUUGGCAUCGAUGCUUUUCGAUCUGAGGAGAGUCUAAUUUUAUCUCAGGCUUCCUUUAAUGACAUCUUAGCUCGUGCUGACAUGUCUUCUUGCAAUCCGUGCAGUACCCUAUCUGACACUAAAUCUAAACUUUCUCCUCACGGCUCUCCUGUCUCUGAUCCCACUCUCUACAGGAGUCUUGUUGGUGCCUUACAAUAUCUUACUUUCACUCGUCCUGACAUUGCAUAUGUUGUACAGAUCUCUCUUCAUGUUUGCGUGAACCUCAUCUUCUUGCUCUUAAACGUAUCCUUCACUAUCUUCAGGGUACUAUUUCUCAUGAUAUGUUUAUUCGACCUUCCUCCAUUGAUCACUUGGUCUCCUAUUAUGAUGCAAACUGGACCGAGUGUCCUCAUACUCGUUGGUCUACUUCUGGGUUUUGUGUUUAUCUUGGCAAUAAUCUCGUCUUUUGGUCCUCUAAACAUCAACAUGUUGUUUCUCACUCCUCAGCUGAGGAUGAGUAUUGUGGGAUGGCUAAUAUGGUUGCUAAAGCUGCUUGGCUUUGUAAUCUCCUUCUUGAGUAAUCUUGUACGUUAUCUAAAGCAACAUUUAUGUUUUACUAAAUGUGAGUGCCAUGUAUUUAUCUUCUGAACCAUUAAAACACGAACGUAUUGCUCGUGCCGUCGAUUCACUAAUUUGCAGAUAUAUUUACAAAGGGUCUUCACCGGUUUAAAUAUUUGUAAAUCUCAUGCUCUAACUAGAGGGUGCCUUAGUUUAUAUUAGUUUAUAUAUAUUAUGUAUAGUGUAGGGACCAAUUGUAACUUUAUAUUGUAUAAAUAUAUUCUGCAGUAUAUGUCUCAAAUUGAUGAGGCUUUUCCCACAUUUAACAAAAGGAAAACUAAAUUAACACCAAAUUGCCCAAAAUUAAACCAUAUAUUAUACUAAAUUAAUUCACAACAGUUCGACAUCAAUCAAAUAUUAUCUCGCACUCGAAUUCACAAAACUCACUUUCCGGGUACAAAGUUUGUAGCAUAUGACCAUGCAUUGUUUGCAACAGGGUCAGCAAGGUGGUCAGCGAGGUUCUCCAAUGGUCCCUUUCCGGUAACAAUGGCUUGAACAAAGAAUCCAAACAUAGAGAACAUGGCUAGUCUACCGUUCUUGAGCUCCUUCACUUUCAGCUCAGCAAAUGCCUCUGGGUCAUCAGCCAGACCCAAUGGGUCGAAGCUACCACCAGGGUAAAGUGGGUCAACUACCUCACCAAGAGGUCCACCAGCAAUUCUGUAACCUUCAACUGCACCCAUCAAGAUCACUUGGGUAGCCCAGAUGGCUAAAAUGCUUUGUGCAUGGAUCAAACUUGGGUUCCCCAAGUAGUCAAGACCACCCUCACUAAAGAUCUGGGAUCCAGCCUUGAACCAUACAGCCUCACCAAACUUGACACCAUUACGCGCCAAGAGUUCGGGGAAGACGCACCCAAGAGCUCCGAGCAUGGCCCAUCUGCUGUGGAUGACCUCAAGCUCACGGUUCUUGGCGAAUGUUUCAGGAUCAGCAGAGAGCCCAGCAGUGUCCCAACCGUAGUCACCGGGGAACUCACCGGUCAGGUAAGAUGGGGCUUCGCCGGAGAAUGGGCCAAGGUACUUAACACGGUCGGGGCCGUACCAUGGACUUCCUGAUGGUGCGACUUUCUUGACUGCUGUCUUCCUCAUGGAAACCCUUCCAUUUCCGGUGAUUUCUGAACCAGAUGGUGCUACUUUCACCGCCUGUCCGACGAAAGAAGAGGAUAGUGCCAUGGUGGAAGCUGCCAUUUUUGUGAGAUUUGUUUUGAAGAUGUUUUGAUGAUAUGAUAGUAUUAUGAGUGAUGAAGAUGUGUGGAUCUGGAACAUAGAUUUAUAGGGUGGUUUUUGGGCCAAGUAGUUGAUAAAUGUUUAUCUUGAUGCAAUUUUUAACUUCAUUUUGAUUGGCUACCAAGAUUUUAGUUCUAUCAGUGGGUCCAUAAUCUGCGUGGUUCCACUAUUCGAGUUCUCUGGCCCACAUGAGAUAUUUGAAGGGGCAGCGAUAUUCAUGGCUCUGUCUUAUUAAGCGAAUAUAAUGGCUAGAAAUCUCAGCCACUAGCUACCAUGCACAAACCGGUUUUUUUUUUGAACCGGACCGCUUCAAAAAUCCGGUUCGGUUCUAGUCAAUUUAGUCAAAACCAGUUUGGUUCCAAACCGGUCCAGCUUCAAAAUAAUUCAAACGUAUGUAAACUCGUUAAAGAAAAAACCGGUUCAAAAAGGGUUCAAAACCAGUUUGACGGAAAAAAGGUUUUUUUCAAUUUUUAUUUUGUUUUUAGGCUAAUAACUGAAAAAUAGGAAUUUUUUUUUAUAAUAUUGCUUUUAUUGUGUUUAAAAAAAAAGUUUCACACUAGGUUUUUUGAAAAUGGAAGUGGAAUGAAUUGGGAAUUCAUAAGCCUUUUUUUUGGUAAUACACACGUACACACGUCCAUAUGCCAAAAGGUUUUUAUUAUUAUUUUUUUUAUUUCUUGUUUAAUCUUUUGAUGUAUUAAAUUUUUUUUUUGUUUCAGAUUUGAUGUUUUAUCUUUUUUUUUUUCAUUUUUUUUGUUUUUUAUAUUGGAAAUACAUAAUACAACUUCAAACAUAAAAACACAAAACAUCCAAAUUGUCAAACUAAUACAUCUUCAAAUAUAAAACAUUGAUGUCGUCGUAGUCUUCAUUCCAAGUCCGUAGUCAUUGUAUUUAUUCGUCAUCCGCCAUGUCGUUGCGUAAUUCUCUCUCAUACUCGAUCUCUUCUAGGGUGAGUGACACCGACAUUCCCAUCGCUACUUCUUCCUCAUGUACUCGUGCUUCGACAUGCAACGAUGUGCCUUCUAGUGCUUCGAUGUCUUGUAUCCUUUCCACGCCAUCAAGGUAGUAUUUCAAGCAAAUGCACACUUCCACCGACAAAUGGGUUAGUUUUGUUCUUCUUGGUGAUAUUACCCUGCCACUAACAGAAAAACCGAUUCCGANUUACCCUGCCACUAACAGAAAAAGCCGAUUCCGAAGCUACCAUAGAAGCUUGGGAGCUUAGUAGAUCACGGGCCAUAGCGGCUAGAAUUGGAAAUUAGGUUUCCUUUCCUUUCCACCAAACCAAAAUAUCAAAAUUUUCAAACUCUUGAAUACUCAUUUCACUACUAGAAAAAUAGCCUUUUACGACGCGCGAACAACGACACGCGCUGUUUUAUGAUACACAAUAGUGUGUGCCCUAAAAAUAAUGUCGGCUCUCCAAAAAUUAGAAGGAUUUAGGGUACGCAUUUUUGCGCGCCCUAAAAUAAGUGUUACAUUAAAAAAAAACACGGAGGGCACAUAACAUAAAACGCGCGUCCACUAAGUAUGUCGCUUUAUAUUUUUUAAAUGAAAUGCGGGUCACAUUUUUUAGGGAAAACGAAAUUCCAAAAAGUUUGAAAGGCCCGCCAUGUUCCUACCUUCUUUCCACCGUUCUUCUCUCCCUUACUCAAAAUACCCAAAAAAAACCCUAAUAUACUCAUCGCUCCUCUUUUCUCCCAUAACAAACUCGCACCAUCACCAAAUCUCUGAUCUCCCACCAGCAAAAGGUCUCCUACCGAUGUCUCCACCUACUCUCUGCCCUCUCACUAUUUCUCUCAAUUAAAAACGCUAGAUCUCUCAAUCAGAGAACCAUGGCUACUUCUCCUUUCUCCCACACCAGUUGGCAAAAAGUGAGGAGUCUCGAGCCUAGCAGUUGAUAUUCACAUGCCCUCUUAAAUUGAAGGAAUCAGAACAUUGUCGACAUCAAUUCGUUAAUCAUCACUAGAGAAAUCAGAUACGCCAUCUGGUUGAUGAGUCAAGAGAAAUCACAUAUGUCAUCGCUUCAGCAAUCAUCCCUCCUUUUAACCGUAAGUUUUCAAUCUUACACUUUACAAAUAUCAUAUAAACAUCUCUCUCUCUCUCUCUCUCUCUCUUUCUCUCUCCUGCUAUACCUUGAUGAAUUAUCGCAUACAUAUGGAGGAACUGCUUUCUAAAAGCCAGCUAUCGGGAGAGUCAACAGGGUCAAUUGGGUGUUCAAAAGGUGCUUCGAUAUCAUCUUCCCGCCAGCAAAUCUCUGUUAAAGUUGUCACAGAGUAAUCCAUUUGAGUUUGGGCAUAUAUUUUUUGUUAUUAAUUUAGGGGGAGACUGUGUUCCAUGAUUUUGGUCAUGCAUUUCUUCAGCACACGCUAACAAGACAAGAUGAAGGGCUUGUUGUUGGUAUUCGUGGCAUAGAGUGGAUGCUGUUGAGUUACCUUUCCAGUUCAUGGAAAAUUGGUGCUACCGUAGGUAGGUAUAUAUAUCUCCAAUUUCAAGAUGUUGUUCAACUGCUGCAGGAACGAGGUGAGGGUGGCUGAUGAGAAUUUGUGACAGGAACUAUCCGAUUGGGGAUUCCAGCUCAAGUGGGGCAGUUGGCGCAUCAGAUCCAGCAGAAUCAGAAGAUAAUGAGGCCUUUAUUGCAAUUCUCUUCUUUUGAAUAUGAAAAGAUGCACUUUUCAGUCCUAAUCUGGGAUGUGAAAAUGAAAGGAACCCCUGUUUAGCCAACAAAACAAAGUAAAAUUCAGUUACAACACUUACCCAAAUAUAGCAUUCUACCUUUAAUUUUUCUCAUCAAGACAAAAUUGAAUCAGUUAUGAAACCGACCACAUAAAAGGCUGUUUUUCUAGAGUUGCAAUGUUAGGAAUAAAAGUCACAAUGGUAUGUGGUCGGUUUCAUAACUGAUUCAAUUUUGAUGAGUAAACAGGUUAGAUUUCAUAUGGUUGUUUGUUCAGAUUGGUAUUCAUCCUGAUUUUCCUUCAAUUAUGCAACAACUAUGCUGGAAUUUGCUAUGUUCCAUACUCGGAUUUUGAAUUUAUCGGAAAAUUGAAUAAUUAAUCUGGAAAAAUACCAUCUUUGAAUGAUUUUUUUGUCAUCUGUAGAUAAGGAAUACCAUCUUUGGGUAAUUAGUUUAUCUAGUCUACAUGAUUAAAUUAAUGGACAUAUAAUUCUCUAUUGAUAGAACAAAAAACAUUGCUUUGUAGUGAAGAUAAGGAAUACCAUAUUUGGGUAAUUAGUUUAUCCAUACUCGGAUUAUGAAUUUAGCCCACCAUCAGCAGGGGAUUGCUGAGUUUUAUGUGACCAUAAUGCCCUUUCGGUUUGUAGUGAAGAUCCAAGCAUGUAAUUAAUAACACCUCUAAUUAAUUAAUUAAUUAAUCCCCUAAAACUAACUAUGGUUAAAUUAAACUGGUGGUAGGUGCCAGUGUACAUAGGGGCACAUAUGGUCAAAUAUGUUUUAAUUAUUAGUCUAAUAUCUUUUGAUACUUAUCAAUAACAACAAAAUAAUGUAAAAUCGUGUGAAUACAAUUCAAGGGUAUAAUGGUCUAGACAGAGAUUAUUUUUAUUAAAGAUAUUUAUUUAUUAAUCAUCAGAGAAGAAGGAAUUAAUAUGAAAGAAUCACUUACUGCAAAAUAAUCUUCAAAUGUAAAAUCAACAUAGCCUAAGCCCUGAUUUUUAUUUCACCACAGGUUGGCGAGCUGGCGGGAAUAGCUUUGGGAGCAACUGUCAUGCUUAAUAUUCUUAUAGUUGUGUACGUUAUGGUCAAAAUAGUUCAGCAAGAACCUCUGUUGAAAUGAUAUAGGCCACUAAUUAUUUAAAACUAUCACUGGCUCCUCAUUAUGGUCAAAAUAGUUGGUCUGUUAAAAAUUGUGACUAUGAGCAAUUUGCCACUUCUAAAUGGGUUCUUUGUAGUUUUCCUUUCUAUAAUUCAGGAAAUAGGAUCAUAUUUUACUCUUGCAGAAAUAGUUAUGGUCUGUGAGCAUUCUUCCAGAUUGUAAGAACGUAAUUUUCAACACAACAAAGGUGAAAUUAUAUCUAUGUUUUCUUGUGUAUUUAACUUCACAGGAGCUGAAACAUGAUCUAAUUUUUUUUAUCUAUUGGUUAUGUUGAAUAUGGAUAAAAGGUUGUGGCUCAGAAAAGUGUUGGUGAUGCUUCUACAUUUGUUGAGAGUGAAUUUUCACUGUCAAAUUCAAGUUGGAUUUGGUAUGUAGAAAAAGUGUGUGUUUAGAGUAAGGACUUUUUCCUUGUUGGACUGUAAUAGUAGACCAAUAUGAUUCGUUUUAUAAAACCCUUAGACAGAUCACAGUUGGUUCUGCAAUUGCAUGGUCAGGUAAACAUUCUAAACACAUUUUCAAUUUAUUUUGUGAUAUUUAAUUUCUCCCAUAUUCUUUUAAAUUAUAUUAUAAUAUGCUUAUAAACACUACUUUCCUUUCAUGUAGCCAAAAAAUUGUCCCAAAGUUGACUGAGGUACUUUGGACAAAAAUACAAUGUUAGCUUACAUCUUUAUUAGUUAAUAUAAUCAAAUUUCUAAUUUUAGGUGCUAACUGAUACGCGUCCGCAAGUUCAGUCUGCAUGGCAGACAACACUCCAGCAGGUUUGACUAUAUUCUUAUGGGUUGUGGCAUUCACAUUCCCAUAGUGAUCUUGAUAAAGUUGCUUCUAUUUCCAUGCUAAGUUGGCUUUUAUUUGUAAUAUAGGAGGUCCAAAAUCUUGCAAAGAAGGCUGCAGAAACUGUGGUGUUGGUAAUUGAUGAUGAAGGGACUGAGUAUUUGAUAUCAGAACUUCUCAAGUUGCUUCUAUUUCCAUGCUAAGUUGGAUUUUAUUUAUCUUACUGUUUAUUAUCAUUUUUUAUAUAAAAUUUCAUCAUUUAUAUUAUAUAUAUAGUACAUUAUAGACUUUGCAUCAUAAUUUGUUGAAUGUUACAAGAUAUAAUUCAAAAUUCAAUUUCCUCAUGUUGUUGCUGAAAUGACAGCAAUUGGUUUUGGCCUACCAAAGAAUGCAUUCACCGCUUUAAUGAAGAAUGUAAGUGUUUAUUUUUCUUUUCUGUUUGGUGAAAAUCAUCAAAUGACAAUCUCAUUAUAUAUCUUAGGAUCUUAUCAGUUAAUAAACUUGAUCGUGGGUAUGAUCAAGCAUAGGUUUACAUUUAUACCCCUGCUUUUAUCUUUUAUCUUUUAUGUUAUAUAAUUAUAUUCCCCCUUUUUUUAUCAGGUUAAUUUGGUGGUUAAUUAUGAUCUUCCUAUAAGACAUGAUCAUCAAUCUCACUACAAGAAAAAUACCCUUUUACGACGCGCAAAACACGACGCUCUUUGAUUUAUGUUACGCAUUAGAGAGCGACAUUAAAAAAGUGUCAUCUCUUAAAAAAUUUUAAGGAUUUAGGUCGCGCAUUACUGAGUGCCCUUAAAUUAGUGUCUCAUGUAAAAAUAUUAAAAACACGGAAGGCACUUGUGCGUCGUCUGUGAAUGUCGUUUUAUAUUUUUUUUUAAGAAACACGCGUCUCGGAGGGAAAAUGAAAUCCCCAAAUUUUUUAAACCCCCACCUUUUUCUCCCUCGUCUCCACCCCUCAUCCACAUCCACUACCUCCGAUCCUCAUUUCCUCUUCUAGCCUCAAACUACGGCGAUGCACCUUCCUUCUCGAAGAAUGCUUCAUUUACCACCAUCGUCCGAUUAUGUGAGCCCAAGGAAUUGACCAAGACGAAGAAGAUAAUGGAUCAAUUGCUUCACAUCAUGUUUAAGGUUAAGGGUUUGAGUUAGUCCGCAACAGGUAAUCGAAUUUUGCCUAAUAUAUAUUUCUACUCUCAAACUGUUUAUUCGUCCGAUUGGAUGCAUAUUUACUAUUAAAUUUGGGGAUUUUCUUUUAAAACCCCCGCGCCUCUUCUUGUUUGUAGCUAAACAACCGUGAAUUUGUUAGAGUGAUUGGAAGAGGAAAAAUAGAAGAUAGAAGAAAAAGAAGAAGAAGAAAAGCGAACAAACGGGAUUUCUUGACCUGAUGUGUUAAUCCGUGAUCAGGUCUUCUGAGCGAAGAGAAGAUCUGAGGCUCAAUUGAAGAAAUAUGAGCGCUUCUAGAUUUAUAAAGUGCAUCACAGUCGGUGAUGGCGCUGUCGGGAAGACUUGUCUCUUGAUUUCCUACACCCGUAACACCUUCCCCACGGUAAUCAUCUCUUCAUCAACCGCCUUCAGUUUCUGCCCAACUAAAGCACGGUUACACACUUAUUUCUCUUCGGACGUUUCUGUGGCUUCCAUGGGAACGGAGGAGGAUGAUAUAAAUGAGGCAACAACUUCAUUCGCUACAUGUUUGAACCUUAAAUUGAAGGGAUUAUAUAUUGAAAUUUGAAUCUACAACUUCGAAUUUCAGUCAUCUCUCUUCUCUUCUACAUCUCACCUGAUUCUCUAUUGAAAUUUCUAGGGUUUUUAAUUGAACCUACAUCUUCAUCUUAAUCUUCUUUUCUGAAGUUAGGGCUUUUUUCUUAAGAACAACUAAUUUUUUGCAGUAAGUAAACCUCUAAUUUUUUCAUUUCUCAUUUCCUUAGACCUCUCCCCUUUCCAUCUCAUAUCGAGGCAAAAUCAAUUUCACUUUGGUGGCUUCGAUUUCCUAGCACAUAUUAUGUUAUUAUAUGGAUUUGUAGGAAAUUAGAAAUCAUGUUAGAAUGUUUGAUGUUCUGUAUGUUCAUAAAAGUACAUCUAAAACAAAAAUCUUAGAUUAAACAAAACUGAAGCAUUUAAUGAGAUGUAAUUACUAACUUUUGUUGGAGAUGCAAAUGCUAAAUAAAGAAAACUGAAGCAUUAAAUGAGAACCUUUAUAAUUCGAUUUCAUUCAGAUCUUCGGUGGAUAUUUAGGGCUAACAAAGAAAACUGAAGCAUUUAAUGAGAUGUAAUUACUAACUUUCGUUCAAGGUAACCCCUGUUAUGAAUACAUGUAAGAAUUUAUUUAUCUUUUUCUCUCACCACUUGCUAUCCAUGUGCUGCUCUCUCAUAGUUGAUAUCUAACAACAAAGACCUGAUCAGUCUAGUUUGCUUGUUUUUUUUCUUUUUCUUAUAAUUCUUGAAUACGUGCAGAUUUUUUAAGACUUCUAGUUUUGUUUUUUGUUCAGUGAUAUUGAUGAUGAGGCAAGUUUAUCAACACUAUGGGAGAGAUAUCAAAGUGUCUCUGAAAAGGUAUUGCGAUAUCAAAGCAUAAAUUAUUUAUGGAUUAAAAUGGGAAAAUGACUUAUAUGGGUAAGAAAGUUUUAAAAACUUUUAAAAAUGACUAUCAAAGUAUUGUUUGUAUAAAAAACACCAACCAAGUUUACCAUUUUGUCAAAUCUAACAGGUUGGUAACCUGCAUCUGCCGGUCAAAAAAAAUUACCUGAUCAUUUUAAAAACUGAAAUUAUAAAUGACAUGGCAUCCUUUUUUAGUCUUACGUGGAUUAAUUGCAAGGGAAGAUCCAUUUUCUCAGCGUUCUUUCUCAAAAUCAGGAGGGAGUCAACACAGAACCCUCUCUAGGGUUAGUUUCUGCCCCUGUAUACAGUUAUUUUUGUUUAAAUUGACUGAUUUUAACAGUUGACGAAUAUGCUCCUGCUUUGGGCUAAUCACACAUAUGUCUUUUUUAUGACCAAAUUGCCCCUGUAUAUAGUUUUUUUUUGUUACAAUUGACUGAUUUUACCAGUCAAUUAAGGUGUUGUUUAGAAACUGUUAGUAUCCAAGACCAUUUACAUGCUCGUGCACAAAGACGAAUUUGCCCUUGAUUGUGACCAAACUGCCCCUGUAUACAUAUUUUUUAUUACUAAAAACACCCCCUGUCCUAGAAAAAUAUGACACUUCUAUACAAAAGCUAAUACCAAUUUCUCACUACAAAUCAACUAAUAAGAAAAGAAGUGGGCAACUCUCUAAAAUGACCAAAAUUUGAAUUGCAGUGUCACAAAUUGACAAUUUUUUAAAGCUAUAAUGAAAUAAUGCUUUGUUUUGUAAAAUAUACAAAAUCCGUUUGUUGUUGUGUGCAACUAAUCCACAAACAUUUACAUAAUUCUCGUUAGUGUACUUUGCAAAGUGGUGCUGAAGUAAUUUGGGCAACAAAAGUACAUAUAACUAUAUUAAUAUUCUCUAAAUAAUCAUAUAUAAUGAAAUAAUGGUUUGUUUUGUAAAAUAUACAACCCAUACUGUAUUUUUGAUAAAAAAAAAUAAUGAUUUUAAGAGAUUUUGUCCGAAAUACCCUUAUAUACUCUUUUUUUUGGUAAAAAAUUAAUGAUGUAAUAGUUUUUGACUAAAAUGCCCGUAUAUACUAUUUAACAGGUUUGACCCCAUCUGAAUUAUGAUUCAGCUUAAAAUUGAAUGCCAUUUUGACAAUUUUAUUGCUUUUAAGACUAUUUACUGCUGAAAAUAUGUCAAAUUUGUUACAUUUUGCUGCUAUAAAUAGUCAAAAAAUAACUAAAAGUCUACAAAGAUUCAAGGUAACAGUAAAUAAUACUGGCAUUUCCAGCAGCAAAUCUUCAAUUGCAGGGACUAAACUUUGUCAUUUUUAGCAGAAAACUUUAUCAACCAACAAAAAGAGGUUAAUAAAGAAUCUAAAUGGCAUUCCAUUGUAACAGCAUCAAAACACGACCUGCACUCAAAACCCUCCAAAAUAGCCCCUACACUCAAUUGUAACAGCCCCUCUGUUGUGAUUCCUUUAACUGUGACCAAAUUGCCCCUCUAUUGUGAUUCCUUUAGAUUCAAGGUAACAUUGUUUUAAGUGAAAAGAUCAUUUCAUAACUUGUUUACAUAAAUUCUUUCUUAGCUUGUUUACAUAAAUUCUUUUUCUGUCAAUUCCUUUCAAGACAAAAAGAAAGAAAGCAGGAACUUAUAGCCAUGCAAGUAAUUUCAUUAUUUUUCUCAUUAACGAUUGUACUUCCUUUGCUCUUUCUUGCAUAAUAAUAAACAGAUUUAAAGAGGAGUGGAGCCAUAUGACCACCUGAUGCCCCCAAAUCAAUUUAUUUGAGCUAGAUUUGAACGAUUUACAAGGAGAAGAAGAAAAUCAAUUGUCAAGAGGAGAGGAGAUGUAUGACCACCCACCUGAUGCCCUAAAUCGAUUUAUAAUAUGUAUUUUUCAUUUAAUGCUGAGUAGAUGUGCAACACACUACCUAAAUAUGCCAACUAAUCAUUACUUUUGCCAACUCAGCCGUUCACCUGGAGAUCCGGUUACCACCGGGUCAUAUUUGAACAAAAGAUAAACUUCGUUGGUAUUUUUUGUACGACGCCUAUAGUUAAAUGGUAUUUUUGAACAACUAAAACUUCAAUGGUUUUUUUUGAAUGUUUUUGAAACUUUCUUACCCUUAUAAGUCAUUUUCUCGAUUAAAAUUGAACUUUUUUCAUACAUUACCUAACAUUGACUUGUCUUAAUUUGCAGGCAGAAAUACAAAAGGCUUUUCAUAUAUUUCUUAAACAAUUUUUUGUAAUAUACAAGAAUUGGGAGCCAUUAGAUUUAGAUAAUUCCAUAGAACCUUUCAUUGAUUCAAGGGAUCCUCUUUCUGAAAAAAAGAUUGCAGUGGCAUCAGAAGGCAGUCAUAUCAGUGAUGGAAGCUGGUGGUCUUAAUUGGUUAGUAGGUAAGGUAUGCAUCUUCAGAUUUAAUUUCUAUUGAGAACUAAACACAUUUGAAUAUCUGAGAACUAAACACACUUGAAUAUUUAUAAAUGAUGCACACAUCCAAAGGGAUAAUAGCAAUGUUUCUAAUGGCGUCAAAUAGACCUGAUUGUGACCACUAAUGGUUCAUCAGGUUUGUUGAUUUUUAUUUUAUUUUAUUUGAAGUGCAUUAUCUGGUUUAAUAUGAAAUGAUUCAUGUUGAAAUUGGUUUCUUUUGUUACUCCAUAAUACUUGAUAUCUUAUUUUUUGCAUGCAGGUGCUAACAAAUAUGGUGUCAUUAUCAUUGUUGUUGUUGUUGUUGGAUACGGAUAUGUUUGGUGGAAGGUAAAUAUAAGCUCAUAUAUUAAUAUUAUUACUUUUUACAGUUAACUUGUACAUAGUUUUUCUUCAACUAACAGAAAUGGUAUCAUUAACAGGGUUGGAAACUUCCUGAUAUGAUGUUUGCUACAAAAUGAAGUUUAUCUGAUGCCACAUAUGCUUUAGCUAAAUAGAUUGACACUGUUUACUCAUCACUUGCAGUAAGUUAUUUAAAAACUUUGUUAUUUUUUUGUUAUUAAUUUGGGUUGUUUAUUAUGUUGUUUAGGCUACCAAGAGACAUUUAUCUACAAGGAUUGACCGUGUUGAUAGUAGUUUAGAUGAGGUUGCAGAAAUUACUGCUGCUAAAAAAGAGGAGGUAUGACAAGAUAAAGGUUGUUCUAGAUGUUUAAUCUAUACAUAAUGCGGUUUACACCCUGGUGUGGUUCUUUUCCAUUUUGUCUUGUGACUUUGAUAUUGUUUUCUGAGUUGGAUAUGUGGUAUGAUAAAUUAUUUUUACAUGAGAGUAGGCUGAGUAGGGUUGAAUUGAAAUAGGUACUGAAUAUUACCGUUUGACAUGCGAUUUUUUCUAGCUUAAUGAGAUAUUUAUAACAAAUAAUUUUGAAUUUUUGUUGUCUUUUGUAGGGAAAUCCAUCAAGUUCAUCAAGGCCAGCUCUUGAAUUACCAUAGAGAGUAAACUUCUAAUCUUAUACAAAUACAAUGAUUUGCUAAAUUCAAGAAAUAACAAUGCACUUUUAUUUAUUACUUUUAUUAAAACAUCCUAGUUUAAUUUCUAGCUUAAUGAGACAUUUAUUACUUUUAGCAGAGAUCGAUAUAUAUAUGAGCUUUUUGCUUUCAAACAUUGUUGGGGAAGAAUGUUGAAACUUGCUCUUUGUGAAGGUAAUUUUUUUUCUUAAUGCAUUAUCCUCUAUAUUCUUGAUAUUUUUCCCACUUUUUAAAUCUUUUAUCAAAUUCUCACUUUUGGAUACAGUGCUUGAUGAGAGAAUGUGUGACCUAAAUCUUUUAUCAAAUUCUCACUUUUGGAGUUGGCCAUAAGAAAAUGUAGGCAAAGGGUAAUUUGUUAUAGUUCAGGUUGACAAGGUGCUGUAUUUUUCACAUAAUUGACAAGGAGCUGUUGUAUCUAUUCAGACUAGACUUAGAGCAAUGGUUGCAAGAGAUGAGUUCAGCAGAAAAAGAAACAAGGCUGCAACUAUAGUUAAGGUACUAUGGAUGAAUUAUGUUUGUAAAGUAUUUAAGAAAAUGAUUAUAAACAAGGGUGAAUUUGUACAAAUUAGUUAGCUACUUGCANUGAGUAUUUGAUAUCAAAACUUCUCAAGUUGCUUCUAUUUCCAUGCUAAGUUGGCUUUUAUUUAUCUUACUGUUUAUUAUCAUUUUUUAUAUAAAACUUCAUCAUUUAUAUUAUAUAUAAUACAUUAUAGACUUUGCAUCAUAAUUUGUUCAAUGUUACAGGAUACAAUUCAAAAUUCAAUUUCCUCAUGUUGUUGCUGAAAUGACAGCAAUUGGUUUUGGCCUACCAAAGAAUGCAUUCACCGCUCUAAUGAAGAAUGUAAGUGUUUAUUUUUCUUUUCUGUUUGGUGAAAAUCAUCAAAUGAAAAUCUCAUUAUAUAUCUUAGGAUCUUAUCAGUUAAUGAACUUGAUCGUGGGUAUGAUCAAGCAUAGAUUUACAUUUCUACCCCUGUUUUUAUCUUUUAUCUUUUGUGUCAUAUAAUUAUAUUUCCCUUUUUUUAUCAGGUUAAUUUGGUGGUUAAUUAUGAUCUUCCUAUAAGACAUGAUCAUCAAUCUCAACCUGACCAUGAAGUGUAGUUGCACUGAAUCGGAAGAGCAGGGUGAUUAUGGGAGAUGUUAAGUAGUUAUAGGGCUUUAGAUGCUUUCCCUUUGGGUAGGAAAUGUUUUUAAGACAUGAUCAUCAUUCUCUACCCCUGCUUUCCCUCUGGUGUUUAUCUCCCAUAAAACCCUAAAAUGUGGAUGUGCUAAAACUGAAGAAAUUAGAAGACACAUACUGGAUUUUAGCAAGUCGGGUAAGUUUAAAAAUAUCUUAAUACGAUAUUGAUUAGAUUACACAACAUGUAAUGUAGAAAAUAUCAUGAAUAUUUAUGAUCAAUAUUCAACUUUUGAAAAUGUAUCCAGUUUGAUGUUUAUCUAUUUGACAUUUUUUUGAUAGAAAAUGAGAAUACCGGAGAAGAUGAACCACAAAUUUACAUUGAAAUGAUCAAUGGAAUUAUCAAAUCCCUUCAGGUAUCAUCUCAUAUCACUUGCUUAUGAAAUUUAUUCAUCUAUACUUGAAAAGAUAUAUUUAUUUUUGUGUUGUUUCCAGGCUAUCCUUGAUGCAGUUCUCAGCACAACAAUUAUGAUUUUAUGAUGUUAGGCUAAACUAUAAAGCAAUCAUUCUUUGUUUUAGGAAACGUUUCAGAGCUUCUUUAGGCAGCUUAAUGAUGAGUUAUUGAAACAAAAUGGUGCCCCUUUAUAGCAAUGUAGUAUUAGGUUAUAUAGAUAGGAAAAACCUCUUAAUAACAACGUACAAUUAGAUCCCCUUAAUAUCAAUGUAUUACAAUUUUAUGACAUGAUGUUAUUGAAUGAAAUUGAUUGUGUAAUGGAUUGUAUUUUUUGUAUAUGGUAUUUUAUUUUCUAUUAUGAGACAUGAAAUGCAAAUUUAAUUUGAAAAUUAGUAAAUCUAUAAAUAAUUUUUAAAAAAAAUAAAAUAAAAAUUAUGAUACGCAAAAAUGUGUGUCAUCUUCAUUUAUGACAUGGCCUUUCUUGACAGUGGCUUUAAUGAUACGCAUUGCGUGUCAUAAAUACGUGUCGUCUAUAGACGACGCGCAAAAGCGCGUCGUCUCUCGUUAUGACAGGGCCUUCCUUGACGCGCAUGCGCGUCGUCUGACCGUUUUACGACUCGCAAUGAGCGUCGUAAAAGGCAUUUUUUCUAGUAGUGUUUGAGACAAGAAAUCAGAACCAAUGUACCUUCCGAGCUCGCUACUUGGCGCGUUAGACCGAGCUCGUUUGGAAUUUUCAUUCCUCAAAGUAUUAUAAAGCCUAAUUGUUUCGUUAUUUUAGUGAAAAGUGGAUCCGGGUGCCCCCAUAUUUUGCAUCACGUCAUGAAUGUUUGUUGAACCAUAUUUUGUUAAAUAAACUUCAAAUAAAUUUUGAAAAACUUUGUUAAAUUUUGAAACUUCCUUUGAUGCAUAAUCAAUGUCAUCAUCCAAUAAACCCAAAUCGUAACAAAUAUUUUCAAUUAAAGUCUCAACCCCCCCAACAUUUAGAGUUGGAUUCAAAGUGGCGGAACAAGUAAUAAUGGGAGCCAUUUCUUGAAAAUAUUUUUUUAACUUUGCUUUCAUCGGUUUCAUCAUAUUAGCAAACAUUGUGCUCCUCAUUUCAAACUCAUUUAUUUUCGCACACAUUAAAAAAAUUUGGUUUAAAACUAAACAACUUGUAGGAUAAUAAACCCCCGAUAAAAAAGUGGUUGUUUUUUUUUUAAAAAAACAUCAAGCAUGUCUGUAACAAGUUUGAUAGUAUCCCAACUUGAUUCCGGAUAAGCCGUAACCUUAUUACGGUCCGAAGGUUGUCAUGUAACAUUUUUAAAGUAUGUUUUUGACGUAAGGCACAUUCAAAAAUUUUGCAAGUGGAGUCCCAUCGGGUAUUAUUUUCCCAAUUCAGACCUAAAAAGAGGGCAUUCGCAUCGACACAAAAUUGCAUAUAAUUAUGAUAUCGAGCGUUACUAGAACUAAAAAUAUCUUUUAGCAUGUCUUUGAAACCAUCUUUUAUAGUUUCAAUGUGAGUUAGUCCAUCUUGCACAACCAAAUUAAUCAUAUGUGCAACACAUCGACUAUGAAAAAUAAACACCAUCACAAAUUGGUUUAUAUUUUAGUUUUAGUUGUCCAACCGCGACGGUGUUGUUUGAAGCAUUAUCAAAAGAUAUAGAAAAAAUCUUUCCUUCAAGUUUAUAAGUUUUGAUCACACAAUCUAAAAUUUUAAAUAAAUUUCUAUCGGUGUGCGGGUACUCAAACAAUUCAAACGUAAUCGUAUGCUUUAUCAUUACCCAAUUAGUUGGAUUAAUCCAAUGAGCGGUAACACAAAGGUACGCAUCCGGUGAACCGUCAGGAGCCGUCCAAACAUCACAAGUUAAAUUCACACCGGUUUCUAAAGAUUGAAAUCCUAAAAUCAAUUCAUUUUUUGCAAGUUUCCACAUUUCAAUACAAUCGCGUCUAAUAGAAGUACGACUCACAUGGCAAUAUCGUGGUUGGAGAGUAUCUUGGAUGAGUGAAGUCAAUCGUUUGUUGUCGAAGUGGUCAAAAGGCAAGCAUUCUUGAAUCACGAACUUCGUCAUCCUAUCCCGAACUUUAGCCAUAUCGUAACUCCACAAUGUUGCAUCAUUCGUCAUUCUUGUUUGAAUAUGUCCCGACCCAAAUUUCACCGUGGGGCAUCUUUUGGUCAUAUGAUUUUUCAAUGUCGAAUUCUCAUCUUCAUUAAAAAAAGCACCACAUUUCUUGCAUUGCGCUUUUUUAUACCGUUCGACAUUACACACAAAUCGUAGUUGCACAAAAUAGCCGGAUUUCUAUUUGUUUCUUUGAUGCUAACAACGGUAAGAGUGUUUGAUGAAUCUCGAACACCAACGGAAGCCGAAUCCAUUGUUUGAAUUAAGAGUGGUUUUUGAACUAAGAGAGGUUUGCGGUUUUUGAACUAAGAGAGGUUUUUUGAGGUUUGGUUAAGGUAAAGUUGAGACCUAAAAAUGUAAUACAUAUAUAUAUACUAUAAGGAAUAGUUAAUAUGGUAAAAAAGAAGCAAAAAUCGAGUCUUGAACAGCCUCAAACGACUAUAUAGCCGUUAGGAAAAGACAAAAAAACGGUAACAUUACAAAAACCGGUUCACCAACGGCACUUUCGAAAUCUGGUUCAAAACUGGUUCAUCACACCUGUUCAGAAUAAACCAGUUCCAAACCGGUCUCCAGGGUAAAACAUGCGAACUGGUAACAUCCGAUGGUUCGGUUCACUAUGGGUUCGGUUCUUAUGUGAACCGGUUCAAGGCUAAACCGGUUUCCGGUUCACCAACCGGUUCGGUUCCUAAACCAGUUUUUUUGCCCACGCCUACCACUAGCUAGUCUAGGUGGGCUUUUAGUACGGGGGUUUUCAUGAGGAAUAGGUUGAAAGGAGUGUUGGCAUCUCACUGCCGUCAUCUGUUACCAUUUCAUAAGGAGUGGUAGCAUUCCUAGCACAUUAGAUUUUUUUUUUUUGAUUUUUUUUUUUGAACUUAAAUAAAUUAUAUUUUUAUAAAACACAAACAAUUCAAUAUUAAUCAAGAAACUAACUACAUUUUAUAGAUAAAUUUACCUUAUUUAAACAAGGAUUAAUAGAAAGGUCAAAUAAAAUUUAAAUGGUUAACGACAUGCUUAAAAUUUUACAAAUAUAUUGAUUUUGUAACGACACAAUUUUCUACUCUAUCAAGGUAAAGAAACAUUUAUGUUAAUAAUAAAGUGACACUUUAAUAUAUAUCUUCAAAUAAUUAUUAAAAAUAAAUAAUACUAUAAAAAAUUACCAAUACUAUCUAGAAACAAAAACCACUCACAGCACGGAAUUUACAAAACAACCAUCCAACUUCCUUAUUUUUUUGAAAGAGCUUUUACGAUCUCCAUUUCCAUUUCCUUUUUUUCUUAAAAUUACAUCUUACAUCUUCCAAUUUGCUAUUAUCAUUUCUUAAGUUUGUGAAAGUAGACUAUUCCACAAAACUACUCCUCCAAUUGUGUGAAACACGAAGCAAAAGCGAGACCUUUGAGCUUUUUCUUAAAAAAUAAUCCUUGUUUGAGAUGGAGACCACACCAUUGAUGGGAGAAAUGAAGGUUCUAGAGAACGAUUGUAAGAGGAAGAUUAUUGUAUCCACAGGCCAAUAUCCAACAAAUCUCUUUCUCUUUCUUCUCGCUAUGGUGUUGACGAGCCAUGGCUGGCGACUUCCUUGGCGCAAGCCAGGGGGCGGCCUUCAGCGCCCUUGGCGACCGGUGGCGACCUCCAUAGCGAGGCCCACUCCCUAAAGCCUUAUAACACACCAUUUAUUGACCAAGUUUACCCAACAAUGCAUCCCAAUUCAUUAGAUUUGUCUUAUCAUUAUACUUUUUAUACAAUUUCAUCAUUUUUCUAUAAUAUAUUAAAACUCUAUGAAAAUUCAAAAGAAUAUACUUUUGAAUUUUCAUAGAAUUUUAUUAUAUUAUAGAAAUAUGGUGAGAAUCCUAGAUGCUUUUAUCUCUCUUUCAGACUUAAAAGCCAGUAUGCGUUCAAUAAGUACGUGGCCAACUCCGGACCUAGCUUUUGCGAACGUGGGACGUUCACUUCGGAUAGCCUCGAAAUGAGUACCUCUUACUUUAAAAAUUUAUAACUUUGGCAUACGAGCUCCGUUUUCGACAUUCACUUUCAUUUAGACUCUGUUUGCUAAUUUUGAUUUUUAUUUUUAAAUUUAUAUUUUUUAACAGGCCGGGACUGGAAAAGCCCGUUAAAAAUUCAUAACUUCUUCAUCCGACGUUCGUUUUCGUAUGACUUUUUACCAUUAAACUACUAUCGACGAGAUUUUUGAUUCUCAUUUACAUUGUGUUGGAUAAAAAUCGCUCGAUCUAUACUUCGAACUACGGGCUGCACAAUGUUAUGCCAAAUCUUAGAAAAUUCAUAACUUCCUCAUACGAAGCUAGAUUUGGAUUUCUUUUUUAUGCACGCUCUUGGUUUAACGUAUACUACGAUUUUCAUUUAGAUUGCUAAGGCUAAAAAACACUUUAUCGUAAACUCACUUUUCACGUCACACAAUGUCAUGUCAGUUUUGUCGCGAAACUUCGAUAUGUCAUAAAUUCUUCGUGAUCAGGGCCGAUCUUGAAAAAUGAAAUAUUCUUGGAGCCCCAGGACGAGCAAGAAAAAAAUGGCCCUUAUCUUUAUUAUAAUUUUGUAAUUUUAAAUAAAAAUAUAUAAUGAAAAAAAUUAGGCCAUGUGCAGCUGCCCACUUUGCCUCCUUCUAAGCCCCCAUUGUUCAUGAUAACUCGGAUUUCAGCGUUCUUUAUAUUUCUGGAGUCCUUGUCACGACCACUACAACUUUCUUCAUAGAUAUCGGGUUUAUAUAACAUUUUAUUUUUGACGCUUAUUUUUAUUCUUAAUUAAUUAUAUCAUUAUAAACAAGUAUAUAAUCACAUAAAAUCACGUAAUUCACAUAAUACUCAAGUAAUUCAUCUUUAUUACAUUAAAAUAGGUUACAAUGGUUGACCUUGACUAUUACAUCAUCAUACUAAUGUGAAACAACCUAAAAUACGACCCAAUUUUUUUUUUGUUAAAAUAAUACUAAAGAUAUCAACCAUCAUAAUAUAUCAUGAAAUCGUACGUCAUAAAUCCCCAAAAAGUUAUAAUAGAUAUGUCAUGACAAAAGAGUUGUAUCAACAUACCAUAGUAUCUAAAAUAAACUCCCAGGACAAAAGUUGAAACUGUGGUGUGUGCAAUGUCAUCAUCCUGAGCUCUUUCCUUUGCUUGCGGAAAUACCUGAAACCAAAACUGAAACUGUAAGCACAAAGCUUAAUGAGCUCCCCCAAACUACCACAUACCAUACAAUAGCAUAUACAACACAUACUAGGCCUUGCCCACUGCAUCGGACCGAAGUCCGGAAAUUGCAUCGGACCGAAGUCCAGAACUAACCAAGGCCUUGCCCUCUGCAUCGGACCGAAGUCCGGAACUACAUCAGACCGAAGUCCGGAAACUAACCAGGGCCUUGCCCUCUGCAUCGGACCGAAGUCCGGAACUAACUGCAUCGGACUGAAGUCCGGAACUGACUGCAUCGGACCGAAGUCCGAAAUUGUCUGAACAUAACAUAUCAUAAACAUCUCAACCAGUAUGAACACAUAAACUGCAUAUCGCAUCAGACCGAAGUACGAAACACAUAACACAAAUACAUGCUUGAAUCACAAAGACAUCAAGCAUUCUAAGUACUGCAACGGACGGAGGUCCGAAACUUCUGCUAACUAAACCGACCGGCAUUGUAGCCGUAGACCCGUUCCUACUGGAAGGAAAACUCACCUCGUAAUGCUGGCUGCUGAGAUGCUAACUCUAAAAGUGACUGACCGCUGCUUCGGAACUGUCCGACUACAAAUCCCAGAAACACUAGAUUAGUUACUUGCAUAUACCCUCAGGGUAAGAUGACUAUUUUGCCCCUGGUCAAAGUCAACUUCUAGUUGACCGGACUCGCCGACUAUGGGCGCAGAACCGCCGAGUCCCUCCUUUACUAACUCUGACUUUAACUCACCGAGUCCCUUUCCCACUCACUGACUCUCUCUGAACUCGUAGGUCGAAGAAAAAAGGGGACUCACGACUCGACUCGUCGAGUCUGAAGAACAACUCGCCGAGUCCUGCCGUGCAUAUUCCAAACAAACGAAUUCAAAACUAUUCCAGAGCAUCUGACUUGAAGAUCUGAGCCCUUGGAACUAUCUAAACACGUGAAGUUUCUAACUUUACGUGCAACUAAGAAGGAAUGAAGCUAUUUCACUCAAACACUACUUUUCUUGGGAAAACUCAUCCGACUCGCCGAGUUGUAUGAACAACUCGUCGAGUCUAAGGUGAUCUUCAUCGGACUCGCAGAGUUGCUCAUCAAACUCGUCGAGUCUACGACUAUCUUCAUAUGACUCGCCAAGUCACACAUGCGACUCGCCAAGUCCAUUCAGUCCCUUUUUCCAUACAGACCUGAUUUGGGCCAUGCAGUGGCUCCAAAUCACAGAUCCAAGAUUCUAGGGCAUGCUUAUCACGUAAAUUUGCAAACUUUACGUGCAUGCAUGGCUUUAAAGGCUUCAAAUGCCAACCCUAAGCUCUUAAUGGGGUUCCAAGCUCAAGAGGGACCUCAAUCACGACCAUAACCGAAACUUUACUCUUCUAGAAUGCAAUGAGAGUCUAGAUCUGAUGUUUCCAUAAAAGGGGAAGUCCAUCUCUCAAGUUUGAACCAUAAGAGGCUCCAAAGAGGGCAUAACAAGCAUAUAUGAGGUUAUAAUGGGGGAAUGCACAAGGUCAUAACUUCAUUACCUGAAUGAAAAACAGAUGUAAGCUAACUCCUAGAUUUUCCUUCCCUUCUAUGGACCUUCCUUCCUUCCCAAAGCUUCCAAGCUAUCACAAAUACCCUCAAACUCAACAAUGGGGCUAGGGUUUACAAGGGAAAUGUUAUGAGAGUGAUAGAGGCGAGGUUGGGGGCGCAUAAGUGUGUUUAAAUAGGGUGAAAACCCUUAAAAUUAGGGCUUCAUCCAGACAGGCGGACUCGCCGAGUCCAACGUAUGGACUAGUCGAGUAGCCAUCUCAAAACGCGUGAUCGUCCCGUCUCUACUUGACGAGUCAGGCUACAGACUCGUCGAGUACCCCUUCAGAAAUGAAAAUACUUUAUUUGAAUUACAUACCAGAAAUGGGGCGUUACAACUCUCCCCCACUUAUCUUAGACUUUGUCCUCGUAGUCUGCUGCUGCUGCUGAAAAUAACUCUGGGUAAUGCUCCCUCAUCUCCUACUCGGACUCCCACGUCCACUCUGAACCCUUUCGGUGCUGCCACAACACCUUCACUAGCUGAACCACCUUGUUCCUCAAGGUCUUCGUCUUCCAAUCUAUGAUCGCAACUGGUCUCUCGAUAUAAUUCAGGCUGCUAUCAACCUGAAUAUCCUCCAAGGGUACAACUGCUGACUUGUCCACCAAACACUUUCGCAACUGGGAAACAUAGAAAGUGUUGUGGAUCUGGCUAAGCUCUACCGGAAGAUCCAACCGAUAAGCAACCCGACCCACCCGGACCAAAACCCUAAAAGGGCCAAUGAACCUGGGACCCAGCUUGCCUCUCUUCCGAAACUUGAUAACACCCUUCCAAGGUGAUACCUUCAGGAGGACCAUAUCGCCCACCUGAAACUCCAAGUCCGAACGCCUCUUGUCGGUGUAACUCUUCUGCCUACUCUGUGCAGUCUGCAGUCUACUACGAACCUGCUGGAUCAACUCUGUGGUCUUGAGCACCAUUUCAGUGCUCCCAAUGACUCACUGACCAACCUCGCCCCAACAAAUCGGAGUCCUGCACUUCCUUCCGUAUAGCAUCUCGAAAGGAGGACGUUUAAUACUAGUGUGGUAACUAUUGUUAUACGGAAAUUCCGCUAGUGGGAGAUACGUAUCCCAACUACCACCGAAGUCUAGAACACAUGCCCGGAGUAUGUCCUCGAGAGUCUGAAUUGUCCUCUCACUCUGCCCGUCCGUCUGGGGGUGGAAGGCGGUGCUAAAAUGAAGACGAGUCCCCAUCUCGUCAUGAAACUGCUUCCAAAAUCUGGAAGUAAAACGGACGUCUCGGUCUGACACUACCGAAACAGGCACUCCGUGCUGUGCUACUACCUCGCGUACAUAGAUGUGGGCUAGCUUCUUAGCCGAUAUGCUCUCCUAGAUCGGUAUAAAAUGUGCGCUCUUGGUCAGCCGAUCCAUUAUGACCCAAAUCGAAUCCACUCCCCGUGCGGUCCUGGGAAGCUUGGUGACAAAAUCCAUGGUAAUGUCCUCCCAUUUCCAUAUGGGAAUAUCUAACGGCAGCAUCUUGCCGUGGGGUCUCUGGUGCUCUGCCUUGACCUUCCUGCAGGUCAGGCAUCUCCCCACAUUCCAGGCGACAUCCUGCUUCAUGCAGGGCCACCAAUAGUCGGGUCGAAGAUCUCUGUAGAUCUUCGUUGCCCCUGGGUGGAUGGAAAAUCAAGAAUUAUGAGCCUCGUCCAUCAAUACCUGCCAUACUCCGCCCCAGUACAGUACCCAAACCCUCCCAUGGAGGGUCAACAAUCGUUAACUGUCAUAAUCAAAGGAAGCUACUCGGUCCACGAUUCUCUCACACUUCUGCCUCUCCUCCUUGAGGCCCUCGACGUGUGCCUCCCUGAUCUGCUCCAACAAGGGAGUAAUCACUGUCAUCCUCAAGCAUACAUCCCUGAUCGGGGCCGCUGCCGUCUUGUGGCUCAGGGCGUCGGCCACUACGUUGGCCUUCCCCGGGUGAUAAAGGAUCUCACAGUCGUAAUCCUUCACCACAUCUAACCACCGACGCUGCCGCAUGUUAAGAUUCGGCUGGUCCAUGAGGUACUUCAGACUCUUGUGAUCCGUGUAGAUGGUGCAACGGACCCCAUAGAGGUAGUGUCUCCAAAUCUUGAGGGCGAACACCACUGCCCCCAACUCCAAAUCAUGCAUCGGAUAGUUAGCCUCGUGAGACUUCAACUGUCUGGAGGCAUAAGCUAUCACAUGCCCCCGUUGCAUCAACACUGCCCCCAUAUCUGCGAUCGAGGCAUCACAGUAGACUACAAAAUCAUCCACUCUCUCCGGCAAGGUCAGAAUCGGUGCCUCGCACAAUCGCUGUCUGAGAGUCUCGAAAGUCGCCUGCUGCUCAGGCCCCUAACGAAACACCACCGACUUCUUGGUUAGUCGGGUGAGUGGAACUGCUAUCUUGGAGAAAUACUGAAUGAAUCUCCUGUAGUACCCUGCCAAACCUAGGAAGCUCUGAAUCUAUGAUGGAGACUUUGGGACCUCCCACUGCAUCAUGGCCUCUAUCUUGGCCGGAUCUACCAGUAUACCCUUCUGGUUGAUGAGGUGCCUAAGGAAUUGCACCUCGCGCAACUAGAACUCGCACUUGGAGAACUUUGCUAAAAGUUUCUCCCUCCUCAAGACCUCUAGCACCUCCCUUAGGUGCUCCUCGUGCUGCUCCUGAGUCUUGGAAUAAACCAAGAUGUCAUCGAUGAAUACAAUCACAGACCGGUCCAACAUCGGCAUGCACACGCGGUUCAUGAGUUCCAUGAACGCGGAUGGAGCGUUGGUGAGCCCAAACGACAUCACCACAAACUCAUAAUGACCAUAACGGGUCCUAAAAGUUGUCUUCUGAACAUCCUCACCCCUGACCCGCAUCUGAUGAUAACCGGAGCGCAAAUCAAUCUUGGAAAACCAAGACGCUCCUUGAAGCUAAUCGAACAAGGCAUCUAUCCUCGGAAGUGGGUAACGGUUAUUCACCGUUACCUUGUUCAACUCCCAGUAGUCUAUGCACAUACGGUGCGACCCAUCCUUCUUCUUCACAAACAAGAUUGGGGCUCCCCAUGGAGAACUAAUUAGUCUAAUGAAACCCUUGUCUAGCAGCUCCUGCAGCUGCGUAUACAACUCCUGCAUUUCUGGAGGAGCCAACCGAUACGGCGCCUUGGCUAUCGGAGCCGCACCAGGAACCAAGUCAAUCUUGAACUCAACCUGUCUCUCUGAAGGUAUCCCAGGUAAUUCCUCUGGGAAUGAGUCCGGGUACUCUCGCACCACUGCUACAUCAUCUACUGUCAUCGUACUCUUAUCCCGGGUAUCCAUCACAUAUGUGACAUAACCUGCUUAACCCUGUUGGAAGUAGCGCCUCACUCUCACUGCUGAACAAAGAAUCGGUCCGCGUUGUGGGCUCUCGCCCUGAAUCACUAACUCUCCCCCGUUGGGAGUGCGAACCCUCACUAGCUGCAAUUCGCAAUCAAUCAUCGCCCCAUUGGGGCUCAACCAAUCCAUGCUUACUAUGGCCUUGUUCCCUCGCAAAGGAAUAGGGACCAUGUCCACCGAAAACUGCUCAUCGAAUAACUGCAGUGAGCAUGCCUUAUGCACCCUCGUGACCCUGACGGUCCUAUCAUCGGCUAUCUCCACCUCGAGUGGACAAUCCAGCUCCCUAGGAUCUCUGCUAAACCUCUUGCUAAGUGCAAGAGAGACAAACGAUCGGGUAGCCCCUGAAUCAAAUGACACUGUAGCUGAAAUGUCGUUCACUAAGAACGACCCUAUACAUAAACAUAUAACAUUAGAAACAAUCAAUAAUCAAUGCAUAGAUAAAAGGAAAAUACAUACCCGUCACCACGUCAGGAGUCGCUCGCGCCUCCUCUGCUGUUAUCUGAAAAGCUCUACUCUUCGCCACUGGCACCUCGGCCCGCCCCUGACGACCGUUCGUAAUCCUCAAUGUAGCAGGGGCAGGUGCCGACACCUUCCCUGCUGCUGCUAAGCUUGGGCACUGGGACUUUUUAUGUCCCCUCUGAUUGCAAUGGAAGCAAAUCAGAUCUGAUGCUGCGGUAGCUGUGGUAGAAACUGUACAAUCUCUGCUCAUAUGCCUAGUCCAACCGUACUUGUAGCAGCCGGAACUCCCUGCCUUGCACGCCCCAUCGUGUAAUCUCCCACACUUGCCACACCGACUGUGGCUCUGCUGACCUCUGGACCUAUGAUCCGAAACCUUGGGCUUCUUGCCCAAACUCCCUGUACCCGAAGCCGCCUCCGCCUUCCUCUUAUUCUCCAUCUCAAGAUCAAUCUCUCUCUCUCUCUCUCUCUCUCUCGCCCUUGCAAUCAUAUCAUCCAGCAUCUUACAGCUGGAUCGGCUCACAAACUGGCGGAUAUCACUCCGCAGCGUCUCAUGAUAACGGGCCUUCUUCAUUUCCUCGUCAGCUGCGUACUGAGGAACAAGAAGAGCCCUCUCCCUGAACUUGGCGGUAAUCUCCGCCACUGUCUCUAUAGUCUGAGUAAGGUCUUGAAACUCUCUAGCUAACUGUUGCACCUCAAUAGUCGGUGCGAACUCGGCUCUGAACCUGGUGGUAAAAUCAGCCUAAGUCAUAGUAUCAAGUGCUAUGUCAUCCCUGAUACCAUGCCCAACCUCCUCCCACCAGUCACAUGCCCUAUCCUUCAGGAGACAGGAUGCUAAUCUGACCUUGUCCCCUUCGGGACAUCUGCUAGUGCGGAACACGUUGGCAACAUCUGCCAACCACCUAGUGCUCGCAAUGAGGUCCCGCACCCCAUGAUAGCCUGGAGCUCCACAAGCCCGAAACUCCCUGAAGGUGAGUGUGCGCGACCCCAUCAUGGCCGCCAUCUCAGCACGAAAUGUGCUCAACUUCUCAUCCAUCAACUCCAAGAUACCCUCCUUGAUCGAACCGAAGAUCACAGGACUCUGCUCAAGUAUGAUACGGGUAACCUCUGAAGUGAAAAACUCCCUAGUUUGCUCAUCCAACUGCUCGGCCCCCCAGCCUGAUCCUGAUCCUUCCUCGGCACCUGAGCUGCCGACUGCUGGCCUAGGGCGUAAAACCACCAUUCUGAAAACACAUCAUGAUAAACGUCAAAAACACUGAUAUAUCUCUAGGGAUCGCUACUACUAUAGGUUUCCUGGUCUCGCCUCUGCCUUCCUUGAUUCAAGUACAAAUCCUCAACAAAAACCAGUCCUCAACUGCUGAAGGCCUCCUUGUAAUGCCAAUUAGUCAUCACCUGAAUAUCAUCACAUGUGACGAGACUCAGAUAAUCCUUCGAGUAAAAGACUCAUUCCUACAACGGAUGGACUCAAACAAGAGCUGCGCAGUAGAGCCAAAUCCAGCACUCUGAGAUUAUUCAACCCUGAUCUCAGGCGAUGUGUCGUAUUCACCUAAUGGUUAACUCUCAUUACCCGGAGUCUCAUAAAGCACAAAGCAAGCAGCAUUCGGACACAGGAAACUAAUCAAGCCACUCUAUUCUCAUAACAAGAAAUUGUACUAGCAUACAAUGUUAAGCUCGUACUGUCAGGCAUAACCUAAACAGGCUAUCCUACUGCUGUCUACUCAAUACUAGCAUGCAGUUCUCAUAAAGCUGAAGCACAUAUAGCAUGCACAUAAGGCAUCCUGCUAGAUCCUUAGUCCUAUUCUAGCAUGCUGUUCUACUGAAACUAAAACUGAUAAUCAUAACAUAAACUUGUAUGGGUAAUUUAGGGGUACUUACUUGAGCUCGACUGAUCGCAUGCACCACACCCUUUUCUCGUUUUCAAAACUCUUUUCUUUUUAAGUCUCUUUCUCAAAAGUUCUUUUGAACACAUUUUUCUUUCGAAAAUCUUUUUUCUAUUUCCUCAGUUUGAGUUCAGUUACACCCGUAAGUGUGUCUGAAUCCCUCAAACCAAGGCUCAGAUACCAACUUGAAAUAACCCAAAAUACAACCCAAUUUUUUUUUGUUAAAAAAAUACUAAAGAUAUCAACCAUCAUAAUAUAUCAUGAAAUCGUACGUCAUAAAUCCCCAAAAAGUUAUAAUAGAUGUGUCAUGACAAAAGAGUUGUAUCAACAUAACAUAGUAUCUAAAAUAAACUCCCAUGACAAAAGCUGAAACUGUGGUGUGUGCAAUGCCGUCAUCCCGAGCUCUUCCCUUUGCUUGCGGAAGUACCUGAAACCAAAACUGAAACUGUAAGCACAAAGCUUAGUGAGCUCCCCCAAACUACCACAUACCAUACAAUCAUAUAAAACACAUAUUGGGCCUUGCCCACUGCAUCGGACCGAAGUCUAGAAAAUGCAUCGGACCGAAGUCCGGAACUAACCAGGGCCUUGCCCUCUGCAUCGGACCAAAGUCCAGAACUGCAUCGGACCGAAGUCUGGAAACUAACCAGGGCCUCGCCCUCUGCAUCGGACCGAAGUUCGGAACUAACUGCAUCCAACCGAAGUCCGGAAUUGUCUGAACAUAACAUAUCAUAAACAUCUCAACUAGCAUGAACACAUAAACUGCAUACCGCAUCGGACCGAAGUCCGAAACACAUAACACAAAUACAUGCUUGAAUCACAAAGACAUCAAGCAUUCUAACUACUGCAACGGACAGAGGUCCGGAACUUCUGCUAACUAAACGGGCCGGCAUUGUGGCCGUAGACCCGUUCCUACUGGAAGGAAAACUCACCUCGUAAUGUUGGCUGCUGAGAUGCAAACUCUAAAAGUGGCUGACCGCUGCUCCGGAACUGUCCGACUACAAAUCCCAGAAACACUAGAUUAGUUACUUGCAUAUACCCUCAGGGUAAGAUGACUAUUUUGCCCCCGGUCAAAGUCAACUUCUAGUUGACCGGACUCACCGAGUCAGGGCGCAGACUCGCCGAGUCCCUCCUUUACUAACUCUGACUUUAAUUCACAGAGUCCCUUUCCCACUCACUGACUCUCUCUGAACUCGUAGGUCGAAGAAAAAAGGGGACUCACGACUCGACUCGUCGAGUCUGAAGAACAACUCGCCGAGUCCUGCCGUGCAUAUUCCAAACAAACGAAUUCAAAACUAUUCCAGAGCAUCUGACUUGAAGAUCUGAGCCCUUGGAACUAUCUAAACACGUGAAGUUUCUAACUUUACGUGCAACUAAGAAGGAAUGAAGCUAUUUCACUCAAACACUACUUUUCUUGGGAAAACUCAUCCGACUCGCCGAGUUGUAUGAACAACUCGUCGAGUCUAAGGCGAUCUUCAUCAGACUCGCCGAGUUGCUCAUCCAACUCGUCAAGUCUACGGCUAUCUUCAUAUGACUCUCUGAGUCACGCAUGCGACUCGCCGAGUCCAUUUAGUCCCUUUUUCCAUACAGACCUGAUUUGGGCCAUGCAUUGGCUCCAAAUCACAGAUCUAAGCUUCUAGGGCAUUCUUAUCACGUAAAUUUGCAAACUUUACGUGCAUGCAUGGCUUUAAAGGCUUCAAAUGCUAACCCUAAGCUCUUAAUGGGGCUCCAAGCUCAAGAGAGACCUCAAUCAUGACCAUAACAGAAACUUUACUCUUCUAGAAUGCAAUAAGAGUCCAGAUCUAAUGUUUCCAUAAAAAGGGGAAGUCCAUCUCUCAAGUUUGAACCAUAAGAGGCUCCAAAGAGGGCAUAACAAGCAUAAAGGAGGUUAUAAUGGGGGAAUGCACAAGUUCAUAACUUCAUUACCUGAAUGAAAAAUAGAUGUAAGCUAACUCCUGGAUCUUCCUUCCCUUUUAUGGACCUUCCUUCCUUCCCAAUGCUUCCAUGCUAUCACAAAUACCCUCAAACUCAACAAUGGGGCUAGGGUUUACAGGGGAAAUGUUCUGAGAGUGAUAGAGGCGAGGUUGGGGGCGCAUAAGUGUGUUUAAAUAGGGUGCAAACCCUUAAAAUUAGGGCUUCAUCCAGACAGGCGGACUUGCCGAGUCCAGCGUAUGGACUCGUCGAGUAGCCAGCUCAAAACGUGUGAUUGUCUCGUCUCUACUCGACGAUUCGGGCUACAGACUCAUCGAGUACCCCUUAAUAAAUGAAAAUACUUUAUUUGAAUUACAUACCAAAAAUGGGGCAUUACAUAAUGCUUAGCCCAGAAACACGGACGUUACACUUCUCUCCUCCUUAGGAUGAUGCCAUCCCCAGAAUCAUACAUCAACAAACUAAUGCGGAUAGCGACUCAUCAUGUCACUCUCCAUUUCCUAGGUGAGAUUUGACUCAUUCGUAUGUUUCCGUCGCACAAGUAGUAAGUCAACCAUCUUGUGACGCAACUUCUUCGUCUUAUGGUCAACAAUCGCCUCCGGUUCUUCAACUAGCCUCUUAUUUUCAUCCAUCCUUAGCUCAUAAAUUAGAAUUAUGUCAGGAACUUCUCCCAUGAAUUUCCUCAAAUAACUCACAUGGAAAGUGUUAUGAAUAAUGUCUAGUUCUUCUGGUAGUUCUAGCUUGUAGGCUUGGUUCCCAAUCCUCUGAAGAACUUUGAACGGUCCAAUGAAUCUUGGACUUAACUUCCCUUUUUCCCGAAUCUUAUAAGUUCCUUGUAGCACCUGGUUCCUGGUAUGUAAUUUAUUUAAAUAUUUUGCAUUUUUGGCCUUGGACUCGGCAAGUUGAAGGACCAACUUGCCGAGUAGAAGCGGGAUGGGACGUGGGAUUUAAGUGAUGGACACGUCGAGUCGGGUCCCGGACUCGACGAGUAGGCUCUGACUGAAAAACCCUAAUCCGAGGGUUUGCACCCUAUUUAAUCAUCUCAUUUUCCCCUAAUGCUCCCAGAAACCCUCCCUAGUAAACCCUAAGUGUUUUGGUGCAAGAUCUAAGGCUUUUGAGUGAUUUUUGUGGGUUUUGACCUCAAGGAAUAAGGAAGAGCAUAGAAGGAUCAAGAGGAGACUGAAGGAUUAGAGUUUGGUGCAUCAUUUUCAGUCCUUGAAAGGUAUAAAUUAUGUACCUUGCUUGUUCAUUUGUUAGAUCCUUUUUUGGGGAAGAUUUAGGGCUUCUUAAGUCAUAUGAGGUGGCCAAACAUGGUUGGGGGUCAAGACUUCGGAUCUAAGUCUUGGAAGGAGUCCCAAAGCAGAUUUGGGUUGCUUUUGCACCCAAGGAAGGUCCCAUGCAACAUAAGAGCCAUUUUAGAGCCUUUUUGGGUCAAAAGUCCCAUGCAUGCACGUAAAGUUCGAAACUUUACGUUCUAGAUCGAGCUUAGGGCUUGGAUCUAUCUUUUUGUCAAAGGUUGUACAUCAGAAAUCGAGGAUUUAGGGUGUGGAUGUUAUCGAAUCGGCGAGUCAGUUCUUGGGACACGACGAGUCCAAAGCAUAGGGUCUGUUAUCUGUUGAGGGUCAAAAGAACCCAGUUGGGUGUUAGAAGGGUUGUAGAAGGUCCGAGAGAGUGACCCAACGUGUUGGACUUAGCCUUAGACUUGGAAUUCAUGGGACUCGUCGAGUGCUAGAACAGACUCGGCGAGUCCAAGGCAAUCUCCUUAUCGAUGAAGAUGAACUCGACGAGUUGUUCAUACAACUCGGCGAGUCGGGGUCAGGACUUGUUCAUCAGAUGAAGGUGAACUCGACAAGUGUUCAUCCGACUCGGCGAGUCGGAUGAAGGUUCAUUGAUGUUCGUAAAGAAAGGGAACUCGUCGACUUGUUGCCAAACUCGACGAGACGAGUCGUGGAUAAGGACGAGUAAAGGAAAGGGACUCGACGAGUUNAACUCGGGGAGUCGGGUCAACUGGAAGUUGACUUUGACUUGGACUUGGUUGGGGGUAAAAUAGUCAUUUUACCCCAAGAGUAGAUAUUAGUUUUCUGACUGAGUAUUUUGUGGGGAUUAUAGCCGGAGGAUUUCCGAAGCAACAGCAGGCAGAGGUUUCCUGCACAUAUUAUCAGCAGCUACUUGUUCGAGGUGGGUUGCCUACCAGUAGCGGUGGGUCUACGACCACAAUGUCGGCCCACCAAUAGGAGUUGUAUAAUUAUAUGAUUGUCUUUGUGAUAUCAUCUAGGUUGCUUCUACCUGAUAUGUUAUAUGCUGGCAUGAUAUGUUAUAUGUGAUAGUAGUAGAGUUCGGUUGUUAGGACCGAAGGGUAGGUCAAACACCCCAGAUAUGUAUGACAGUAUGUGAUGAUAUGUUUAUAUGCCGACAUGACAUGUUAUAUGGGAUAGUGGUAGUAGGAGGGGAACAGUCCCCAAGUUCGGUUGUUAGAACCGAAGGGUAGUUCAGACACCCCAGAUAUGUCUGAUAGUAUGUUUAUGUUAUGAUAUAUGUGAUAGUAGUGGUACGUGUGGAAUAGUCCCCGAGGGUCGGUCUUUAGGACUGACGGGUAGGUCAGCACCCCAAAAAGACUUGACAGGGGUAGGACGACACCCCAGAAUGGCCGCACGGGUAGGUCGGCACCCCAGAAUGGCCGUACCGGGUAGGCCGGGCACCCUAGAAUUGCCUGGCAGUAUGUAUGCUAUGUGAUUGUAUGGUAUGUGGUACGAUGGGGGAACUUACUAAGCUUCCUGCUUACAGUUUACAGUUUUGGUUUCAGGUACCUCUUCAACAAAGGGGAAGGAGCUGGCGCGGUAGCGGCACAUCAUACACACAUGUUGGUUUCCGCACUAGUGUUUCUUGGGUCGUUACAAGUUGGUAUCAAAGCCCUGAUCUGAGGGAUUCGGACACACCUUGGGGGUGUCUGGACUCAAAUCGAGGGAUUAAAAGACUUUUACAAGAAAAAUGGUUUCUUAAAAGCUAAGAUAAAAGAGUUUUGGGAAAGAACAAAGUGUGUGAUGUGCGCGACCGGCCGAGCUCAAGUAAGUAUUCCCCAAAGUACCCAUACAAGUUUAUGUUAUGUUUAUCAGUUUCAGUAGAAUAGCAUGCUAGAAUAGGACUGAAGAUCUAGGAAUGAUGGCUUAUGUGUCUGCUUUAUGUGCUCCAGCUUAUGAGAAUUGCAUGCUAGUAUUAAGUAGAAAAUAAUAGGAUAGUCUGUUUAGGUUAUGCCUGGUAUUAUGAGCUCAGCAUUGUAUGAUGGUACAACUUCUCGUUAGGAGAAUAGAGUUGUUUGAGUAGUUUCCUGUGUCCGAAUGAUGCUUGCUCAGUGCUUGUAGGACUCUGAAUGAUGGCCGUUAGCCAUUAGGUGAGUACGUCGCGUCGCAUGUCAUUAGGAUUGAAUAAUCUCAGAGUGCUGGAUUUGGCCCUAUUGCGCGGCUCUCGUUUGAGUCUAACCGUUGUAGGGACGAGUCUUUUACUUGAAGGAUUAUCUGAGCCUUGUUACAUGUGAUGGUAUUUAGGUGAUGGCUAAUUGAUAUCACAAGGAGGCCUUCAACAGCCGAGGACCGGUUUGGGUAGAGUCAGAGAUUUUCCCUAGGGUAAGCCUACGAUGAGAGUAGCAGAGAUCAGCAGUGGAAAAAGGGACUUGGUGGAGUCGAGGCCGUCCUUGAGGAAAGUACGGAUAGAUAUGGAAGGUAGUAUGGGCCCGUACUACAGAAAGCAGAGGAUCCGUACUCGAAUUAAGGAAGGCUAAGGCAAGACCAAGGAACUUGUGAUGGGUGUGAUCCCUAUAGAUGUACUAGUAUCACUGACGGAUGUCAUGAUGUAUUGCGGAAUGGUGGUACUAAGGCCAAGGCCAGCAGUGGGUAGCUCAGGAGAGGGAUCGGGUUCGGGUUCAGGCUCCGAACCAGUGGACGAGAGGCUACGCGAGUUCAUCGCGUCUAAGAUCACUAUAGGCAUCCUUGAUGCGACCCCGAUCAUCUUUGGGUCGAUCAAGGAAGGGAUUGUUGAGCUGAUGGAGGAUCGCCUUAGGGCGCUCAGGAGUGACAUGGCGACCAGCCAGUCAGGAUCCCGCAUACUAUCCUUUAAGGACUUCAGGGGCAGUGGCGCGCCGGACUUCCACGGGGAAAAGGACCCCAUUUCUGCUAGACGAUGGAUUGCGGACAUGGAGUCUGCACAGCUGACAAGCUUCUGCCCCGAGGGGCCGAAGGUGAGAUAUGCAGCAGGGUGUUUGAGAGACAGAGCUAGAGAUUAGUGGGAGUCUGUUGUUGACUCCUUGGGAGCCUCGGCUGUUGAGGCUAUGACCUGGUUAGACUUUGUGACCAGAUUCAGGGCGGAGUUUGCGCCAGCUGUAGAGCUUCAGCAGCUGGCCAGAGAGUUUUUGGAUAUGAGACAGACUACGGAGACUGUGGCGGAGAUCACCGCCAACUUCUGGGAGAGGGCAUUGCUUGUGCCCCAGUAUGCGGGAGAUGAGGACAUGAGGAUGACCCGCUAUCAUGACAUGCAGCGAGCCGAAAUUCGGGAGCAUGUUAGUUUUUCAGCUUGCCCUACCCUAGAUUCCAUGAUUUCCAGAUCAAGGGAGAGGGAGAUCGAUCUAGAACAUGUCCAGAAGAGGAAGGUAGAGGAGGGGCAGACGAUUGGGGCUUCGGAGAAGAAGCCUAAGGGAUCAGAUGGUAGGCCGAAAGGCCAGUCAGGACCAGGCCACUGCAGGAAAUGCGGCAGGCCACAUGAGGGGGCGUGUAGAUUGGGAUUGUCGGGCUGCUACAAGUUCGACAAGACGGGGCAAUUCAGCAGAGAUUGUACCGCCCCUACACCAGUUAUUCAGACGUCUGAGUUGCUGUGUUUUCAAUGCAACCAGAGGGGCCACAAGAAAGACAACUGCCCCCAGUUAACAGCAGCAACAGUGCCAGUGAAGGCGCCAGGUCUAGCGACCCUGCGAAUUACUGAUGACUGGAAGGCCAAGGCUGAGGCUCCAGUGGUGAGGAGUCGGGCCUUCCAGUUGACUACCGAGGAGGCACGCGCUGCACCCGAUGUGGUAACAGGUAUGACUUCUUGUUUAUGCUUUUAUGAUAUGCUGCUGUGAUUUUGAUAUGUUAUGUAUGUGCUCUGUUUAGGAUCGUUCCAUGUGAACGGUAUCCCAGUUCAAGUAUUGUUUGAUUCGGGUGCUACCCGAUCAUUUGUCUCUCUUGCGCUUAGCAAGAAGUUUCCUGAGUCUUCGGGCAUGUUGGAUUGCCCUUUAGAGGUUGAGAUUGUAGACGACAGGUCGGUACGAGCAUUAGAGGUCUUCCGAGAUUGUGUUUUGAGGUUGUUCGAGGAGCGUUACAUGGUAGACUUGAUUCCCAUACCCUUGCGGGGGAACAAGGUUAUUAUCGACAUGGAUUGGUGGAGCCCCAAUAGGGCGGUGAUAGAUUGCGCACAAUAGUUGGUGCGAGUCAGGACCCCAGGAGGGGGAGAUUUAGUGAUUUAGGGUGAGAGCCACAGCGAGGGCCAACCUUAUGUUCGGCAACGAGGACAAGGCGUUACCUUCAGCAGGGUUGCGCCGGAUAUGUCGCUUAUGUCAUGGACACCCGGGAGGAGGGAAAGGCGACAGUGGGCAAUGUGCCUGUGGUACGAGAGUUUGCGGACGUAUUCCCCGAGGAGUUGCCUGGGAUACCUCUGGAACGAUAGGUGGAGUUUAGGAUCGACCUAGUCCUUGGUGCGGCUCCGAUAGCCAAGGCACCGUAUCGGUUGGCUCCUCUUGAGAUGCAGGAGUUGUCUACACAGCCGCAGAAAGUAUUAGACAAGUGAUUCAUUAGACCUAGUAGUUCUCCCUGGGGAGCCCCGAUUCUGUUUGUGAAGAAGAAGGACGGGUCGCAUCGGAUGUGUAUAGAUUAUCGGGAGCUGAAUAAGUUAACGGUGAAGAACCGUUACCCACUCCCGAGGAUUGAUGACCUCUUUGACCAGCUACAGGGAGCAUCUUGGUUCUCCAAGAUUGAUCUGCGUUCAGGGUAUCAUAAGAUGAGGGUCAGAGAGGGGGAUGUACAGAAGAUAGCGUUCCGGACGCGCUAUGGCCAAUAUGAGUUCGUGGUGAUGCCUUUCGGGCUCACCAAUGCUCUUGCCGCAUUCAUGGAUCUCAUGAACCACGUGUGCAGACCAAUGUUGGAUCGGUCCGUGAUAGUUUUCAUCGAUGAUAUCUUGGUUUACUCCAAGACACAGGAGGAGCACGAGGAGUAUCUGCAAGAGGUUCUAGAGACUUUGAGAAGGGAGAACUUGUAUGUUAAGUUCUCCAAGUGUGAGUUCUGGUUGCGCGAGGUGCAAUUUCUCAGACACCUUGUCAACCAGAACGGGAUAUCGGUGGACUCGGCCAAAGUGGAGGCCGUGAUGAGAUGGGAGGUUCCAAGGUCUCCAUCCGAGAUUCAGAGUUUCCUAGGAUUAGUCGGCUACUAUCGGAGAUUCAUCCAUGAUUUCUCCAAGAUAGUCAUACCCCUGACCAGGCUAACGAGGAAAGUCGUGGUUUUUCGUUGGGGGCCUGAGCAGCAGGCCGCAUUCGAGACAUUGAGACAGAGAUUGUGUGAGGCACCAAUCUUAGCCCUAUCGGAGGGCAUAGAGAAUUUUGUUGUGUACUAUGACACGCCCAUUUCAGGUUUGGGCGCGGUACUGAUGCAGAGAGGGCAUGUCAUUGCCUACGCUUCGAGGCAGCUGAAGCUUCACGAGGCGAACUACCCGACGCAUGAUUUGGAGCUGGGGGCUGUUGUGUUCGCCCUUAAGAUUUGGCGUCAUUACCUCAAUAGGGUUCGCUAUACUAUCUACAUAAACCACAAGAGUUUGAUGUACCUCAUGGAUCAGCCGAAUCUAAACAUGAGGCAGCGUCGGUGGUUAGACGUGGUGAAGGAUUACGAUUACGAAAUCCUUUACCACCCGGGGAAGGCCAAUGUGGUGGCCGACGCACUUAGCCGCAAGGCAGCGCCGAUCAGGGAUAUUUGUCUGAGGAUGAUAGUGGUGACCCCGCUGUUGGAGCGGAUUCGGGAGGCCCAACGGGAGGCCAUGAAGGAGGAACAUCGGAAGAGCGAGCGGAUUGUGGGGCAAGUUUCCUCCUUCGAUUAUGAUAGCCGAGAGCUGUUGACACUACACCGUAGGGUGUGGGUGCCGUACCACGGGGGUGUACGCCAGGUUCUGAUGAAGGAGGCGCACAAAUCUCGAUUCUCCAUUCAUCCCGGGGCGACGAAGAUGUACAAGGACCUUCUUUUGGACUAUUGGUGGCCCUGCAUGAAGCUGGAUGUAGCAUGGUAUGUGGAGUGGUGCUUGACCUGUAGGAAGGUCAAGGCCAAGCACCAGAGGCCACAUGGAAAGAUGCAGCCGUUGGAUAUCCUGCUGUGGAAAUGGGAAGACAUUACGAUGGAUUUUAUCAUAAAGCUUCCUAGGAUCGCUCGGGGAGUGGAUUCGAUAUGGGUCAUCGUCGAUCGAUUAACCAAAGAGCGCCCAUUUUAUUCCGAUCCAGGAGGGAAUUUUGGCCGAAAAGUUGGCCAACAUCUAUAUCAGGGAGGUGGUGGUGCGGCACAGGGUGCCGGUAUCGGUGAUUUCAGACAGGGACGUGCGGUUCACUUCCAGGUUUUGGAGGAAGUUUCAUGACGAGCUGGGUACUCGUCUGUAUUUUAGCACCGCCUUUCACCCACAGACGGAUGGUCAGAGCGAUCGGACCAUCUAGACAUUAGAGGAUAUGCUGCGAGCAUGUGUUUUAGACUUCGGAGGUAGCUGGGAUACCUACCUUCUGUUGGCGGAAUUCUCGUAUAAUAAUAGCUAUCAUACGAGUAUUAACCGUCCUCCCUUCAAGAUGUUAUACGGGAGGAAGUGCAGAACCCCAAUAUGUUCGGGUGAGGUUGGCCAGAGGGUCAUGAGGAGCAUCGAGGUGGUGCUCAAGAUGACAGAGAGGAUUCAGCAGGUCCGGAGCAGACUUCAGACUGCUCAGAGUCGGCAUAAAAGUAAUCUUGAUAAGCGCCGAUCAGACCUGGAGUUCCAGCUCAAGGAUAUGGUUCUCCUAAAGCUGUCGCCAUGGAAGGGCGUCAUCCGAUUUAGGAAACAGGACAAGUUGGGCGCCACGUACAUUGGACCGUUCAGAUUCUUAGCCCGGGUGGGCAAGGUAGCAUACAGGUUGGAUCUGCCAGCCGAACUCAGCCAGAUCCACAACACUUUCCACGUCUCCCAGCUGCAGAAGUUUCUGGUGGACGACUCAGCAGCGGUACCCUUAAAAGAUAUUCAGGUCGAUGACAGCUUGAAUUACAUUGAGCGGCCAGUAGCGAUCCUCAACCGGAAGUCGAAGGAACUGAGGAACAAGAGGGUUGAACUAGUGAAGGUGCAAUGGCAACAUCGGAAGGGCUCAGAAUGGACUUGGGAGCCAGGGGAGGAGAUGAUCGAGCAUUACCCAGAGUUGUUCCAGGAACGAACAGCAGACUUCGAGGACGAAGUCUAAAAUAAGUGGGGGAGAUUUGUAGCACCUGGUUCCUGGUAUGUAAUUUAUUUAAAUAUUUUGCAUUUUUGGCCUUGGACUCGGCGAGUUCAAGGACCAACUCACCAAGUAGAAGCGGGAUGGGACGCGAGAUUUAAGUUAUGGACUCAUCGAGUCAGGUCCUGGACUCGACGAGUAGGCUCUGACUGGACAAAAACCCUAAUCUGAGGGUUUGCACCCUAUUUAAUCAUCUCAUUCAGCCACCACUCUACCCUAAUGCUCCCAGAAACCCUCCCUAGUAAACCCUAAGUGUUUUGGUGCAAGAUCUAAGGCUUUUUGAGUGAUUUUUGUGGGUUUUGACCUCAAGGAAGAAGGAAGAGCAUAGAAGGAUCAAGAGGAGACUGAACAAUUCGAGUUUGGUGCAUCAUUUUCUGUCCUUGAAAGGUAUAAAGUCUGUACCUUGCUUGUUCAUUUGUUAGAUCCCUUUUUGGGGAAGAUUUAGGGUUUUUUAAGUCAUAUGAGGUGGCCAACCAUGAUUGCAAACAUGGUUGGGGGUCAAGACUUCGGAUCUAAGUCUUGGAAGGAGUCCCAAAGCAUAUUUGGGUUGCUUUUGCACCCAAGGAAGGUCCCAUGCAACAUAAGAGCCAUUUAGAGCCUUUUUGGGUCAAAAGUCCCAUGCAUGCACAUAAAGUUCGAAACUUUAUGUGCUAGAUCGAGCUUAGGGCUUGGAUCUAUCUUUUUGUCAAUGGUUGUACAUCAGAAAUCAAGGAUUUAGGGUGUGGACGUUAUCGACUCGGCGAUUCCGUUCUUGGGACUCGACAAUUCCAAGGCAUAGAGUCCGUUAUCUGUUGAGGGUCAAAAGAACCCAGUUGGGUGUUAGAAGGGUUGUAGAAGGUCCGAGGGAGUAACCCAACGUGUUGGACUUAGCCUUAGACUCGGAAUUCAUGGGACUCGUCGAGUGCUAGAAUAGACUCGGCGAGUCCAAUGCAAUCUCCUUAUGGAUGAAGAUGAACUCGACGAGUUGUUUAUACAACUCGACGAGUCGGGGUCAGGACUUGUUCAUCAGAUGAAGGUGAACUCGACAAGUGUUCAUCCAACUUGGCAAGUCGGAUGAAAGUUCAUUGAUGUUCGUAAAGAAGGGGAACUCGUCGACUCGUUGCCAAACUCGACGAGUCGAGUCGUGGAUAAGGACGAGUAAAGGAAAGGGACUCGACAAGUAGAUGACCCAACUCGGUGAGUUGGGUCAACUGGAAGUUGACUUUGACUUGGACUUGGUUGGGGGUAAAAUAGUCAUUUUACCUCAAGAGUAGAUAUCAGUUUCUGACUGAGUGUUUUGUGGGGAUUAUAGCCGGAGGAUUUCCGGUGCAGCAGCAGGCAGAGGUUUUCCAAACAGAUUAUUAGCAACUACUUGUUCGAGGUGAGUUACCUACCAAUAGCGGUGGGUCUACGGCCACAAUGUCGGCCCACCAAUAGGCACUACUAGAAAAAAGGCGUUUUACGAUGCUCAUUGCGCGUCGUAAAACGCUCAGACAACGCGAAAAUGCGUGUCAAGGAAGGCCCUGUCAUAACGAGAGACGACACGCAUUUACGACACGCAUUUACGACGCUCAUUUACGACACGCAAUGCGUAUCAAGGAAGGCCAUGUCAUAAAGGAUGACGACACGCAUUUGAGUGUCGUAACCUUACGACACGCGUUUAGGACAUGCAUUGUGUAUCAUUAAAGCCCCUGUCAUAAAUGAAGAUGACACGCAUUUGCGUGUCAUAAUCUUCAGCAACCAUUUACGAUAUGCAUUUACGACACGUCUUUACGAUACACAUUUACGCAAAAUACAAAAAUAUGGAAAUAAAUAUAUAACAAAACAAUCAAUUUCAUUCAUUAACAUCAUGUCAAAAAAUUGUAAUACAUAGCGGAAGUAUUUGUUGAGAGCCCAAAAAGUUACAUAAAUCAAUGAAAGUAAAAUUCAUAACUUUUCUAGUUUUCAUAAUCCUAACAAUAGCUGCAUCAACCUGCGAUAUAUUUAUAAAAAAAAUGUGAUUAUAAAUUUAUAAUUACAAAAAAAAAUAAAGCAAAAAAAAAUUGGACCUGAUAUUGACGAUCUUGGGAAACUCUCUCUGUGGUGCUUGCGUUUUCUUCCACAGUUUCCUUCAGCUGGAUAUCAUUCACAUGUACAUGGAAUGGAAUGGAAUAAUGAAAUAAGCAAAGGAAUGGAAUGAGUCAUUCCAUUCCAAUUUCAUAUGAACUUCACAUUAUAAAAAAUUAAUUGAUCUCACCUUUAUACGAUAAAGAGGAGCAGUAAAUACAUCAUUAAACAUGAAGGAAUCAUUGUCAUCCACAUCAGUUUGAACCUAUUCUUUUGUCUCCUUUUCUUCUUUCUCUUUCCCUUGUUCUUUUUUGUCUUGUAUCUUUUCAAGUGGUUGGUACAACAAUAGAGGUAACGGGACAUGUGCCAGUAUUGGGUCCUGAAGAUCUUGUUGCUUUUGUGCUAAGUGUUUUGUGAUUGAGAAGCAAAUGGUCACAAAUUGCAUAUGGGUUCUGGACAUGCAAAUAAACUUAACUAUCGAUCACAUAACAAAAGCAAAUGAAAGUAUGAUGUUAUAAUAAACAAUUCAAAUGCUAAUACCUUUGACAUGUUUGUAUCUACAACAUUUUGGGAGCUUUCGAUGCUUCGAAGAAUUAAAAGUAUUGAAAUAACCUCUUCCUUCUUUAGACUAUUAUGAGGCUUCCCAUCUUCACAAUCACCACCAAUUGCCAACAUAGAAAGAAAUAAAUACAAUUUUCCGGAAAAUAAUAAAAAUUCAUAUAUAUUUUUUUCAUUCAAAGAAUCAAAAUCAACAGGUAUAGUAUGCAUUCAAUUUAUAUUUCAGGAAAAAAAAACUAAUAGUAUACCUACCUGUAUGUGGGUUCAUAGCAAGUUUUCUCUCUUGGAUAAAACAUUAUUUUUUUAUUUUAUUUAUACUAAAUGUUUUUUUUUAUAUUUUGAUAUAAUACAAAUUAAUUUAUGUUUUAGAUAAGCUCUCUUUUACUUNCCUGUCUUUUACUUAUUUACAUUGAAAAUUGACAAAUAGUUCUUUUUCCACAAAAACAGACAAACUAUCUACAAUGAGUUUUUUGCCCUUUGCCACUAUUUAAUCACCUUACCUUAGUUUUACACACAAAAUCCAAUAAUGGAAUAAUGCAUUGAACAUUACACAUUUGCAAAUAAGAUACACAUUAGCAAAAAAUGGUCUUAGCACUAACUUUCACCACCCACCCACCCGAUAACAAAAGAAAAUAUAAUCCGCCCACUCAGUUUCACUUUAUUUGCAAGUAAGUAUAAACAAUAAUAUUGCAGGGUUUUUUUUUCAGUAUGAAUGAGUAUUCAGUCACUAUUCAUCCAUACCUCUUUAAGUAGUUGAUACCAAAUGCUACCAUUAUUCAAUCUCCAUCUAGGGGUAGGGCUAGGUGUUGGUGUUGUUGGAGCAGAAGAAGCAUCAAUGAUAUUGAUAACAAUGAAAGGGGAACUCAAAUCAUCAAGUUCAUCAUCACUUGUGUUUGACUUUCUCAACACUGAUGAUCCAGUGCGACCCAAGUGUUUUAUACAUACAGCCACUCCCUCUCCUCCAACCAAAAUGGUUUUUAUUAUUGAUGAUGCUGAUGGCGGAUCAUAAACAACCGAACCAGCUACACAUGGGACACUGCUCACACAGUCUUCGCCACCCUCUGUAGAAUAUAAAGCCAAAAGAAACCUGUGUUUGUUUACUACUCAAAAUGAAGACAUAAAAGAAGAAAGGAAUAUGCAUUGUAUUGGAAAAAUGAAGACUAAAAACCUCUUAUAUUAUCCAUAUCAAUAAAGCUAUAUUUAUAGCUUCUUAGACACCCACGAUGAAGUAUGAAAACAAUCCAUGCUCUUGACUCCACCUAAUUAGCUUAAGAAUUAACUAUUAUAUAAAACAUAAAACACAAAACAAUAAUAAUUAUCAAAUCUAAAGUUUCAGCCAUGCACGUGAGCUAUGACUAACAAACCGAUUAACCCAACACCUUCCACCCCCAAAUCCUUAGCAUAUAUAAACAAACACCCUCUAAAUGCAUGUUAUUAGACAUACCAAAAUAUCUUUAAUUGGUUGGCUUGUGUGUCCUUCACAUCAACAUAAUUACUUAAUUAAUUAAUUAUACUGAACUCACCUCUGAGUCUAAGGCUUCAAGCACAACUUCAGGAAUAGCAUCUGGACAAAACUCAUCUGGAACAAAACUAUCUAGUAUCCCUUUUAUUAAUGCUACACCAAAACUCAAACAUACCUUCAAAAAAUUUUAAAUAACUUUAGCUUUGUGGAUAACUACACUACUAUAAAAGAAAAAGAGCCCAAUUUUAGAGACCUCUUUUCUGAUUGUGCUAUCUAACAACAUAUCCUUAGGAAGCAUCAUCAGGUCACUUAAUGCAUUCAGGAGAUGAAAAGAUUUGAAUGAUGAAUCAUCAGCAUCUAUAUCAAAUAAAUCAGUCAGCCACCUCGACCAAUUUUCAAUUUGCACAUUGCCAAAUGAACNNNNNNNNNNUAUAUAUAUAUAUAUAUAUAUAUAUAAAGGAUCACUUGCCAUGGGAAUUGGUCGCCUAUGAUUCAGAUCAGAGGCCUGGAAUCGUCAAGGUAGAAAACACAAGUCAAGAAAAAAAAUAAAAUAAGAGACUUUUAGGCAUAAAUGGUAUAUACCCUGUAAUAGGGAUAACAAACUCCUUGAGUGCUUUUUCACUUGUUACUCCAAUUAAUUCGCCAAGACCUUGAGCAUCCUGUUCUCUCAAUUCUGCAGACCUGCUUAUUAGGCCCUGAAGAUAUAUGGGAAGCAAUGGUUGAAGAGCCUUUGGGAGACAUAACCUGGGUAUAACAAUUGGUCCACCCUAUAUGUCCAUCAACAAAUAUUUAAAUAAGAUAAACCUUAAUCACUACUAAAUGCUGAUUAAAAUACACAUAGUUGCCCCUCGAGUUCCAAAACAUUAAAACAACUCUAUUUUGUGCUUAGAUUCCAAAAUAGGACCAAAACAAAAUUCAUACGCAAGUGCUCAAUGGAUGAAAAAACUCAUAUGUACAAAUUCUAAGCCAAAAUACAAGAAUACAUUAGUUCUACAUAAACCCUAUCAACUCGAAAAUAAAAUUUUCUCGUAUAAUAAUUACAUAACCAAAUUAUGUAGUGAAAUCACACAUUAAAGCAAAUGUCUUUGUUAUUGUGAAUUUUGAUACAUCAUAUAUUAUUAUAUUUUUACCUUUAUUAUAGAUUGGUUACCCAACUUUACAUGCAUUUGUUGAGUUUAUUUCUGGAUUUGACAUGCCUUCUGACAUUCACUCAAAGAAGAAAGACAACAUUCUUCUAGAAACUGGGAAACCUUUUCGAUGGCUCUCUUCCAUGAUGAGUUAUCGUUGCCACUAGCUCAUAUCUUCGACCGUAUUUAUUAUAAUUUUUUUUAUAAAUUAAUAAAAAGAUGAAAAUGAUAUAUANNNNNNNNNNNNNNNNNNNNNNNNNUAUAUAUAUAUUAUAUAAAUACAUACCUCUGGUGAUGAUAAAAAAAGGAAAUCACGAUUCAGAGUAAGGUGAAGAGGAAUGUGGAUUGGUUUGAGUAAUUUUGUGCUUCCUUGACUUACAUAGCUAAACCUCAUUAAGUGUAGUAUUAUUAUCUCUGGAAGCUCUAAUAUUUCACUGAUUUACUUGCACAUACUAAUUCACAUAAUAAUAAAAAGAAGUAUACAUUUCCUGCUGAUGAAGCACGAUACCCUUCAAGUGUCUCUGGAGCUGAAAAAAGAUGAAGUGCAUCUUCUAUUGUAUGCAUAGGAUCUGGACAUAUAUUCAAAUGGAGCAAAAGAAAUGGCUGAAUAGUUGCAGAUGCUUUGUUACCUAUUUUUGUUUUACAUUAAAAAUAUAUAAAUGAUGAAUUAAUGAUAUCAUGUUAUUGAGAUGAGUGAAAAAUGUUAAAAGAUUAAAAAAAAAUACCUCUUGCUUUCAUUACACUUUUUAUUUGGCCUUCGAAGAUCUGACUUAAUUUUGAAGGAAUAAAACUUUGUGUUCUUGUGAUUGUAGUUUUGUUCUUUGGUCCAACUGUUUCCCAAAUAUCAUCAUCAUCUUCAUCACUUAAAGAUGAAACCAGUGAAACUUUUCCACCAUUAAAAUUACAAACUUCUCCUUCAAGUUUAAGAAGUUCAUCAUGCAUUUGGUGCAUUACAAAGCUUAAAAACACCUGAGCAUCUUCUUGCCUUUUUAAAAAACAAACUUCAACUCAGCAUCCGAAAUUCCAAACAUAACAUAUAUAAAAUUUGUUGAUUAAUUUUAUAACAUUAACACAAACCUUGGUCUUCCAGAGAAGCUAUUUGGCAUAUCUGGAGAGAAAUUGUUGAGAACAGAUUCAAACAUGAUAGGUCGAAAAGGUUUCCCAGUUUCUAGAAGAAUGUUGUAUUUCUUCUUUGAGUGAAUGUCAGAAGGCAUGUCAAAUCCAGAAAUAAACUCAACAAAUGCAUGUAAAGUUGGGUAACCAAUUUGUAAUAUAGGUAAAAAUAUAAUAAUGUAUGAUGUAUCACAAUUCACGAUAACAAAGACAAUUGAGUCCAACUCCAUCGGCGUUUGCUUUUGAAUGAAUUCCUUGGGAUAAACCUUCCAUAUACGCUCUGCUCCCUUUCCUUUUGGAACAAAACACCAUAGCAAGACUCCAAAUAUGUAAUAAUAAUCGAUCGAUAAAGUUUCUACAUAAGUUGCAGGUGAUCAAAAAUGGCGGAAAUCAGGAAAUGUAAAUUGUACCUUUAGCGAGAUUAGGGUAAAGCCAUCACAAGUUAGAGCCAUCAUCACCUGUGGGAGACCUAGGGGAAGUUGAUCGCCUCUAUCCACCUGCCAAAAAAGUGAAUCGUCUUCCCAUAAGUUUUCGUCACUUUCUCUCGAUCUUGCCGCUCAACCGGACCAAGGACGCCGGGAAGGAAAAGGACGUCCCUCUUCACCUCAUACUCGUGGAUGUGCCACAUUGGCUUUUCUGAAUCCGGCAAGGUGAAGAACAAUUUUUAUGUUACGAUGUUUUCAACUCCGAUUAAAAAAGCCCUAGAAAUUAUCCCAGUGAUUUUGUGAUAUAUGAGUUGUUGAGGUAUACAGCAGAGGUGGUAUCGUGAUUAGGGUUUGCAGAGAAAAGGGGGAAGAAGAGAAUGAAGGGGAUCAAGCGGGGUAUUAAAAAAUUUAAGAUUUUUGAGAGGAUUUCAUUUCCCCCUUUCAAGAAGGCGCGUUUUAGUAAAAAUUAUAAAGCGACAAUCACAGAGGACGCAUAUUUUAGAUAAAGUGCCCUCCGUGUUUUUAUUUUUUUUACAUUCGACACUAAUUUAAGGGCAUGCAAUAAUGCGUGACCUAAAUCCUCAAAUUUUUUGAAGAGACGACACUUUUUUAUUGUCACUCUCGUUUGCGUAACAUAAAUCAAUAAGUGUCGUGAUUUGCACAUCGUAAAAGGGUCUUUUUCUUGUAGUGAGGAGUUGUAUGAUUAGAUGAUUGUCUUUGUGAUAUCAUCUAGGUUGCUGCUACCUGAUAUGUUAUAUGCUGGUAUGAUAUGUUAUUUGUGAUAGUAGUAGAGUUCGGUUGUUUGGACCGAAGGGUAGGUCAGACACCCCAGAUAUGUCUGACAGUAUGUGAUGAUAUGUUUAUAUGCUGGCAUGAUACGUUAUAUGGGAUAGUGGUAGUAGGAGGGGAACAAUCUCCAAGUUCGGUUGUUAGAGCCGAAGGGUAGUUCGGACACCCUAGAUAUGUCUGAUAGUAUGUUUAUGUUAUGAUAUAUGUGAUAGUAGUGGUAGGGGUGGAAUAGUCCAAGAGGGUCGGUUUUUAGGACUGACGGGUAGGUCAGCACCCCAGAAAGGCUUGACACGGGUAGGACGAUACCCCAGAAUGGCCGCAUGGGUAGGUCGGCACCCUAGAAUGGCCGCACGGGUACCUAGAAUGGCCGCACGGGUAGGUCGGCACCCCAGAAUGGCCGUACCGGGUAGGUCAGGCACCCCAGAAUUGCCUGGCAGUAUGUAUGCUAUGUGAUUGUAUGUUAUGUGGCACGAUGGGGGAACUCACUAAGCUUCGUGCUUGCAGUUUACAGUUUUUGUUUCAGGUACCUCUUCAGCAAAGGGGAUGGAGCUGGCGCGGUAGUGGCACAUCAUGAAUGGUUUUCCGCACUAGUGUUUCUUGGUAUUGUACUAUGACAUUAUUCUUAUUUUUGUGAAUGGUUUUCAGACAUGAGAUGUGGUUUUAUGAAAAGUUAUGAUUAGAUGGUGUUUUCUUAUAAAUGUUUUUACAAGUCAAUUUUAAAAAUGAAAUUUUUGGACUUGUAAAUUGGGUCGUUACAUUCCUUCCAUGGUAAGACUUUAAGCAAAACCAAAUCUCCAACUUCGAAUGCCAUCAGUCGUCUUUUCUUGUCAGCAUAGCUCUUUUUACAAUCCUGAGCUGCUAACAUCCUUUCCCUAAUCACUCUUAACUUUUCAACAGUCUGAUGGACUAUCUCGGGGCCCAUAAACUGCCUUUGUUCAACUUCAAGCCAACAUGACGGCGUACGACACUUUUUUCCGUACAAAGCUUAAUAAGGUGCCAUCUUGAUGCUUAAGUGGAAACUAUUAUUGUAGGAAAACUCUACCAGAGGUAAGUGUUCAUCCCAGUUACCUUGGAAUUCUAGGGUACACACUCUUAGCAUUACUAUAGUGUUUGAAUCGUCCUUUUUCUCUAACCAUCGGUCUGUAGAUGGUAGGCUAUACUUAAACACAGCUUCGUACCCAAUUCUUCUUGUAGACUCCUCCAAAACCUUGACGUGAAACGGCUAUCAUGGUGUAACGCCCAUGUUUCUAGGCUAGGCAUUAAUGAUAAUGUAAUAGUCUAGGUUAACCUUUGUAACCCGUCUUGAAAUAAUAAAAAUGUAUUAUUUGAGUAUUAUGUGUUUUGUGCUUAAUUGUGUGACUUAAAUGAAUUAAGGAUAAAAAUAAGCAUCAAAAUGAAAUGUUAGAUAAACUCGAUAUCUAUGAAGGAUGUGGUAGUGGUCGUGGCAAGGUUUCCAAAUAUAUAAAGAAUGCCAAAAUCUGAGUUAUAACGAAAAAGUUAUGAUCUGUCGAAGUUUCGUUACAGAACCGGCACGGCACUGCGUGACGUAAAUAGUGAAUUUACGAUAGAGCGAUAUUUAGUCUUAGUGAUCUAAACAGAAGUUGUAGAAUAAGUUUAACCGAGAGCGUGCAUAAGAAGAACGUCUAAAUUUGACUUCGUAUGAGGAAGUUAUGAUUUUUCGAAGUUUCGAUUUAGCAGUAUGCAACCCAAAUCUCGAAUUACAGAUCGAGUGAUACUUGGCCGAAACAAUCUAAACGGGAAUCGAAGAUCUCGUCGAUAGUAGUCCAAAAGUGAAAAGACAUACGAAAACGGACGUCGGAUGAAGAAGUUAUGAAUUUCUAACGGAGUUUUCCUGUCCGACCUGCUAAAAAUAAUAUAAUAAAAAUAAGUUCAAAAUUAGCCGACGCAGUCUAAACGAAAGUUGUAGAGCAUAGUCUCACCUAUGUGUGGAUAUAAAGAACAUAAAAAAUGGAGCUCGUAUGAGGAAGAUAUGAUAUUAUGAAGUUUUUAAAUAAUUAAAAUAUAUAAAUUUUAUUAUAUAUUCGGAUAAUAUCCGAAUCCAUGACUCAGCCGAUCUGAUCCGAAGAUUACGCCCAACGUACUGCUUGUAGAGGCAUUACGCCCAGCAUAAUCAGGAUUUACGCCCAACGUAAAUCGAGGUUUCAUCCCCUAUAAAUAGAAGUCGUGGGCAGCCGAGUUUUGUUGCUCAUUUCUUCCUCUCUCUCCCGUUUUACCUCGUUUUACGUGCAAGCUUUACCCCCGAAGCCGCGGUAUCAUUCCCGAGACCCGAAGCCCCGGGGAUCCCGAGAAGUAAAGUUUCUGAGCCGAAACUCUGCCCGUGUAAAGCCCGGUUUUGGAGAAAACGUCCUGGUUUUAUCGGAAAAUAUUAUUUUAAUAUAUGAGGUGAUGUCCGAUCAUCUUCUUAUCAAGUGAGUGUAUAUUCCCUUUCUUCUAACACAUAGAUAUGAAGUAUCUACUUUAGAAUAUGUGUUACAUGUGUAUAAAUAUACGUGUAUAUAUAUGUUAUCUGUUUAUUUGGAAUGAGUAUCUUAUUAGUUUUUAAGUUACAUAUGAAUGCAUAUGUAUGUUGUUAUCUACAAAAUGUUGGGUAGAACUUGUGUAGAUAGUUGAUGUGUGAUAAACUGAUGAGAUGCCUCGAUGUGAUUGUGAUCUAGUCAUUCAACAGAAUAUGGGUGACGACCACGGACUCUUUCUAGACUGUCCCGUGGAAUGCUGGCAGGCUCAUAACCUGUAGGUGUUGGUGAACUUGGGUGUUCAUUUGUUGUAUUCUAUCCCCCUCAUGGUUGCCUUAGGACAUUCAUUGUUGAGAAAACCCCUCUGCAGUAGUGUCCGUCCUGAUGAAAAUCCUAGAUUAGGUCCCUUGUAAUAGUUAUUGUCAUAGUGACGUAAAGUGAGGAUAACAGGAAUGGGUAAUCAGGUUAUUGUUGGUUGGUGAAAUUAAAUAUAAUUAGUUAUUGUGGGUUGAAAACCCUAUAUGCUCACCAGGCUCCCAAGCUUGACCCACUCAGUUUUUUUGUAUUACAGGUAGUGGUGCGAGGGCAUAAGUUGGAGAACUUAUGAAGAUGUUUUUGUUUAUAGACCAGUAGUUGUAUAUAACAGUGUAAGGUCUAUGUUUUACUGUUUAUGCUUUUGUGUCUGUAUCGGAACAUGACAUCCUGAGUUUUGAUAUAUAAUGAAAAUACAUUUCUUUAAGAAAUGUUUUGAUAAACUUUAUUUUAUCAUGUUUUGUUUUAGGGACAAAUUCUGCAACUCUUUUAAAUCAAUGGAUUUACUCUGAAAUUAUUUUAAAAACAUAAAUGAAACCGGCCUUUUCUGGCCGUGAUUUUGGGGAUUUCACACAUGGUCUGAUACUAUCUUUAAAGGAACACCAUGAAGUCUUACUACCUCCUUCACGUAAGCAUUUGCAAGCUUAUCUGUAGACCAUCUUGUUGGAUUAGUGUCUAAGUCCAUAACUAUUUUGGUAUGUACUUGACCCGAUGGUGCAUGGUCCUUUUGGGUUGCCUUCACCAAAGCAACUUGAUUGGAGAAAUAAAUAAAGAGAGAGAGGUUAUUAUGAUUUAUUAAUAUGUUAUAAGAAUAAUAUAUUAAAGGAGAAAUCAUAUUUGUUUAAUUAAUAUUGGUCAAUAAUUAAUUAAGAAUUAAUUUUGUGAUCAAGUGUAAUUAAUUAAACUAGAGGGGCUGAAUUGUAAUUAUGUGAUAGUUACAAAAUAAGGUAAGGAUUAUCUUAAAUAUAGGGUGAACGAAUUUAAGGAGAUAAUGCCUUAGAAUUCGACUAGGAUAAGGGUUUCUAAGACUUAUCUUAUGGUUGCUUGGUGGGCAAGCAACUAGAUAAGGAUAAGGACUAAAACCCUAAUCUUUACACCUAUAUAAACCCCCUAAGGCUCAUGAAUUCGUCUAAGCCUUCCCAAGAAGUCCUAAGGACGAAUUCCUACCUCUAUCCUCUCUCUUUAUACCUUCUCCAUUUGCUCUUGGUGUUUGUGAGCCAUUAGAGGAGUGACACUUGUGACUCUAAGCCUUCCAAAGUCAAUUCAUGGAGAAUUGGGAUUGUUAUUACUACAUAACAAUCAAGGUAACAUCUUAAACCUAAUUAUAUGUUAAUAUUGAUUUCCAUAUGCUAGAAUUAGGGUUUAUAGUCUUGGAUUCAUUGCAUGUACAAUAGAGAAACCUAGAUCCAAGCAUUAGGGUUUGUAUGAGCACAUAGGAUGUCUUAUGACCAAAACCCAUCAGUGGUAUCAGAGCCUAGCUUGGUUUCAAUUGUAUUGAUGCAUUGUAUAACUGGAAAAUUCGUUUUUUGGGUUUCUGGAGGCUGGACUCGCCGAGUCCAUAGAUGAACUCGCCGAGUCCAUGCUGACUCGACGAGUCCAUGCCUGACUCGGCGAGUCGGCUCGUCAGAAGGAGGGAAAACCGGGAUUUCUUGCUGUUUUUGCUUAAGGAUAGUUGCCUUAUCAUAUUAGAUCAAUAUAAAUCCGAUUUUAUGAUAUAUUUGACUAUAUUCUUGAUCUAAUUGAAGAUAUUUAUCAAUUAAUAAAAUAUUUGUUUCCUUAUGUGAUAAUUGAUUAAUUAUUUUGAUUAAAUUGAUAAAUUGUUUUGCAAGAAAUCAUUAAAUAAAUCAAAUAUGGAUAAUUAUGUGAUUAAAUGUUAAUUUAGAUUAUUUGUUAUUUGAUCCUUGUUGUUAUGAAAAGUUUCAUAUUUUCCCCUUUAGGUUUUAUAGUUUAAAUUUGAACCCAAAAGUUUUGUUGUUUUGAAAUUUAAAUAGUUGAAACCCUAAUGUUUUGAAAAAGGUUUCAAAACUUGCCCUCAAGUUUUGGAAUUUAAAUUUUGAUUAAAUAGUUUAAUUUUGAUGUAUAUUUAAAUUCUAAACCCUAAUGUGUUGAAAUGUUUCAAAACUUGCCCUCAAGUUUUGGAAUUUAAAAGUUGAUUAAAAGUUUAAUUAGGAAUGUUAAAUUCUAAAACUCUAGUAUUGUUUUGAAAAAGUUCAAAUCACACCCUUAUGGUUUUAUUAAUUAAUUAAGGUGUAUAAUUAAAAGAGGUUUAAUAAAUCCAUAAAAGUUUUGGUUUACAAUUUAAUUGAAUUAAAAGUAUAAUUGUUAAAUUUGACCACCUAGUAUUUUAAAAGUGUAAAAUACACCCUAUACUAUAUAUAACAUUAAAAGUCUAACAUUAUAUAUAUGUAUGAGUAAAAGUCAGUCUUACCGUUAGUAGGCCUCAUUCACGAAGCUGGUCUAUAAGGGGUGUUUAAGGAAAUUGCCUAUAAAAUGGCGAUUGAAUGGGUAUCCACUCUUACCCACCGCACUCUUGACUAGUGGAGGGUCGUUAGCCGAACGGGUAGGAUAGGACGAAACCUUCCAUUAUAAGUAUAAUGAAGUAUAAAAGUAACUAAAUGUUUUCAUAAAAUUCCCAAUCUUAGUUACUUAGGCAAAAGUGAAUUGAUGCAAUUCCAUGAAAUUACACUUUGUGCCCUUGCGAAGACGUUAGUGGAGCGUGUGUGGUUUACCGGCACACUAAAUGGUUCUAAGCAAAGGUAGCAAAGGGUGACUCAAUGUUUGUCAUAGUUCGGUGGAGCGUGUGUGGUUUACCGGCACAUCGAAUAGGUGACUGUAACAUGUGAGGGCACCAUGUAAGUUUGCAUGGUUAUUCACACCCGCUUUGUGAUCCUCGGCAUCCCAGUCACAAACAAGAGGGGCAUAUCGAGAUUUAAACAUGCCAUUGAAAUGUUCAAUGAAUCUCAAAGGAUCUAGGAGUUUUCAUAGAUUUAAAACUUAAAUUUCUUUUUCGUUUUUCAUGGUGGAAAUUAGUGAAUCGUCAUUCACUUACCUUCAAAUGUUCUGCAAUUUGGGUUACGGCAUCCCUCUCCCGAGUUGUAGAAUAUUGUGUUGGGUCCUAGCCUUAGUAUCUCAUUUGGGUGAUUUACUAAGGACUCAAUCAAUCAACUAACUUGAAUUCUUUUUCUCCCGUUUUGUAGAUGUCAAAGUUCGACAACUAUGGUCUUCCCAAAUCCCGUGGAACAAGCAUUCCACAUGAAGAUGAUAUUCCACGAUUCGAUCGAGGAACAAGAAAUCAUGCUUCACUUCCUCCACCUCCUCCAAUUAUUCUCCCUAACCCACAAGUUCAAAGGCUUGAAAAGUUCAAGAUCACUCAAGCCCUUUUGGCAAGUAAACAUAAAGAAGGAAAGUCGGUGUGUGCACACGUCCUAGGGAUGAAGUCACACAUUGAUAGGUUAAGAAUGUUGGGAUCCGUUGUCUGUGAGGAAAUGGCUGUUGAUUGGGUUCUUCAGUCACUUCCUAACUCAUAUAGUGAGUUCGUAAGAGAGUACUAUAUGAUGAACCGCGACGUGACCCUUAUAGAUCUCACCUAUAUGCUUAUUGCUGCUGAAUCAGCAAUGGUUUGGCGCAAUAGAAAAGCAAAGUUGAUUGGUGAAUCUGCCUUCAAGACCUCUAUGGAUAUAGACAAUGGCAACGAAAGACAUGCUAUGAUCGAAAAGUUUGAUCAUAAGAGAAAGGCAAUGUCUGAAGUAGUUCCAUGUCAUGUUCCAAAAGAGUCAAUUUGCUUUUAUUGCCAAGAGAAAGGGCAUUGGAGACGAAGCUGCCCCAUUUACCUAAGAGAUCUAAGAGAUGGGAGAGUCGAAACGUAUGGCUCUAAUAUAGGUAAAAUCCAUUAACUAACUCUUUUAAGCUUCUAUUCUAGAUUCUUAAUACAUAAUGUGAUAAGAUUACAAUUGAUGUUUUGUAGGAUCGAAGAAAAGAAAGGAAGCUUAAGGGAAGAAGUGAGCAGAAUCUAACCGUGAAGGAAUGGAUUUCGAUCGCAUUUCUCGAAGAUUAGAUUCUUGAGCUACUACUUAGAGUUAGAAUUAGAUUGCUAAGAAAGAUGUAUUAGCAUAGUUUUUCAAUGAAUUGCAUUGUAAGGACAAAUUUUUCCGCAAUAAAAUAAAUUUUGAUUUUAAAUUUUAUUUAUUUAUCCUUACAAUGGCGUGUAUGAAAAAUUGAUGUUAAAAUGUUUCUAUUAUUAGCAAUAAUGGAUUUGGUUCUUAUUAUGUUAUUUAUGGAAAGUCGAGAAUUUACCAAAUAGGGAGAGUUUCUCAUCGCCCAAGUUUCAAUUGGACAGAAACUUGGAAUCAUGCAACUUGGUUGCACGAUGAAUGAGAAAUUUCAUAUUUGGAAAUUAGACUAAUUCAUUGACAAAGUGUCAAGUGAAGGACUAGGAGAUCGAGUACACAAAGUUGCGUGUUGAUCAAGUCCACCAUAAGAGUAACAAAGAUAUUCGUCAUGAUUUACUAAAGGUUUAGUAAAUAUGAUUAUACUUAUAAGAUUAAGUGUAAUUCUGAAUUGAUUGAAAAGGUUUAAAUCAAUAGCAGAACGAAUAAGAAGAAUCAAGUAGGCAGAAAGAUAAAAGUUUCUCCAUUCUAAGAAGAAGGGAGAGUACCUUUUAUGCUUUAUGAUAGGUCUUAAUGAUUAAGAACCAUAUCUCAAUUGAUCCUCUAAGUGAGUCUUAGUACAAUUGUAUGUCUAAGAAGAGGAAUCAAGAAUUGAAGAAAUGGUUAAAUCAAGAAGUCAAUCAUACUUCGUUCCAAAACAAGUCUUAGAGUUAAGAUUGUGACAUUGAGUGAUAAGUAUAAAGAAGGUUUAUAACAUUCAUUAAAUGUGGAAAGUUGUGAUGUCUUGGAUAAGACAAAGACCAACUAGGACCAAUUUAUGAAGUGUUUUGAUAAAAGCUACACUAACUCUUGAAUAUUUGUUUGUCAAGAAAUGGUUAUUGACAAGAGAAUCUUAUAUGUCAAGGAGUCAGUGGGAGUCUUAAUGGUCUUGAAAGGUUUCAAGAACAAAUCAAAUAAACCUUAUCGAUCAUCACUAGCACACGAGUUGAGGUUUACAACCUAUCGUGUUGACAUUAUUUUGAUUCUGUGCCAAUCCAAUCGAGUUAAUUAUGCAUGUGAGUUCUAUGAGUUCUCAUUUUGAACGCAUAAAAGGCAAAGCACCUUAAUCAAUGAAAGGUACAUUGAUAGGAAAGGGUGAGCUGCUUAACUACUUGGAAGACAUGGUGGGCAGCUGUGCUACCAUAAAGGCAAGAAAUCGAGAUCAAGAAAGUUCGAUCCAUAAGAGUUUGAAUUUGUCGUAAACUUUGGUUUUGACAAAUUCACAUGGAUAGGAACAAAUACACCGUUUAAAUCUAAGUGUCAUAAGAUUUCCUCCUUCAUGAAAAUGAUUGUGAGGAAAUGCUUUCACUAAGACAGAUUUUAAGAAGAUAGUGAUUGUAAAAUUGCAUUCUCGAAUUCAAUUAUGGUUACGGCAUCCCUUUCCAUAAUUUGAAUUGUGAGGUUUGGCAAUUAGUCUUAAUUGUUUAGACACACAUAUGAACUAUCGAAGGCAAAGGUGUAUAAGUUCAAGAAGCCUUGAUAAAAGAUUAUCAAAGCACUAAGUAUUAGAAACAUGAACUUAAGAAAUUCAAUAAGCAUUUUUUUUCUGAAAGUUAAGAUGUUUAUGAAUACAUGUCGAAGCUAGUGGGAGCAUAAGUGUUAUGUUUUAUAAUAAUCAUCAAGAUAGUGGGAGCAUAAAAGUUAUGAUUGUAUGAUUAUUAAGGAAAGUAUUGCAAGGUUAGCAAUAUUAAUUAUAGAAAACAAGAGUCAUACUUUGCAAAGUCGCAAUAGUUGAAGAGUUGUUUUGCUAUAAUUAAGGGAGAGAAUAUUAUGCUUCAUUUCAAAUCUAAAGGUUUAGGUUGAGAAAUGUUAAUAAAAUUUAGUCAAAGGUACAAAGUGUGUUCUUAAAAUUUCGAUUAUGAUUACGGCAUCCCUCUUCACAAUUCGAAUUUUGAGAACAUAGCAAAUAAAACAUUAUGCGUCGUGUCCCAUACGCUUCGGGUAUAGGAUCGAUUGCAAAUGCUUUAAUGUUUGACCAUUCUAAAAUUUUCCAAAUGUCGAGCGCAUUUAGAGGGAAAAGGGACUAGAAUUGGUUUUGACUAAAAUAAUUAAACAACUAUCAAAGGACAAUCCAAAGUUCGACGAGGAUUGGUCGCUUGUGAGUAGUUGGAAGUAUAGUAUUGGAAAAUAUGGAAAUGUUUCCAUAUUGGAUGGACCAUAUCGACAUCAUUACGAAUAGAUAAGAUUCUAUUAAGAAUGAGUUGUCAUAUGGAACAUAUGGAAGUGUGUCCAUAUUGGGAAUUGAAUAUUGAGAAAUCUAUGACUAGAUUAGAAACUUCUAUGCAAAAGGAUGUUCAAAGAAUGUACUUUGAGUGAGAGACAUCACAUCUAUGGAAUUGUCUUGUAACAAUCUCCGAUAGAGGACUUUGUAAUAUCAUUGGCAAUAGUCUUUGUGACUUUGGUGCAGUGACAUUACGAAAGGAUCGUUGCAUAAAAUGUUAGAAUCUAGCAUAUUCUAUAAGUAGCAAGAAUUUGAUAUUCUUUCACUUAUGAAAAGGAUUUGGAGUUGUGAAAUGAGAAUGAUUGGAAAUGUGUUCAAUUUGAUCUAUUUCACAAAGUAAGAACCAUAGGUAAACAUUGUGUGCAUGCUAGGAGCAUGGGACAAGUGUAAUAAUUCAAGUAAGAAGUUGAUUACCCGAAACGACAAAUAAUGAGUAAUCGAUAUGGUGAUAAAUAAAAGGUGUUUUAUUUAUACUCAAAGGUUUGAGGCCAUAUGGGAUUAGUAUUAUUCUUGUGUUUCACAUUUGCAUGUUUUGACUUCCAGAAUAAUUGAGUUUAUUAAGAAUAAUCGAAUUAUUCGAACGGGCCACAGUCGUUCAUAUGUUGGAAGUAGAUAUGAAUGAAGACUGUCGUGAAUUGGUGUGUGGAUUGUCUAAAAGAGUAUUAGACAUAAGCAAAUGUUUGCUGCAACGUUCAUGAGUGCUUAUGAAUAUGAUUUGAGCAUUGGAUUAAACCCACGCUCACUUGGAUCACUCCAUGAAUUGUAUCACGAGUGAUUGGUGAGACGAUAACAUCUUAUAUUCUUGAAACCGAGAUGUGUGAGUUGUAUCUUGCGAAUCGGUUGCACAUUGAUAAUAUGUAAACGCACUAGUAACUUGGUGUUAUAAAACAUAUUGUUGUGUGUGAUUUGGUUAGUAAGUGCAAGCAAGCAUUGUAUCAAAGUUUAUCCGUUCCUUUUAUCCAAAGUAGGAUAAAAGCGAUAUCUUUGGGCCCCUCGAUGAUUUAGUGAUGACAAACGUAAAUGCUCGGCCGGGCUAGGGCUAAUUUGAUUUGUUCAAUUAGUCAGUCGUCAUAAAUCGGGAAUCGAGAUAUAGUACAAAGAGAAUGAUUUGAAAUCAUAUCUCAUAUGAUAUCUAGAAUGGAGGAAUAUAUGAUCCCUUAUCUAAGGACACGCGUAUCUGAUAUGAUCAGAGUUGACAGCGGCUUUGGAAAGCUACGAUUGCAGAUCAGGAUCUGAAGUCAUACGCAGAAUAGUUGUUAGACUUAUCCAAGUGGGAGACUGUUGGAUUAGUGUCUAAGUCCAUAACUAUUUUGGUAUGUACUUGACCCGAUGGUGCAUGGUCCUUUUGGGUUGCCUUCACCAAAGCAACUUGAUUGGAGAAAUAAAGAGAGAGAGAGGUUAUUAUGAUUUAUUAAUAUGUUAUAAGAAUAAUAUAUUAAAGGAGAAAUCAUAUUUGUUUAAUUAAUAUUGGUCAAUAAUUAAUUAAGAAUUAAUUUGUGAUCAAGUGUAAUUAAUUAAACUAGAGGGGUUGAAUUGUAAUUAUGUGAUAGUUACAAAAUAAGGUAAGGAUUAUCUUAAAUAUAGGGUGAACGAAUUUAAGGAGAUAAUGCCUUAGAAUUCGACUAGGAUAAGGGUUUCUAAGACUUAUCUUAUGGUUGCUUGGUGGGCAAGCAACUAGAUAAGGAUAAGGACUAAAACCCUAAUCUUUACACCUAUAUAAACCCCCUAAGGCUCAUGAAUUCGUCUAAGCCUUACCAAGAAGUCCUAAGGACGAAUUCCUACCUCUAUCCUCUCUCUUUAUACCUUCUCCAUUUGCUCUUGGUGUUUGUGAGCCAUUAGAGGAGUGACACUUGUGACUCUAAGCCUUCCAAAGUCAAUUCAUGGAGAAUUGGGAUUGUUAUUACUACAUAACAAUCAAGGUAACAUCUUAAACCUAAUUAUAUGUUAAUAUCGAUUUCCAUAUGCUAGAAUUAGGGUUUAUAGUCUUGGAUUCAAAGCAUGUACAAUAGAGAAACCUAGAUCCAAGCAUUAGGGUUUGUAUGAGCACAUAGGAUGUCUUAUGACCAAAACCCAUCACAUCUUUCAUUGGCUACUAUGAAGUGUGCACUCUUAGUAAACCGAUCAACGACCACCCAAAUCAUGUCGUGACCGUCCUUCGUUCUGGGCAGUUUAGUGACAAAAUCCAUGGUAAUGUCUUACCACUUAUCCAUGGUUACACAUAAAGGUUCUAAAAUCCUAUAUGGUUUCUGAUGUUGUGCCUUAACUCUCACAUAGGUCACACACUUGGCCACAUACUUUGCAAUGUUGAGCUUCAUCUUCGGCCACUAGUAGUAGGGUUUCAGAUCCCUAUACAUUUUUGUGCUGCCGAGAUGAAUCGAGUACAUGGUCUUGUGAGCUUCUUCCAUCAGAAGAUCUCUUACUUCGCCCAUCUUGGAAUACCUUUAAUCCUUGAUUAUUUGUACCGAAAACCAAGUUUUUGCUUAAACAUUCUUCCUUUUGGUCAUUCUCCUCUAAAACUUCCUCCCAAGCUUUGUUGAUGCUUUCCACAAUCAUUGUGACAACCUCUAUUGAUUGUUUUGAUUAUAUUUCUCUUCAAUCUUCUGUCCUAACUCAGAUGCUACAUGAAACUUGGUUCUCUGAACCAUGUAACAUACUCAUCUUAGUUGGACUCGAUAUGAUACGACCACUAGGGUCAGAAUCAGAAUCAUCUUCUUAGUCAUUACCAAAACGAUGGUAAUGAAGAACUUGAACAAAACAGAAUCAAUUACUAGCUUCUUAGUAACCUUGCGACUUUCACUGAUCCAAGUGCAAGUCCUGUGCUUCCGGUAGUAUAGGCCUCUACUACCAUUCACACCUACUCAUACUCGUUCAAGGUGCUAUCUCACAGUUUUCCAAGUCAUCAUUCAAGAGUUUCACAUAAUCAUUUAACACAUCAGAUAACAAAAUCAAGGUUUUAUAUUAUUUCUUGAAAUGAUUACAUAAAUGUUCAACUUCGUCCUAUACUAUGCCUCUAAUAAGUUGCGCUACAUGAUGCUAUCCACAUGGCCACUUCAUAACUUGAUCUUCGGAUAUCAGUCCUCACUCCUGCUUCCUUGCAUUGUCAGCUGCUUCGUUAAGGAUCAUUUGGAAUGCCCUUGGCUGGGGCGGUGCGUUUGGCCUUGCCGCUUUAUUCUUCCUUGGGCGGUUCUUCAAAAUAUGCCAUCCUUCAUUGCAUUCAUAGCACACCCUCUUGCGGGAUGUACACUCAUUGGCGUAGUGCCCAGGAUUUUCACACUUAAAACAAGUGACCUCCCGUCACAUUUCCCAUGGUGCUUCUUUUUGUACUUUUCACACCAUUUCGCUUCAACUCCUCCUCCUCUCGAACCAGACUUCGAGAAAUUACUUUUCUUGUUGGAUUUCGAAGAUCCAUCAAACUUCCUUUUCUUACCAACCUCUGCCCUCUCCAGACCCUUCUCCCUUAUCCGUGUCUCAACAAUCUUCAUAGCUCUAACGACUGCCUUCAACGUGCUUGCCAUUUUGACUAUUGGGCCAAAGUCUGAUGGCAAUCCGUUAGCAAAUUUCUCUAUCUUGGCGAGUUCAGUCGACACCAAGUAUGGAAAUAACUUCAUCUUCUCAGUGAAUGCAGUAGCAUAAUAAUCAAUGCUUAUUCUCCGUUCUUCAAUUUCUGGAACUCAUUGUUUAGAUCUAUCAUAUCUAUUUCGGAGCAGUACUGCAUUUUCAACUGCAUUAUGAACUCUUCCUUAGACAUUUUCAGAGCUUUUCCUCGUGGCAUCGUAUCCGUUAAUAACUUCGACCAGCUUAAAACUUUGGUCUUUACUUGUUUGACCGCAAAGACAAUUUUUUGUUUGUCGCUAUAGUUGCAGCUUUCAAAUACCAUCUCUAUUUCGACAUGAUCUUCAUUGUGAUUUGACGAAACAUAUUUGGACGGUUAUGCUUUUCAUGGCCAAUUUUCGAAGAAGUACUUCUUUUAAAUUGACGAGUGUGACAUCCACCAUUUUCACGGUCAGAAAAGACUGAUUUUGUUUAUGCUUUAUAAUAAAAUCAGAGUAACCUUUUUAAAGAAAAGUGUUGUGGAAUUUGUUCCUAAAAUAAAAUAUGAUAAAGAUUUAUCAAAACAUUUCCAAAGAAAUGUAUUUCAUUGUAUUAAAACCUUGGGAUGUCAUUAUUAAUACAAAUCAGAAACAUAAGCAGUACAACAUAGGCGUUACAACAUUUAUUUAAAUCUACUAGCCUAUAAACCAUAAUCCUCUCGUCAAGUCAUCCAACUAUGCUCUUGCCACUACCUAUAAUACAAGAAACUGAGCCGGUCAGGCUUGGGAGCCUGGUGAGCACAUAGGGUUUUCAACCCACAAUAAAUAAUUUUGUUAAUUUCAACAAAUGAAAUAAACCAGAUUACCCGUUUCUAUUUAUCCUCACAUUACGUCCCUAAAACAUCUAAUAUAAGGGACAUAGCCUAAGGAUUAUUGUAGCACCUGGUUCCUAGUACGUAAUCCUUGUAAUUAAUAUUUCUUAAUUUUGCAUUUUUGCCUUGGACUUGGCGAGUUGAAGAACCGACUCGUCGAGUAGAAGCGGGAUGAGAAGCGGGGUCUGAGCUUUGGACUCGGCGAGUAGACCCUGUUUGGGCAAAAACCCUAACCAAAGUGUUUGCACCCUAUUUAAACGCUCUAACUUGGCCUCCUUUGUCCCGAACACUCCCAGAGAGCUGAAGAGCGAAACCCUAGCCCCCAUUUUGUUCUUGAGAGUGAUUUUUGGCUUUGUGAAGAAGGUUUGGAGCUUAGAAGAAGAAGAAAUAGGUUGUAGUGUGCAAAGAGGGGAAGUAGAUCCGGAAUCUACACUACAAGAGGCUUCCAUUCAGCCGGAGGAUUACCGAUUCAGCAGUCAGGCGCUUAGCAAGCAGAUUUUCAGCAGCUACUUUUCGAGGUGAGUUACCUUCCAGUAGCGGUGGGUCUAAGGCCACAAUGUCGGCCCACCAGUAGGAGACGUAUGAUAGAUGAGUGUCUUUGUGAUAUCAUCUAGGUUUGUUACUACCUGAUAUGUUAUAUGCUAGCUUGAUGUGUUAUAGUAGUAGAGUUCGGUUGUUAGGACCGAAGGGUAGUCAGAUACCCCAGAUACGUCUGACAGUAUGUGAUGAUAUGUUUGCAUGUUGGCUUGUUAUGUUAUAUGCGAUAGAGGUAGUAGGGGGUGAAAUAGUCCCCGAGGUUCGGUUGUUAGGACCGACGGGUAGUCAGCACCCCAGAAUGGCUUGACAUAGGGAGGGCGGCACCCCAGAAUGGCCGUACAGGUAGGUCGGCACCCCAGAAAUGCCUAGCAGUAUGUAUGUGAUAUGAUUGUAUGGUAUGUGGUACGAUGGGGGGGACUCACUAAGCUUUGUGCUUACAGUUUUCAGUUCUGGUGUCAGGUACCUCUUCAGCGAAGGGGAAGGAGCUGGCGCGGUAGCGGUACAUCAUACACACACAUUGGAUUUCCGCAUUAUGAGAUGUCCUGGGAUUGUACUCUGACAUUAUUAUUAUUUUCAUGUUUUGGGUUUUCAGACACGAGAUUUGUUUUAUGACAUGAUAUGAUCGGAUGAUGUUUUACUGCAAAUGUUUUACAAACCACUUAUUUUAAGUGAAAUUUUUGGGCGUGAAAAUUGGGUCGUUGCAAUUAUCAUCGGGGUAACAACAUUGCUUAGGGGAUACUGUGACAUCCCCAAAAUCUUGGCCAGAAAAGACCGAUUUUCAUUUAUGCUUUUAAAAUAUUUUCAGAGUAAAUCCUUUUGAUUUGAAAGAGUUGCGGAAUUUGUUCCCAAAAACAAAACAUGAUAAAACAAUGUUUACCAAAGCAUUUCAUAAAAGAAAUGUAUUUUCAUUAUAAUCAAAACUCGGGGUGUCAUGUUCCGAUACAGACCAAUAAGCAUAAACGAAUACAUUACAAGUCAUAUAACAAAUAUAAACAUAUGCAGACUUGUAAACAAAACAACUUGAUGGUUCAUCCAUCUCAUGCCCUUCCGCCACUACCUGUAAUACAAUUUAAAACUGAGUGGGUCAGGCUUGGGAGCCUGGUGAGCAUAUAGGGUUUUCAACCCACAAUAAAUAUCAUAUUUAAUUUUCACCAACCAACAAUAACCCAAUUACCCAUUCCCGUUAUUCUCACUUUAAUGUCCCUAAAACAACUAACAUAAGGGACCUAGUCUAAGAAUAUUUCAUCGGGGCGACAACACAUGCUUCGGGGGUACCUCAGCAAUAUAAGUCAAAUAAGGCAACCAUGAGGGGGAUGGAGUACAGCGAAUGAACACCCAAGUUCAUUAACACCUACAGGUGGCGAACCUGCUAAUGUUUCCACAAGACUAUCUAGAAAAGUCCGUGGUCGUCAUCUAAACUCCGCUAGAUGACUAAAUCAAACAACAACGAGGCCUCUCAUCUGUUUAUUACACACCAACUAUCUACCCAUGUUCUACCCAACAUAUUAGUAGAUAAAAAUAUACAUUUUUAUACAUAGUUUAAAAACCUGUAUAGCAUGCUUUAAUCAACACAUAUUUCACAUAACAGAUGAGGCACACACACACAUAACACGUAUCUCAUAGAGAAUAAAUCAUAUCUAUGAGAUAGAAGAAAGUGAAUACACAUUCACACACAUAACCACAAAAUUAUACACAUAAUACGUAUUCCGUAUAAAAUACUUCAUAAUUAUGCGUUAGAAGAAAGUAACUACACACUCACUUGAUCAGAAGAUGAUCGGACAGCACUACGACUUGCAGAAGUAGUAAUCCUCAGCAGAUCUGGAAGAUCUUCACAAAAAUCGAACUUCUCGCGGGCAGAGCUUCGGCUCGGGAACCGCACUUCUCGGGAUCUUCGGGAUCUCGGGACUUGCCUCGGGGCUCGAGUAUGAUACCGGGGCUUCGGGGUAUUUCUGGCACGCAAAACGAUGCAAAACGGGAGAGAGAAGAGAGAAAAUGAACAAAAGAAUCGGCUGCCUUCGGAUCCUAUUUAUAGGAGGCUGAAGCCUCGGAGUACGCGAGGUGUACUGGUCCGAAAAACGUCACUGCUUACGUAUCCGAAGACUCGAGUGCGAAUGUCGACAUCCCUCGGUGUACGCGGGGCGUACUUCGGAUCGGAUUGCUGACUCCCCUUCGGAUAAUACCGGAUUUUCUAAUAAAAAUUAAAUACAAAUUAUUUAAUAAACUUCGGAAAUUCAUCUCUUCUUCAUACGAACUCCGUUUUCGACGUUCUUUAUAUCCACGCGAAGGUGAGACUACGCUCUACAACUUUCGUUUAGACUCCGUCGGCUAAUUUUAACUUUAUUUUUAUUAUUUAUUUUUAAUAGGCCGGGACAGAAAAACUUCGUUAUAAAUUCAUAACUUCUUCGUUUGACGUCCGUUCUCGCCUAACUUUUUAUCGCUUCGAGACCAACAACGAGACCUUCGAUCCUCGUUUAGGUUGCUUCGGCUCAAAACCGCUCGAUCUCAAAUCGAGUAUUUCGGGCUGCACACCGCUAAACCGAAACUUCGAUAAAUCAUAACUUCCUCAUACGAAGUCAGAUUUGGGCGUUCUAUAUAUACAUUCGUAAACCUCGUUUCAACUACUACAUCAUCAACCAAAGAUAUCAAGUUUAUUUUACACUUUAAUUUUGACGCUUAUUUUUAUUCUUAAUUAAUCAAACCACAUAAUUAAGCAAUUAAGCACAAAACACAUAAUACUCAAAUAAUACAAUCAUAUUAUUUCAAAACGGGUUACAAAGGUUAACUUAGACUAUUACAUUGCUAAAAAUGGCAAGCCCGGAAACACAGGCGUUACAGAUACCUCAACAUUUUAUGUCAAAUAAGGCAACCAUGAGGGGGAUGGAGUACACCUGGUGAACACUGAGUCCAAAUAAACACCUACAGGUUGCGAGCCUGCUAGCGUCCCAUUGGACUGUCUAGAAAAGUCUAUGGUCGUCAUCUAUACUCCGCUAGAUGACUAGAUCAUCGUCAAUAUCGAGGCCUCUCAUCAUUUUAUUUCAUCACACGCCAACUAUUUCAUCUACCCACGUUUUACCCAACAUAUUUGUAGACAUAAAUUACAUAUACAAUUCAGAUCUAAAAAACAAAAUNUAUAUAUAUAGUUUAGAUCUGAAAAGAAAAGUCUAGAUCUGAAAUGAGAAAGUUUGGAUUUGAAGGAAACAGUUCAGAUCUGAAAGAAAGAGUUUAGAUUUGAAAGAAAAGUUCAUAUCUAAAAAGAAAAAGGUUUAGAUCUUUCUUCCAACAUAGAUCUCAGGUAAACAGAUAAUAUAUAUACACAUAACACGUAAUUUAUAUAAAAUAGUUUAGAUCUGAAAAGAAAAGUCUAGAUCUGAAAUGAGAAAGUUUGGAUUUGAAGGAAACAGUUCAGAUCUGAAAGAAAGAGUUUAGAUUUGAAAGAAAAGUUCAUAUCUAAAAAGAAAAAGGUUUAGAUCUUUCUUCCAACAUAGAUCUCAGGUAAACAGAUAAUAUAUAUACACAUAACACGUAAUUUAUAUAAAAUAUUUCAUAUUUAUGUGUAAGAAGAAAGUAAAUACACACUCACAUGAUAAGGUGGCGAUUCGGACAACGUUUUGCUUCUUAAAAUAAUCUCCAUUGAUGAAACCGGGAAGUUUGGUUGAAAACCGGGCUCUGCGGGGGGGCAAAGUUUCUAAACCGAAAAACUCUUUUUCUCGGAGACUUCGGGCGCUCCGGGGCUUUCUUCUAGUGCUAAGGAGGUCCCCUAGGCUUCGGGGGUGUUUAGGGUGGAUAGAGAGAGAAAGAGAGAGAGAGAGAGAGAGAGAGAGAGAGUAGAGUAGAGAGUGAAAGAAGUGUGAAAUAUGUGAGAAAACAUGGCUAGCCUCGCAUCCUAUUUAUAGUCAGGAGGUCUCGCAUUACGUUGGGCGUUCCUCGGUCUACAUGGGGUGUUCCUCGGUACGCAGGGCGUACCCUCGUACGCGGUACGGUUUGCGAGGUUCGGAUUUGUCACCCUUCAGAUGGAGCUAUGUGGCCAAUUCCGGACCUAGCCUUUGCGAACGCGGGGUGUUCUCUUCGGAUAGCCUCGAAAUAUGUACCUCUUACUUCAAAAAUUCAUAUAUUUUGCAUACGAGCUCCGUUUUCGACGUUAUUUAUAUCCACGCGUAGGCAGGACCGUACUCUACAACUUUUGUUUAGACUCAGUUGGCUAAAUUUGACUUUAUUUUUAAAGUUAUAUUUUUAACAGGCCGGGACAGGAAAAGUCUAUUAAAAAUUCAUAACUUCUUCAUCCGACGUCCGUUUUCGUUUUUCUUUUAACCGUUGAACUACUAUUGACGAGAUCUUCGAUUCUUGUUUAGGUUGUGUCGGAUAAAAAUCCCUCGAUUAUAAUUCGAGCUACGGGCUGCACACUGCUAUGCUAAAUCUUAGAAAAUUCAUAACUUCCUCGUACCAAGUCAGAUUUGGACCUUCUUUUUAUGCACGCUCUUGAUUUAACGUAUACUAGGAUUUUCAUUUAGAUCGCUAAGGCUAAAAUGCACUUUAUCGUAAACUCACUUUUUACGUCACGCAAUAUCGUGCUAGUUUUGUCGUGAAACUUUAACAGGUCAUAACUUUUUUGUGAUAACUUGGAUUUCGGCAUUCUUUAUAUGUCCGAAAUCCUUGUCACGACCACUACAACUUUCUUCAUAGAUAUCAGAUUUAUAUAACAUUUUAUUUUUGAUGCUUAUUUUCAUUCUUAAUUUAUUAUAUCAUUAUAAAUAAGUAUAUAAUCACAUAAAAUCACGUAAUUCACAUAAUAUUCAAGUAAUUCAUCUUUAUUACUUUAAAAUAGGUUACAAUAGUUGACCUUGACUAUUACAUCAUCAUACUAAUGUUUAGCCCAGAAACAAGGGCAUUAGAACGAGUAUGUUACUAGGGAGAAGAGAAAGAAAAAGAGAAACGGAAAACAUGAAGGUUUCACGAGAACUUCUCACUGAUAUCACUAUUCCCGUCGGUAACGUCAUGGACAUUGCCGGUGAUAAGGUUACCUCGUUACCAGAGGCAUUUUCGGUGAAAAACGACAUGAGUGAAGCUUUUCAUCGGAGUUGAUAGAGAGAAAAAGAGUAACACGGAAGAGGGAAGAAUGAAGUCGCUAAGGGUAUUAUUCGUGUCACACUUUAGCAACGAUACCAUUUAGUGGUGUCGAAAGACAUUUGUGGCAACUCGAAACGUAAUAGUCGCGACACACUUUUGAGGGAAUAAUUGGCAGAGGGUUCGAGUAUUAGCGGUGACACCGUUGCUGGUAUUAGUUAGUGGUGUGUAUGGGGCGGUUUGGUUCGGUUAUUGGUUAAAACCGAACCAUAACGAUUAUGAUUGGUUAAUGCAUUUUGGUAGCCAUUGGGUAUGGUUAAUAUUGGUUAUGGUUAGUAGUUUUUAUCGGUUAACGGUUUUGGUUAAUGGUUAAUAUUGGUUAACCAUAAUGUUCAAAAUAAUAUAAACGACGAAAGUAUUUUGGCAUGAAAAAUGAAAAUAAAAUACCAAAAAGUCCUCGACGCCGAUGUUUGUAACCUAACUUAUAGUAAUAUAAUAAAAUGUGUAUCUGUAAUACUUAGAGUGAGAUAACACAUAGUCACAUUUAAAAUCAAAAAUAUUUAAUAAAAAUAUAAAACAUUAAAAAAAUUGACAUUAAUAAUUUCAUAUAUUGAUAAUUGAUAUUAAUAUUAAAAUAAAGUCAAACAUUCAUACACGUUCAAUACGAUUAAAUUAAAACUAUUAAAUAAAAAAGCCAAACAUUCAUAUUCUGUGUUAUUAGAUAUAAAAAAAAAAAAAAGUCAAUCACUCAUCUACAUUCAAUGUGAUUAAGUCAAAAACACUAAAAAAAUUCAAAAAAUUAAAAAAAAAUACAUUCUUAAUAUAUCACAUAGUUAAAAAGAACCAAAAACUUAACUUACCUAGAAGUCUUGAGUAUAAAGUCAAAAAAAUCCUUCGAAUAGGACUAUAAAGUCCAAACAAUCUUUGAUUAUGAUUAACGGUGUGAGAAGCCUUCGAUUAGGAUUAUGAGUGUGAAGAUUAAACUAAUUGUGAAUAAUGUUUACAAAUUGUAGAAUUAGCCGAUUAUGAAUUACAACAUUAAUUAAUAAUCUAACUCAAUGUAUGAUUGGAAGAUUAUGUGUGUCUGAGUGAUCAGUCUUUGAUGAUUUGAUUGCUCGUUCGUCUCCUGGUAAGUGAAGAUUAAUAGAUUAUAUUUUCAAAAUUUUAAUGGAUCUUAAAUAAGUUUGACUAUAUNUCUCUUUCUCUCUCUCUCUCUCUAUAUAUAUAUAUAUAUAUAUAUAUAUAUAUUAAAAUAUAAAGUUAGCGGUUCGGUUAAUAAUGGUUCGGUUAACCUAUAAAACCAUAACCGAACCGUUAGUUAUUGGUUAACAAAAAUUAGAAACCGAACCAACGGUUUUUAAAAUGGUUCGGUUAUAACGGUUAAUUUGGUUUUGGUUCGGCUUUUCGGUUAUUAUGCUCACCCCUAGUAUUAGUUUCGCCGUUAUUGUUAUGUACGAAAUCAUUUUUCAAGUGUUGGAUUAUGACAAAAUCGACGAAUAGGGUUUAACCUCAGAUUUUGACGCGGAUCGGGGUUGAUGAGUUUCGCCUUUAGCGGUGACAACCACCAUUACAACGAGACCUAAUCUAAAUGUUGGGUAUCGCUUGUAAUGGUGGUUGUCGCAACUAAAGGAUUCGCCACUGAAGUCCUAUAUUGUUGUAGUGAUAAAUGUUAAACCUAAACACCAAUUUAAACACACCAACCACUAGAAAUUGGUGGCGACAAGUUCAUGGCAUUAAGAGCGAUAACAAAUGGUGUAUAAAUCCAUUAUGAUCUUCGUUGCGAUUUAACAGAACAUAUUUGGACGGUUAAUGAUUUUGAAGCUCAAUUUUGGAACAAUUUUUUUUUUGAUCCAUCAUGUUAUUAAGUUUUAAGUUUUUAAUUUUUUGAGUUGUUAUGGUUUAGUUUCUUGUUGUGUAAUUUUUAUUUUGAUUUAAUAUAAAAUUUAGUUUUUAAAAAAUUAAUUGCUAAAAAAAGUACUGAUGUUAAAAAAAUGAUGUUAAUCCGCCUAACCUAAAUGUAAAUGGUAUGUUGAAGACGGUGUGUAGCAAAAUCAAAUAUAAGCUGCUGGUUGAUGCAUCGGGUAUUGUAUUACGUGAGGUUGAUAGUUUGAUUUGUUGAAAUUAUCUUUUGUGUGUUUGAGAAUUCUUUUAUGGAAGUCCCUAUAAAAAGGAGUUCAAACUCAAAUGUUGGUUGAAAUAUUGCGAGUACACUUCACUUAAUUUGAUUGCGGUUAGGAAGCAAUUUAAUUUCUCAAAAGAUUAAAUGCCACUAAUAAAUUAAAAAAAUAAACUAAAAAUCAACACCAAAUUAAUGCCAAAGCUUUAAACCAUAUAUUACUAAAUUAAUUCACAUACGCCAUCAAAAAAAAAUUCAUGUCACAAACCCAUACUCAUAAAACUCACUUUCCAGGUACAAAGUUUGUAGCAUAUGACCAUGCAUUGUUUGCAACAGGGUCAGCAAGGUGGUCAGCGAGGUUCUCCAAUGGUCCCUUUCCGGUAACAAUGGCUUGAACAAAGAAUCCAAACAUAGAGAACAUGGCUAGUCUACCGUUCUUGAGCUCCUUCACUUUCAGCUCAGCAAAUGCCUCUGGGUCAUCAGCCAGACCCAAUGGGUCGAAGCUACCACCAGGGUAAAGUGGGUCAACUACCUCACCAAGAGGUCCACCAGCAAUUCUGUAACCUUCAACUGCACCCAUCAAGAUCACUUGGGUAGCCCAGAUGGCUAAAAUGCUUUGUGCAUGGAUCAAACUUGGGUUCCCCAAGUAGUCAAGACCACCCUCACUAAAGAUCUGGGAUCCAGCCUUGAACCAUACAGCCUCACCAAACUUGACACCAUUACGCGCCAAGAGUUCGGGGAAGACGCACCCAAGAGCUCCGAGCAUGGCCCAUCUGCUGUGGAUGACCUCAAGCUCACGGUUCUUGGCGAAUGUUUCAGGAUCAGCAGAGAGCCCAGCAGUGUCCCAACCGUAGUCACCGGGGAACUCACCGGUCAGGUAAGAUGGGGCUUCGCCGGAGAAUGGGCCAAGGUACUUAACACGGUCGGGGCCGUACCAUGGACUUCCUGAUGGUGCGACUUUCUUGACUGCUGUCUUCCUCAUGGAAACCCUUCCAUUUCCGGUGAUUUCUGAACCAGAUGGUGUUAUUUUCACUGCUUGUCCGAUGAAUGAAGAAGAUACAGACAUAGUGGAAGCUGCCAUUCUGUUAAAUUUGGUUGAAAGAUGUUGUGGAGAUAGGAGAGUUUGAGUUAUGAAGAUGGGGAGAUCUGCAAGUUUAUUUAUAAGGUGGUUUUUUGGUCAGAUAGAUAUGAUCGAUGCUUAUCUAGAUACAAUCUUCACCUUCAUUUUGAUUGGCAAACAACAUUCUAGUUUUAUCUAAGGGUCAGUAAUCUGCGUGCUGUGAGUUCUCUGGUCCACCAGAGAUUUUUGAAGGGGCUGCGGUAUAUUCAUGGCUCUGGUUUAUUGAGGGAAUGUAAUGGCUCCCAUUCUCAGCCACAAGCUGUUCUUGGUGGGGUUUUUCAUCUUUAACCAUUUUACAUUUUCACAAAGUUACAUAAAUAGUCAUCAUGCUUUACAAAGUCACCGGUUCAGCAACAAACUUUUUUUCCAUGAUUAAAAAUUCAAAACGGUCCGUAUGGUUUUAAUAUUAUUAGUAAUCAUCUUAACAUUUCUAAUUUUUAAAGACAAAUAUUCAUAUAAAUGGUUAUGUGAUUUUCCAGAAUAUCAAGUGGAGCACAUCAUUUUUUCGGUCUUAUGGAAUGACUAUUUGGUUUCAAUUCCUAUCAUAAUUGAUCUUAGAGCAUCCACAAUAGGGGAGUUUAAUGGAAGAGUUGAAUGAGGUGUCAUGCCUACUUGUCAUUCAAUGGAUACAACUCCACCAUUGUGAAAUGCCACCUUGGCAUUCAAUGAAUUUGGAGUUCAAUGGUCAUUGAACUCUUCAAUGGGAAAAAGGAAAAUCUUUAAAUCUUUAAAUAAAUAUUUUUUAAUAUAUUCCAUUGAACUUGUAGAGUUUAAUGCAUUGUGGGAUAAAAAUGAAAAGAGUUGUAUGGAAUAAUGAAUGAUGACGUGACACUCCAUUGAACUCUAUAGAGUUCAAUGCAUUGUAGAUGCCCUUAGUCCCACAUAAAUAAACUUUUAUACCCUUCUAUAUUAUAAUUAGUUUAUUUAAUAUAUAAAUAGCUAUGUUUUAUAGUUAACAAUAAAUUUUGUUCAUNNNNNNNNNNNNNNNNNNNNNNNNNNNNNNNNNNNNNNNNNNNNNNNNNNNNNNNNNNNNNNNNNNNNNNCUCUCUCUCUCUCUCUCUCUCUCUCCCAUCACACCCUCCUAAUCUUUAUUUCUUUCACUCGAUCGGUCAACCUCUUUUCUUUCUACAUAAAAAUUAAUCCAAAAUGCAGCCUUUUCCCAUACUCUGUGCUUGCACCGCCACUUUACCUUCUUGAAACCAAAUUACUAACCAUACACAAGUCUACAAAUCUACUAAUGUGUCUUCCAUUUCUCAAAAUCGAAAAAUAGAGAAGGUGUAGAACAUUGAGCUCACUUCUGUGCAUCUCCCACCUCUUUUACACAAAUAUGAAAUUAAAAUUGAAGAACAACUUUGUGAAGAACCUAGAUUGUGGAGAUGAUGAUGAAUAAAGUCGAUAGUUGGUGGUGCUCGGUGAUGUUUGAUGUUAGCGGCAGUACACUAGUGUUGUGGUGAUCGCCUGUUCAGUUGGUUAUAUUCUGGUAGGGUGGACGAUGGUGACCGUAGAACAGUUCAUAUAUAUAUNNNNNNNNNNNNNNNNNNNNNNNNNNNNNNNNNNNNNNNNNNNNNNNNNNNNNNNNNNNNNNNNNNNNNNNNNNNNNNNNNNNNNNNNNNNNNNNNNUAUAUAUAUAUAUAUAUAUAUAUGUGUGUGUGUGUGUGUGUGUGUGUGUGUGUGUGUGUGCGCGCGCACACUACAAGAAAUUUAGGUGUUUAUCCACACACGUUAUAUGUGGCUAAAAGACCUUUAUGUGUAGUUAUCUUUAGCUACACACAGAUUAAGUGUCAUAAUGUAUUGACUCAUGCCUAUAGAUAUAUAUCAUUAACUAUACAUUCAUUAUGUGGAAGUAUAGUGCAAUUAGUACACACAUACAUGUGUGGUUAAAACUAGUAAGUAUGUGCAUAUAGAAAGGGAGCUGAUCCGUUCACAACAAUUUUUCUCCAUACACAAUAAUUGAUGCUUUAAAAUGUUGUAUUAUACAACUAUAUAAUGCAUGAAUUGUUGUGUAUGGCAAAAAACUGUUGUGUACGAAUCACUUCCCAUAUAGAAGUACUAAAAAUUGUUUGAGUUGUCAACGAUGUGGCUGAUGACAUGUCAAAUUAUGUGGCAAGCCCACACAAAGUGUUGGUGAUAUGUGUUAUUCGAUAUGUGUGGGUAAUAAUUGUUAUAUGUGUAGGUUAAGAUAAGAUAUAUGAAAUAUAUAAAACACAAUAAAUGAAAUAUAAAAUUUAACAACACAAAUUGUUAUUACUUUUAAUAAGGAGUUAACGAUAUAUAAAACUUCUUUUGGAAUGGAAGUAUGUAGCACCCAAAGUCAGAAAGGCCAAGAAAGGAAAGGAAACCCUAAGUUUAAGGGACGACUCAGCAAGUCCAAGGAGGUACUCGGCGAGUCCGAGCGGGAUCCGGGUCGAGGAGUAAAUGACCGACUCGGCGAGUCGGCCAAGGAGACUCGGUGAGUCUGGUCUGUACGAGGAAAUCCCUAAAUUCGGGACUUGGAGCCUAUUUAAGCGCCUCAUUCUCUUCUCUAGGGUUCCUCUACUGCCUCUCUAACCNCUCAACCCCACCCCCGCCCCGCCAUAUCCAUUGUUGAGCCAAUUAUUGCUUUGAAGAGUGCAUUAAAGCUUGGAGAAGGAAGAAGGACCUUGGAGGUGCAAGAAGGAGCUAUAGAUCUGGGCUUGGGAAGAUAUUUCUGAACAUUUGGAGGUAAUAAACUAGUUCUUGGACUCCUUUGCACCUAGAUCUAUGUGUGAGUUUUGGGGCUUUUGGCCAUGAUUGGUACCCAUUUAAGUUAGAAGCCAGAUCUAAAGUUGCUACUUCGGAUAUAAGCAUAUUAUGGGCUUGUGAAGCAUAAAGUAUCAGCCCUUGAGUUGAUUAUGGAGCCUCUUUGCAUUAAACCCUAUUUUAUGGUGUGUCUAGCCUAGAUCUCCUUCUCUACACGUAAAGUUUGCAACUUUACGUGAGGAAUAGGCUUGGGAAGGGUAGAUCUACAGUUUGGGGUCCAUGCAUGACUCAAAAGUCCUCUACAUGUAUGUAGAUCUGAAUGGACUCGGCGAGUCCUUUGAGUGGACUCGGGGAGUAGCAUGAAGAUUAGGAGGAACUCAACGAGUGGGAUGAACAGCUCAUCGAGUCGGAUGAAGUUGGGCAGGAACUCGGCGAGUUGGAAGAACAACUCGGAGAGUCGGUUGAAGAUUGCCUUGGACUAGGUGAGUCUGUUCUUGGACUCGGCGAGUCAGGUCGCGAAACCCUAAACCCUUCGACUUGAGACUCGAAUCAGUGAGUCGAGUGGAGACUCGGUAAGUUGGACAGGUCAGGACUCGGAAAUCGGUAGACUCGGCGAGUCAUGGACUGACUCGGUGAGUCGAGUCGCGAUUGGAAGGACUUAGAGCAUAUGAACUCGGCGAGUCAAUAGGUAGACUCGGCGAGUAGGGUUGACCUGGAAGAUUGACUUUGAACAGGACUUUGACUUUGACCAGAGUUGACUUAGUUGACUGUUGGGGGUCAGUUAGUCUAAGUGUUUCAUUGAUAUUGGUAGCUCGGGGAGCUAGUGGAGCAGGAGUUCAGAGAGUUUCCGGGCAGCAUCCAGAAGGUUAUCAGCAUGUUCAGCAAGUGCAUGUGAGUUUCCCUUUGUGCCAAUGGGUCUACGGUCACAAUGUCGGCCCAUGUAGUUAUGAGUAGAAGACCCGGGGGUUAGCCCUAGGCACAGUAUGCUAGUAUGAUAUUCAGGACGAGGUCCAAUGAUAGCGGGCGGGUGCCCAAGGAAUGGUUUAUGUGAUAGUUUAUACUUGUUGUAUGUGUGAUACUUGUAUGUGUCUGGUAGGGAGGUGAGUGUGGGCGAGGUCCCGUAUCUCACCAAUAGCAGAGUGUGGAUGGUGUUCCACAUCUCAGUAGCAGCAGAGCAGGGGCGAGGCCCAAGUUAGGGAAGGAGUGAGGGUGGGCUGGGCCCGUACCUCACUAUCAGCAGGAGUAUGGACGGGGUUCCAUGACUCAUCAGUAGCAGGACAAGGGCGGGGCCCAGAGAUAGGCGAGGCCUUAGGACAAGAUCCGUUAGUAUGUGUUUAGCUUAUGUGAUGUGAUGUGAUAUGUUUAUGUGCUAUUAUAUGUUAGUGGGCGAGGCCCUGUGACAGGCGAGGCCUAAGUGAAACAGAUCUGUAUCCGAGCGGGGCUCGAAGCCAGGCGGGGCCUGGAGCGGCGGGGCCGUUGUAGCGGGCGAGGCCCGAGGUAGGGGGGGAGGCCCAGGAUAGCGGGCGUGGCCCAGCGUGUGCAGUAUGUGGUUAUGCAUGGUAUGUGGUAGGGUGGGGAACUCACUAAGCUUCGUGCUUACGGUUUUCAGUUUUGGUUUCAGGUACUUCCGGUAGCGGAGGGAAGAGCUCGGGGGUGAUCGCAUGGCACACACCAUAGAUUAGACAGUCUGGGAAUGUUUUACUCUGACAAUGAACAUGUGUUUUGGAAAAUUAAUACUCUGAUUAUGUUUUGAAUUGGUGACCUUGCUUAAAGAAAUCUUUUAUUAAAAGAAAUUUUUAGUCAUGAAUUUUGGGACGUUACAAGUUGGUAUCAGAGCCUUGGUUUGAGGGAUUCGGGCAUACUCUCGGGUGUGCCUGAACUCAAACUAAGGGGUCGGAUAAAAAGUUUUCAAAAUGAAAAGACAGUUUUCUAAAAAGAGAGUUUUGGGAAAGAAAACAGUUUUAGAAAAGCAAAAAGAAUUCAGAAAGAAAAGAACUUUGAAAAGAAAAAAAUGGUGUGGUGCAUGCAAUCAGCUGGUCUUAAGUAAGUACCCCAAAUUACCCAUACAAGUUUAUGUUAUGAUUAUCAGUUAGUAGAACAGCAUGCUAGAUUAGGACUAAGGAUCUAGGGAGGAUGCCUUAUGUGCCUAUUAUAUGUGCUUUGAGUUGCAUGAUAGUGUUGAUUAGACAGUGGUAGGAUAGCCUGUUUAGGUUAUGCCUGAGUAUAUGAGUUUGUGUUGCAUGCUAGUUCAGAUUCUUGCUAUGUGGAUAUGAUUGCUUAUGUAUGUUAUGGUUAGAUUUUCCCCUUGUCUGAAUGCUGCCUGCUUUGUGCAAUAUGGGAUUCCGAGUGAUGGGAGUAACCAUUAGGUGGAUACGUCACGUCACAUGUGAUCAGGGUUGAAUAAUCUCAGAGUGCUAAAUUUGGCCCUAUUUCGCAGCUCUCGUUUGAGUCCAACCAUUGUAGGGAUGAGUCUUUUACUCGAAGAAUUAUCUGAGCCUUGUCACAUGUGAUGGUGUCCAGUUGAUGGCCAAUUGGCAUCACAAGGAGUCCUUCAGCAGCUGAGGCCUGGUUUGGUGUGAGUCAGAGGUUUCCUUAGGGUAAGCCUAGGAUGAGAUAGUGUUGGGAGCAGUAGUAGUGGAUAAGGGACCUGGUGGAGUCGAAGCAAUUCCNGAGGAAAGUACAGAUAGAUAUGGAUGGUAGUAUGGGCCCGUACUACUGAAAGCAGAGGAUCCGUACUCGAUUCGGGAAAGGCUGAGACAAGACCGAGAACCUAGUAGGGUGAGUGUGUGUCUGGUCUCACAGCAGUGAUAAGUAUUCUGAUAGAGGAUGUAUUAUAUAUUCAGCAUGGUGACAUUGCGAGAGAGACCAGUGGGUGGACCAGGCGCCGGAGAGGGAUCGCUCGGGGUCNAGCAGCUCGAGGAGCGGAUGAGGGAGUUGAUAUCAGCUGAGGUUACGCGCAGUAUUCUAGAUCAGACUCCUGUGAUCUUUGGCACGGUCAAGGAGGGUAUAUUGGAGAUUUUGGAUGAGAGGCUGGGAGCCUUCCGUACCGAGAUGAUGGCAUUGAUGGGAGCACGUACCUUGACAUUUCGAGAGUUCAGGGCUUGCGGGGCACCAGAUUAUCAUGGGGCUAGGGACCCCAUCGCUAGCAGCAGAUGGUUGGUUGAUGUUGCCAAUGCAUUCCGUACGAGCCGGUGUCCUGAGGGGGACAAGGUUAGGCUCGCUUCUUGUCUUCUGAAGAACAGAGCAAGGGAUUGGUGGGAGGAGAUUAGUCAUGCCUUGGGGGAUGAUGUCGCGUUGGAUGCGAUGACUUUGAGCGAUUUCUCGUCCAGGUUCAGGGCGGAGUUUUCGCCGAUUAUUGAGGUGCAGCAGUUGCCACAGGAGUUUCAGGAUUUGACGCAGACCACUGAGACUGUGGCGGAGAUCACCGCCAAGGUCAGGGAGAGGGCUCUUCUUGUACCGCAGUGUGUCGCGGAUGAGGAGAUGAAGAAGGCCCGAUACCAUGAGAUGUUGAGGGAUGAUAUCAGGGUGUUCGUGAUCAGGUCCAGCUGUAAGACGCUAGAAGAUAUGAUUUCUCGAGCUAGAGAGAGGGAAAUUGAUUUGGAGCAGAUCCGGAAGAGGAAGCCGGAUGAGGUUUAGGUAGCCACAGGUUCGGGCAAAAGGCCUAAGGGAUCAGAUUCGAGAUCGAGGGAUUAUCAGGACCGCAGUCGGUGCGGGAAGUGUGGCAGGGCGCACAGGGGUGCGUGUAGGAGUGGUAGCGGUGGUGAUUCUGGCUGCUUCAAGUGCGGUCGGACUGGUCAUUUCAGUAGAGAUUAUACUGUUACCACCACACAGGGAUCAGACUUGAUAUGUUUUCACUGCAAUCAGCGGGGCCACAAGAAGGCCCAGUGCCCCAGUUUGUUUUCAAUAGGACGGGUGAUGACACUUGCCCCUGCAACUUUGAGGAUCACAGACGGCCGUCAGGGCCGUGCAGAGGCGCCUGCGGUAGGAGGCAGGUCUUUUCAGAUGACUACCUUGGAGGCGCGAGCAGCACCGGACGUUGUAGGUAUGCGAUUUUGUUUUCAGUUCUUUUAUUUGUGCAUGAUUAUAUUGUUAUGGUUCUGGAUCAUCAUUGGUUUGAGUAUUUUAUUUUUUGAGCGGUUGAUUGUGAUCGAGUUAUAUGCCAUCUUAAUACCUUGGAUAUUUGAAUGGUAGUUAGGAGAUGUGCUCUAUUAGAGAAGGUUUCAUAGGAUGCAGUAAUUGUAGCAUGCCUGGGAGGGACUUGGUAUGUCUCGCUAGAUCGGAGUUGUAUAAUGUUAGAGAUGGAUUGGUUAGAUCCCUAGCUAUGGUGAGCUUGGGUUCCUCAGCAGCUUGAUUAUGGAAUGGUAGCAAGGAUUGGGAUUCUUUUGAGUAUUGAGCAGCAAGGGGUAAGCAGGAUCGAAGUGGGGGAGAAUCCUCCGAGUGUGCAAAGGUAGGAUCACGCAGACCCAAAAUGAGUGCGCGACCUCCGAGAAGGAAAAGAAGUAGUUCAGCGUUUGAUGGAUUGAGGAUUUCAGGGUUGGGAUUUUGAGAAACUCCCCAUCAGCUAGUGCGUGUGAUGGUGAUGGUUAGUAUGUGGUUGGGAAUUCAGGUUGUGGAUCGCCCGUAGGACUCGAGGGAGUCGGAAUGAGGAUCUUGAGAGCUAAUGGCACAUGGGUGCCUUCGUAUUAGCAGUCAGUGGUAGAAAGUGAUGUAAGACUACGGGGCAGCCGUAGCAUUCACUAACAGUUAGUGGUAGAAAGUGAUGUAAGACUACGGGGCAACUAUAACACUCACUAGUAGUCAGUGGUGGAAGUGUUGUAAGACUACGGGGCAACCAUAGCAUUCACUAGCAGUCAGUGAUGGAUGGUGAUGUAAGACUACUAGUAAGCCGUAGCAUUCCUUAGUAGCUUCGUUAGCGGAGUUGGGGCGAGGCCCUUAUCUCCUAGCGAUCAGAUAGGGAUCAGGAAUGGGUAGUGGAUGAAAGUGAUAGGAAGUUUGCUUGUAUAGCCCUAGAGAGGUGAGACCUUGGGAGAGGCCGCUCCAGGAUAUAGUUGGGUGAGGCCUGUGGGCGAGGCCCGUAUGAGAGUAGCGGUAUAGGUGAGACCUGAGAGUAGGGUUGCUCAGUAGUAUGGCCGGGUGAGACCCGUAGGCGAGGCCCGAGAGAGAGUGGUUAGACAAGUAGGACUAGAAGGAUAGAGGCGGGGGGGACCCGUGGGCGAGGCCCGUGUGUUUUAGCGGCAUAGGGGGGACCUGGUAAGGACCUUAGUGUCAAGAUAAGGGAUCGGGGAUCCAUGGAUUGUAGUGACUGAAUGGCAGAAUAGAUUGCGCAGUUAUAGGUGGUCAAAGUUCCUUCGAAAGUCGCUGGGAGCGACUAGGAGUAGUGUUGGGACUAGCGACCGGUGGGAUCCGGUAAUCCAGAUAUUGGUAGGACGGUAGGGAUUAGGGUGGUCUCAGUUCAUCCGGAAGGCAGAUAAGGAAUAGCAGAAUUUUCAGUCAGUAGUAGUGCGGGUAAGCAGUGUAUGGUGGAAUUCAGUUAGUUGUAUCGAGGGGUGCUCGACACCAAGUUUUGACAGAGAGGAGUGUCAGUGGUUACUGGCGGUGAUGACCUGUACUGGAAGUAGCGGGGGUGAUGGAGUUGGCGAAGGAUAUGACCUUCACAGUGACAGAGGAAAUAGUUGGUUAUGGAGCAUUGCCUUGGGAAGGCAAGGAAUUCGCACAAGGAAAGAAGGGGUGAACCCCUAUAGGUUCAGUACAGUACUCGGUGAGUACCGGAAGGAUUGUCGGUUGAGUAAGUUGUGUUUCCAGGAUGUUCAGGGUCAGGGUGACCUGAGUCUAUUAUCCGCAAGGAAUGAUGUUAGUCAGAAUGACCGGGCGGAAGACCAGCGAAGGUAGGCAGCUGGUGUUGGAAUGAUUAGUUGGGUAUUGAAAGCAUAUCGCAGGCAGUGGCCCAUAGCAAACUUCGAGGAUGAAGUUUAGUUUAAGUGGGGGAGAGUUGUAACACCCAAAGUCAGAAAGGCCAAGAAAGGAAAGGAAACCCUAAGUCUAAGGGAUGACUCAGUAAGUCCAAGGAGGAACUCGGCGAGUCCGAGCGGGAUCCGGGUCGAGGAAUAAGUGAACGACUCGGCGAGUCGGCCAAGGAGACUCGGUGAGUCUGGUCUGUACGAGGAAAUCCCUAAAUUUGGGACUUGGAGCCUAUUUAAGCGCCUCAUUCUCUUCCCUAGGGUUCCUCUACUGCCUCUCUAACCCAGAACACCAAACCCUAGCCGCCAUAUCCGUUGUUGAGCCAAUUAUUGCUUUGAAGAGUGCAUUAAAGCUUGGAGAAGGAAGAAGGGCCUUGGAGGUGCAAGAAGGAGCUAUAGAUCUGGGCUUGGGAAGAUAUUUCUGAACAUUUAAAGGUAAUAAACUAGUUCUUGGAAUCCUUUGCACCAAGAUCUAUGUUGAGUUUUGGGGCUUUUGGCCAUGAUUGGUAUCCAUUUGAGUUAGAAGCCAGAUCUAAAGUUGGAACUUCGGAUCUAAGCAUAUUUUGGCCUUGUGAAGCAUAAAGUAUCAGCCCUUGAGUUGAUUAUGGAGCCUCUUUGCAUUAAACCCUAUUUUAUGGUGUGUUUAGCCUAGAUCUCCUUCUCUACACGUAAAGUUUGCAACUUUACGUGAGGAAUAGGCUUGGGAAGGGUAGAUCUACAGUUUGGGGUCCAUGCAUGACUCAAAAGUCCUCUACAUGUAUGUAGAUCUGAAUGGACUCGACGAUUCCUUUGAGUGGACUCGGCGAGUAGCAUGAAGAUUAGGAGGAAUUUGACGAGUGGGAUAAACAGCUCGUCGAGUCAGAUGAAGUUGGGCAGGAACUCGGCGAGUUGGAAGAACAACUCGGCGAGUCAGUUGAAGAUUGCCUUGGACUUGGCGAGUCUGUUCUUGGACUCGGCGAUUCAGGUCACGAAACCCCAAACCCUUCGAGUUGAGACUCGAAUCAGUGAGUCGAGUGGAGACUCGGUGAGUUGGACAGGUCAGGACUCGGAAAUCGGUAGACUCGGCGAGUCGAGUCGCGAUUGGAAGGACUUUGAGCAUAUGAACUCGGCGAGUCAAUAGGUAGACUCGGCGAGUAGGGUUGACCUAGAAGAUUGACUUUGACCAGGACUUUGACUUUGACCAGAGUUGACUUAGUUGACUGUUGGGGGUCAGUUAGUCUAAGUGUUUCAUUGAUAUUGGUAGCUCGGGGAGCUAGUGGAGCAGGAGUUCAGAGAGUUUCUGGGCAGCAUCCAGAAGGUUAUCAGCAUGUUCAGCAAGUGCAUGUGAGUUUCCCUUUGUGCCAAUGGGUCUACGGUCACAAUGUCGGCCCAUGUAGUUAUGAGUAGNGGAAGGUUGACUUUGACCAGGACUUUGACUUUGACCAGAGUUGACUUAGUUGACUGUUGGGGGUCAGUUAGUCUAAGUGUUUCAUUGAUAUUGGUAGCUCGGGGAGCUAGUGGAGCAGGAGUUCAGAGAGUUUCUGGGCAGCAUCCAGAAGGUUAUCAGCAUGUUCAGCAAGUGCAUGUGAGUUUCCCUUUGUGCCAAUGGGUCUACGGUCACAAUGUCGGCCCAUGUAGUUAUGAGUAGAAGACCCGGGGGUUAGCCCUAGGCACAGUAUGCUAGUAUGAUAUUCGGGACGAGGUCCAAUGAUAGAGGGCGGGUGCCCAAGGAAUGGUUUAUGUGAUAGUUUAUACUUGUUGUCUGUGUGAUACUUGUAUGUGCCUGGUAGGGAGGUGAGUGUGGGCGAGGUCCCGUAUCUCACCAAUAGCAGAGUGUGGAUGGUGUUCCACAUCUCAGUAGCAGCAGAUCAGGGGCGAGGCCCAAGUUAGGGAAGGAGUGAGGGUGGGCUGGGCCCGUACCUCACUAUCAGCAGGAGUAUGGACGGGGUUCCAUGACUCAUCAGUAGCAGGACAAGGGCGGGGCCCAGAGAUAGGCGAGGCCUUAGGACAAGAUCCGUUAGUAUGUGUUUAGCUUAGGUUAUGUGAUGUGAUAUGUUUAUGUGCUAUUAUAUGUUAGUGGGCGAGGCCCUGUGACAGGCGAGGCCUAAGUGAAACAGAUCUGUAUCCGAGCGGGGCUCGAAGCCAGGCGGGGCCUGGAACGGUGAGGCCGUUAUAGCGGGCGAGGCCCGAGGUAGGGGCGAGGCCCAGGUUAGCGGGCGUGGCCCAGUAUGUGCAGUAUAUGGUUAUGCAUGGUAUGUGGUAGGGUGGGGAACUCACUAAGCUUCGUGCUUACGGUUUUCAGUUUUGGUUUCAGGUACUUCCGGUAGCGGAGGGAAGAGCUCGGGGGUGAUCGCAUGACACACACCAUAGAUUAGACAACCUGGGAAUGUUUUACUCUGAUAAUGAACAUGUGUUUUGGAAAAUUAAUACUCUGAUUAUGUUUUGAAUUGGUGACCUUGCUUAAAGAAAUGUUUUAUUAAAAGAAAUUUUUAGUCAUGAAUUUUGGGACGUUACAAAGUACAUUAAUCCUUGGUACAAAUAUUACAUCAACAAAAGUUAUCUCUAAGCUUUCAUGAAAUUGAAGACCUUAUGCCUAACACAACCAUUGUAUCUAGAUAAGAUUUUCCUACUUAUUUACUUUGUUGUGUGCAAAUAUUAAUACACUUGACUUAAGCAUCACCAACAUUUGGACAUAAUUGUUGACGUUGAGGUGGUUGGUUAGAGCAUUAGUCAACUUUAAUAUUCAAGUGAAGACGUAUCAAAUACAAGUGAUUGUAGUUCACUCCUAUAGCAACAAGAGGAGCAGAGGCUUUAAGUAGUUUAUCCAUUUCAACAUGAAACUCUUUUCACACAUGAACGAUCUUAUGACACCUGUCAAAUGCCUCUUAAAAUAUACAAUCAACACUUGGUCAGUAGCUUUCUUCUCUGUGGCCAGAACCAUGACCUCUUCAUUUCCCUAUAUUAAUGAUGACAGGUUCAUAAACUAAAAGGACUGUAAAGUCAAAAUAGUUGACAUUAUGUUGACAUACCUAGUGGUGUGAAGAGAAGAAUAAAUAGAAUGUUUGUAAUAAACCCGCUUUCUUGGGUGAGGAAACCAUGACACUUGUUCAGAAAUGAAACAUCCCAACUAGCACCUAACGACUUUUGCUACAUUGAGAUAUACUAGCAAACAACAUAAGCAAAUCACAUGGAAAAUUAUUACAAUUAAUAAAACUCAUAAAUAAAGUGGUAAAAACAGCCUUGCACACACUCUUGAUUAAAAAAAUAGUUUAUAUUAGUGUAACAUCCCGAUUUCUCGAUAUCAGUUUAAAGUUCUAGAGUCAUGUUUCAAAGACAACUCGACGAGUUGAUAGGCCAACUCGUUGAGUAGUGACCAAAUCAGCCAUGUGGAUUUUAGACCCUACUCGUCGAGUUGGAGGACCCGACUCGACGAGUAGGUGCUGGAAAGUGAAAACCAUAAUUUUUAGGGUUUGCACCCUAUUUAAAGGUCCUUAACUUUCCUCCUCAGCCUCCCUUGUCACCUUCACGUCCAAAAAAACCAACUAGUCUCUAUUCUUGAGUGUGUGAGACCAAAAGAGAGUGUAUUGGAGCAUUCUUAAGGAGUUAAGAGCUUUGAACAAGGGAUAGCUUGUAGAUCCAACUUUUCCAGUGUUGUGACAACAAUAUUGAGUUAUAAAGCUACCACCUUUAUAUUUCAUUGCUUAGAUCUUCCUUUUUGGUAAAGUAAUUGUCAUGUCUAGGGCAUGAUGGGGUCACACUCGGAUUUAAGCUUGCCACAAGGGCAUAGUUUUAGAACUUGACUUCUUAAGGCCUUAUGAACAUAAAUCCUUAAGCUUUAUGAAGCCCUAGCCCUCCUUCAUGUCCAAAACCUUCUCCUAAUGCUAAUUAUGAGUGUUUUAGCUUCAUAGAACCAUGCAUGCAUGUAAAGUUAGCAACUUUAUGUGAUAACAACACCCUAGGAGCAUAGAUCUACUGUUUGGAGCUUUGGAGCAGCUUAAAAUAGUCUGAAUGAGUGAUGGACUGAAGGAGACUCGACGAGUUUCAUGGUUGAAUCGAAGAGUCGGUUGAAGAUUGCCCAUAAUGGUUUUGCAUGGACUCGGCAAGUCAGUAAGAAGACUCGACGAGUCAGUUAGGGUUCUUCCUGACAUUUAGACACGCGUAGACUCGCCGAGUUGGUGGGGAAACUCUGCGAGUUGGCCCAGGGAUUUCACGGUUUUCUGAGUUUUGGAGGAACUCGAUAGGUCAGUAGUUGGACUCGACGAGUUGGGUCAACAUGGACUGUUGACCUUGACUGUUGACUUGGAGUUUGACCAGGGUUAACCAUGUUUGACUUUGGAGGGUAUUUGGUAAAUGGGUAUUUAAGGAAAUGGAUCAUGGGUGGAUAUAGGUAAUGGAGUUUGGGGCAGUAUUUUGAGAGCGUGAUUUCGUGGUUUAGUUCGGCAUUGCAAGGUGAGUUAUCCUCACUAUAUCAACAGGGUCUAAGGCACCAAGGUCAGCCCUUUAUCUGAUUUGUAUUCGGGUAUUUGCUUGAUAUGUUUUUUGAUCUGCUAGAUCUGCAUCCUGGUAGUUAGGAUGGUAUUAUGUUUAGUGACCUGGUUUAGGUCAGUAUCCUGGUAUAUGGGAUGAUGUUAUGUUAGUGACCGGUUAGGUCGGUAUCCUGGUUAUAGGACGGUUGUUGUGUUAGUAAUCAGUUAGUUUGGUAUGAUUAUCUGUUGUAUACAUGCUCGCGUAUAAUAUUUAUGUGCACAUGAUUGUUUGAUUGUUAUGGGGGUUGGGUUGAGGCGGGUCCUGCUUCGUGUUGUAGGCCAACAUACCCAUGGCGGACCGGAAAGACUACAGGCCCAGGAAGGCACAUUGUCCAACCAAUGGCCCAACGAGCGGUCCGGAUAGGCUGAAGGCCCCGAGAGGGUGGUCCAAACGUGCCGAGGCUCGGAGAGUGGGCCAGGUGGACUGAAGGCCCGGUGCGGGCGGUCCAGUCAUACUGUAGACUCAAAGAGUGGACCAGGUGGACUGAAGACCCAGUGCGGGUGGACCAGUCACACAGUAGACUCGGGAUGCAUGGCUGUUCAGUGUUUGUUAUAUGAUAUGAUUAUGGAUUGUAUGAGGUUGGUAUUUUGGGGGUAACUCACUAAGCCUUCGAGCUUACGUUUAUCAAUUUAUGUUUCAGGUACAACGAAUUAACCCAGGAAGACGAAUGUGUGAUCGUACACUUCCCCAUAAUAUGUUUUGGAUUUUCUGGGAUACUCUGAUGUGAAACUAUUUUGGAAACCUUUUUGUAAUAACUAUUGGCAUUUGAAAUGUUUUUAAAAGUUUAAAUUUGGCUUGGAUUUUAUGGGUGUUACAAUUAUUUCAAUUAUCCAAGACGAUUUUAUGUCGAGAUUUUAAGUUAACAUUAAAUCUCAAUUAUUUGUUUGAAUGAUUUUUUUCUUUUAUCUUAGAGAUUUGUUUGAAAUUUAUUAAUUUUUUUUAUAAAUUUGAAUUAAUCAAAGACACAUAUAAAAAUAUCUCAUCAAAUCAAAUAAAUUUAAUAUAUAAAAAAGAUAGUAUCCGAUUAAGUCAAUCUAAAAAUACCAACAUAUAAAUAUAACUCACAAAUCUUGAUGGGAAUAAGAAUCAAACUCAAAAUCAAUCAAAUAAAAAAACCUUUGAUUUGUGUUAUAAGUAUAAAAUAAAUCAGGAUUCCAAAUAAAUAUUACAAUGAAAAAAAACCUAAAAUGUUUGAAACAAAAUAUGAAAUUCGCCAUCACUGUCAAUUUAAAAAAAAAACCUUUAUUAAUACUAAUGGGCUAUUUGGUAGCAUCCUGAUGAAUCAUAUCUGAAUGAUCUAGAUGCCUGGAUGAUCUAGAUGCUCUUUAGGAAUUUCUAUCGGAAUGAUAAAAUAAUGUUUGGUUAGGCAUCUAAAUAUCUGCCUCUUAAUGAGGAAAAUAACCAUUUUAGCCCUCUAAAUUAUUUUUUGAAUACAAAAUAAACAUUAUACAAUAUCCAACAAAUCGGUUAAAACAAAUUGGCUUUUGAUAUUCAGAUUCAUGUGUUUCUUCAUCAACAAUCUCUUUGAAGAGGACUCGUUUUGUUUCUGUUUUUAGAUCAUUAGGCUUUCUUGCUUCUGGAACAUUGAUGGGCCUAUUUUCUUGCUGAAUAUCUUCCAUCACUAGCAACUUCAUCUUGCUCCUAGAUCACAUAUCAACUAAACAAGUUGAAAAAUAACCAAACACAUAUUUUCAUAUAGAACAUUUCAAGCAAACACAAACACAUUUUCAAAAAAAAAAAAACAAAUCAAUUGUUAUUUUCAGAUUUCCAAAGGACAAAAACAACAUCAACUGAACACAUAUAUAGAGCAAGAAGAACAAAGCACAAAAAUCGAUUUCAUACAAAAUCGAGCAGCAAGAACACGAUUGACACCAAUUUCAUGCAAAAUUGCUCAACAAUAACACGAUUGAAGCAACAGAUUCGAGAAAAAAAACCAUACCUGAAAACUUACCGACGACGAGUAGGCGGAGAAGUAGGAGCGUUGUCGAAGGCAUGCAAGGGGAGGCGGCGACGGAGCCAAUAAUUGGAAGUUGUCAACGCUUAAUGAAGAUAAAGAAUGAGGGAUGAAAGGUCGAUCUCUAGAAAGAAGGAGAAGAAAAAAGAGUCGGCCGCAAUUUGUUGUUAGGGCAAUGGUAGAAGAUGAAAAUUUUUUUAUUCAGACUUCUCCUCAUAUCUUAACGAAUCAGAUUAGUUUUAGCUACAUCUGACCGAUUAAGAGCGUAAAAAUGUUUCAACCAAACACUCUGAAUCUUAAUGAUCCAAAUGCAACCUCUUAAUGAGACCAUUAAGAGGCAAAACAAACAGCCCCUAAAUAAAAAAAACAAUAUAGUUUCCAUAAAAAUCGAUUUAAAUAUUAAAGAAGAGAAGAAAUCAGCAUUUAUACGACGUAAUAGUUUUUUAAAAUUAAAAAAAAAAAAUUAUUCAUAUUAUAAGUAUAAAAUACAUUUUAUUCUUAACUCUCAUUUGUAAUUUGCCAUAUGUUUUCAUAAGAGUUUAUGGUAAUAACUUAAAUUUUUAUUUUUCCAUAUACCAUUUUUCAUUUACAAAAUUGUUUGUGCUUAUUUUUUUUUGUUAUAUUAAAAUUUAUUAUAUUUUAUUAUAUAAUAUAUAUCAUAAUUUUUUUCAUUAAUUUACAUAUAUCUUAUUUUUACGUGUUUAUUUGAAACAAUCGUUAUAAUGCAAAAUAAAUACCACUUCUCCAUAUUAAUUAUUAAUUUUUAUUAAAAUACUUUAUUAAUUAUUAUAAUUUUUAUCUAUUGAUAUUCGUUUAAUUUUGUAAGUUUUAUUUUCACAAAGUAUAACCUAAUUAAUUUCUCAUCAUCUAUAGUAAAUGAAAGUUUUUUUUUUCACAUGCAAUCACUAAUUAAUUUUGACACUUGUCAUUUUAUAAUAUUUUUUAAAUAAAUAAUAUCCACAUAUCAAUUUAUGAUUUUUNNNNNNNNNNNNNNNNNNNNNNNNNNNNNNNNNNNNNNNNNNNNNNNNNNNNNNNNNNNNNNNNNNNNNNNNNNNNNNNNNNNNNNNNNNNNNNNNNNNNNNNNNNNNNNNNNNNNNNNNNNNNNNNNNNNNNNNNNNNNNNNNNNNNNNNNNNNNNNNNNNNNNNNNNNNNNNNNNNAUCAAAUGUAAUAAAUAUUAUUUUAAAAUUUCAUUUUAAAAAAUAUUUAUUAUUACAUUUUAAUAUUUUAUAUUCUUUAAUCAACCGUGUAAUACAUUUUAAUACAUAGAUUUUCCAUCUAAUAAAUAAAUAAAAUGUAACCAUUUUAAUCACUAAAUAAUUAAUCAACCAAAGAUUAAAACCCACUGAUAAAAAGGAAACUAAAUCAACACCAAAUUGAAAAUUAAACCAUAUAUUACUAAAUUAAUUCACAGAGAGUUCGACAUCAAUCAAAUAUUAUCUCGCACUCAAAUUCACAAAACUCACUUUCCAGGUACAAAGUUUGUAGCAUAUGACCAUGCAUUGUUUGCAACAGGGUCAGCAAGGUGGUCAGCGAGGUUCUCCAAUGGUCCCUUUCCGGUAACAAUGGCUUGAACAAAGAAUCCAAACAUAGAGAACAUGGCUAGUCUACCGUUCUUGAGCUCCUUCACUUUCAGCUCAGCAAAUGCCUCUGGGUCAUCAGCCAGACCCAAUGGGUCGAAGCUACCACCAGGGUAAAGUGGGUCAACUACCUCACCAAGAGGUCCACCAGCAAUUCUGUAACCUUCAACUGCACCCAUCAAGAUCACUUGGGUAGCCCAGAUGGCUAAAAUGCUUUGUGCAUGGAUCAAACUUGGGUUCCCCAAGUAGUCAAGACCACCCUCACUAAAGAUCUGGGAUCCAGCCUUGAACCAUACAGCCUCACCAAACUUGACACCAUUACGCGCCAAGAGUUCGGGGAAGACGCACCCAAGAGCUCCGAGCAUGGCCCAUCUGCUGUGGAUGACCUCAAGCUCACGGUUCUUGGCGAAUGUUUCAGGAUCAGCAGAGAGCCCAGCAGUGUCCCAACCGUAGUCACCGGGGAACUCACCGGUCAGGUAAGAUGGGGCUUCGCCGGAGAAUGGGCCAAGGUACUUAACACGGUCGGGGCCGUACCAUGGACUUCCUGAUGGUGCGACUUUCUUGACUGCUGUCUUCCUCAUGGAAACCCUUCCAUUUCCGAUUAUUUCUGAACCAGAUGGUGCUGCUUUCACUGCCUGUCCGACGAAAGAAGAAGAUAGAGCCAUGGUGGAAGCUGCCAUUUUUGUGAGAUUUAUUUUGAAGAUGUUGUGAUGGUUAUACUUAUGAAGAUGGGUAGAACUGGAAGUAGAUUUAUAGGGUAGUUUUUGGAUCAGAUAGGUGAUCAAUGCUUAUCUUGAUACAAUCUUUAGCUUCAAUUUGAUUGGCUACAGAGAUUCUUGUGGGUCCGUAAUCUGUGGUGUGAGUUCUCUGGCCCCCCUGAGAUAUUUUGAAGGGGCAGGAUAUUCGUGGCUCUGGUUUAUUGAGCCAAUGACUGGCUUUCACUCACUACUCUUAGUGGUGGUUUUUUAUAAUAUGCUGUAAGCUUGUAACCAUCCAAUCGUCUAAGUUUAUAACUGACCUAUUAUUACAAAUAUAUACUAACCAGGCAAAACUUUUGGUUAUAAAAGUUAAUGUGACCGAGAGACUAACACAAAAAAUUAUAACAGGAGUAGUUAAUAAUCCGCGAUUUACCGCUAUGCCGAGAGCCGUAGGGAGGAUCCACCAUUUACCCCUAAGUGUGCAGAAUGCCUUUUUUUUUUUAGUAUUAAAAUAUCAAGAUCGGACACGCGUUGUAAAAUUCUUGUUCGAAUUGUUUGCAAACUCUUCGUCACAAUAAGGGGAGUUUAAAUAUGCGUUUUAAUAUAAUAACAUUGGCAUUGAUUAAAUGUUAAUAUUCAAUUAUCAUCCCACAUGAGAAUGAAAUAUAUUAAUGAUUUAUUAAUCUAAAAACAUUAUCAUCCCACAUGAGAAUGAAAUAUAUUAAUGAUUUAUUAAUCUAAAAACAAUUUUUUUAUGUCAUUAUUUUUUGGGGUUACAGUCGAGCUUGGAGGAUCUCGACUUUAGGUAUGCCCAUUUUAUUGAGAGGAAUUACUAAUAAAUUUCGGAAAGAGGAAAAAAAUAUGAUCGUGGACAUAUGGUUUAGGAAUAUUUUCAUGUUCGUUUGACACAAGUAAAGUUCUUGAAAUGGGUGCUUCAGUUUGUACGAGCGGCUAACUUGAUAAAGUUCAAAGACAUAAAGGCAAUUUUCAAAAACUCACAUGAUCAGUUAUCGAACAAGCAUGUCGUACUAGUGUGCCCACUACACAUGUUAGUUAGCGGUUUCAAUAGGAAAAGAGCAUCAUUAGCUGUCAAUGAUAAUAUUCUUUCUCUAGUACUCGAUCCUUACGACUUUUAUAUUUAUAUCAUGUAAUUUAGAAUUUAAUUUAAUUUCUAUUAAUCUUCGAUUACAGUUUAUGUGAUCUAAUUCAUGGAUGUUUUGGCACUACAUAUCUCAAUGGAGUAUGCCAGGGAAAUUUUGGUCAUAACAACAGCCUCCAUGGGUUUAUAUAUAUUUUUAAGGUACAUAUAACAUCCUAUUUUUAGGCUUAGAAAUUUUGGUCAUUUAUAGUGAAAAUAAUUUUUUUUAAUAAAAAAAUAAAAAAGGAAAAAUAAAAAUAAAAAGAAUGACUGAAUGAAUACAUGAGCUAAUAAAAGGUUUAGAUCAAAUGUUUAAAGAAAAUAGCGAAUUUAUACUUAAAAUAGGAAAUAAAUAAGGAAGGGUCAGUGGUGGCAACUUUGGAAAACUUGUUUAAUUUAGAUCUAACUAGACAAUUUAUUUGUAAAGAGUUAAAAAUGUAACGAAAUGAUACUUAUAAGCUUAAGAGGGAGUUUUUCAGUUGGAAAUGUUGUUAGAAACCCUUAUUGGAAAAAAUUAGGACAAAAGGACUAAAAUUGUCAAGUUGAUGAAACUUGUGUUAACCUUAAUGUAACGACCCUAAAAUCUUAAAUUAUGUGUUUAAUUACUUUGUAUCAUUUUGUUGAAAAAUGAACAUUAAUGAUGCAAUAAUCAAUUUGUUAGUAAAUUUCAUUGUAUAUCCUUACAUUUAUCAUGUUAUAAUCGAAAAUAUAGGACAUUUCAGCAAAAAAUAACCCUGUAGGAAAGUCGCAUUACACCUCGAUAUAUUCGUGUGGAUAUAAAUUCUAUGAAAAUCCAAAUUUGUAUGACGAAGUUAUAGUCAAUAUAAGUUGGAAGUACAAAUUUUAAUGUUUAAAUGUGUAUGUUNNNNNNNNNNNNNNNNNNNNNNNNNNNNNNNNNNNNNNNNNNNNNNNNNNNNNNNNNNNNNNNUAUAUAUAUAUAUAUAUAACAUCUCAAAACCAUAAUAACCAUAACAUAAAAUCAGAGUUUCAAAACAUAUUAUCUCUCUAAACCAUAACAAUCACUGGAUGAUGUGUAGAGUCACGUGUAACAUCUCGUUUAAAAUUAGAUAAAUAAAAUAAAAUAAGUAAAUAAAUUAGAUAAAAUAAGUAAAUAAAUAAUAAACCCUAAAACCUCAAGAUGAAUUUUAUAUUUUUAUGUUAGCCUUAAAUCCAUAAUAAUUAUCAGAGUAUUAGCGCAAUAAGUUAAAUGUUAUUAAUUCUGGAAAUAGGGGUUUAAAAUGUAAAUUUCGAACUAGUUAAGAAUAGAUUUGUGGAAGCUGGGGAUUGUUUGGUAAUUUGGACUUGAAUUGAAAGGAUUAUUGGAAACAGGUAUAGAGUAAAUUACAGAUUUAAUUUGUAAAGGAAUUGAGAUGGAGGGACUGAAAAUAUAAGAAAGGGACUAAUGUUUGAAGAGAUAGGCAUGACUUAAACCCAUUCCCCCUCCACCCUCUUGCUACUCGGUUGCACCCAUAUAAACCCUAACCCUAAUAUCUUCUCAGCCGCCACCUUAUCCCUCCAUAUCUCCAGUCGCUUCCAUCACCUGUGUCGCCGUCAUGAACCACUGAGCACCACUGCCGCUGCUCCCACUGCCGAUGAAAACGAAGAUCAACGUUUGGACACCGUGACAGUGGGGAAGUAGGAAGAAAGGAAGCUCGUGGUUGUUAUUGCUGUUAUUCUCGGUUAGGGGUCGCAAAACCUUUCUCUUCUCCGUUUCCUUUUGUUGCUACGUUGUCAUCGUCAUCGCUCCAUGUGAGGGUGGUUGUGUUUGUGUUUUGUGAGUGUAGGUGUGUGUUGCUGCUGUGGCAAGUUGGAGAGGUGUGUGUGUCUUUUGUUGGCCAGAAAAACGAAGAGAAUCACCAUGGCAACCAACCAUGGUGGUUUUCACCGUUCUGGAGCCACUAGCCACCACCCUAGGUGGCUGUGUGUGUUGGAUUGACAUUUCUUCUGUACCAGGAUGCUUUUGAUAGUGUUUGGCCUAAAAUUAUAACUACCACCAUUAAAAAGUGGUGGCUGUCGCCUCCUACCGCCAUGGACCGCCGCCGACCACCAAUGCCCGAGGUGGCAGUGGGUGGUGUCUGACUUACUAAACAUUAAAUAACCUAAACAUCUAACCUUAGACCGAGUGGUACGUGUUUGGGUUGGAAACUCUUACUAGGCUUUAGAAAAUCCUAAGGUCAAGAAAACCCUAGUUUUGGAGUUUUGUCGGGACCCGCGUUGAAGUGUUAAUUGAACUUUAAUUAUACUCGAUAAGGCCCUACGAUUAACUUAAUGCAGUAUUGAACUUAAUGAAUUAAGUCCUUAAGGGGUUAUGUGUGGAGCACUAACCCUAGUUAUCAUUUUAUGUGGAAACCCUAAAAAUCAAGAAGCCUUAUUUUCGGCAAUGAUCAGGGCACAUAUUUGGGAUAUUCCUUGGAUUAUUAUUAUACCCGAGAAUGAAUAUGUCAAACCUUAAUCACUCCUACUUUUAUUUGAUUAAGUCCUUAAUGGGUUAAGUGUCCUUACUUAACCCUAAUCGUCAUUUUAUGUGGAACCCUAAUCACUAUUUCAUGUGAGGUAGUCACUGCUGCAAUUGACGAUGACUUGUGAUCGAGUAUUGAAUCAAGUAUCUUCCUGUAGGUGAUUGGAAGUGAGUUGAAGCUGGUAGAGUUCUUCGUUACUACGGUGGUUACCUACUAGCAUAUCGAGCUGAGUUUCACCUCACUGUGUUAGAUCUAUAUGCACAAGAAUCAUUAUUCAGUGACAUUGCUAAUAACAUAUGAUCCUAUAAGGUCACACUUUAAUCAAGUUGGUACUUAUUGAAUAUUUAUUAAGUAUUUUAUAAUUAAUAAUAAAAGUUCAACUCAUGUAUUUAAUUAAAGAAAAUUUAUUGUUUUGUGAAAAUAAUAAUAAAUGAAAGACUAACUANAUAUAUAUAUAUAUAUAUAUAUAUAUAUAUAUAUAUAUAUAUAAGUCAUGUACAAAGUUUUGGACACUUUCACCAAAGAUUGACAAACUAGCUAGUUAAUUAAGUGACUAAACAAUAAACUAGAAAAUCCAAUGGACCAUUUUAGUCCUUAAAACCAUGGGUUAUCAAGGCGAGGAGGUUGAAAGUCAACCUCCAACAUUCUUGUCCCCCAUGUUUGUUCAUUACCUUGCAUGUAAUACACACCAUGAUCAUAUUAUAUAAGGCUAGUUGUUUUAUCACUAUAUGACUAGAAGAAAAAAAUCAUUUACACUUUCAUCCAUAGAAUUGUAGGUUCUCUUGGCUUCUCCCUAUCUCUCACUUGAAGUUAGUUCUUGGUUUUUUAGAGUUCGUCUUUUGUGUCUUCCUUUUACACUUAUUAUCUAUGUGCUUAAGGCUUAAAGAGAAAAAUAUUAUACAAGAAGAAAUCUAGCAAUUUUGGUACCUUAUUCUUGUUGGUGGAUUACUUGUAGAGAAGAUCAGACUUGUUGUUCUUGCCAUCUACUUCAACACCCCAAAUCUAAGAGGGUCCAAAGUCUACGAAGGUUGUAUUUUCUAAACUCCCUAUGGUUGUUAUAAUAUCAUUCUAAGCACUUUAAAAGGAUCCUUGAUGGUUUGUUUUGUUUUCAAAUUUAUAAGAAAUUUUUAAAGCUUCCGUUGCCAGUUUUUGUGAAAAACUAUUUAUUUUAUGCAACAAACCCCUUCAGUUGUAACACUAUAAAUUUUCAAACAAAAUUUCCAUUUUUAAAACACACAAAUCUUAAAAUCACAUUUCUCAAAAAUCACAAAUGUAUCAAUUGUAAGAAUAUCCCAGAACCCUCAAACAUAAUCUCGAACAGGUGUGUACAAUCAAGUCGGCGCCUUACCGUGAUUCUGAGAAGUACCUGAAACACAUAACACACAACAUAGUAAAAACGAAGCUUAGUGAGUUCCCCAAAAUACCACAUACACAAAUAAUAAGCCACUCAUAGCUAUAGCUCGGCAUGGACCUUCCAGUCAUGCGUCUCGGUGAGGACCCUCCGGUCUCACGGCUCGGUGUGGACCCUCCGGUCAUGUGUCUCAGUGAAGACCCUCAGGUUUCACAGCUCGAGUUGGACCCUCCAGUCCUGUAUCUUAGUGAAGACCCUCCAGUCUCACAACUCGGUUUGGACCCUCCGGUCCUAACUCAGUAAGGCACAAAAUAAUAUAGCAUAUAUGACAAAGACAAAAUGCAUAAUAUCACAUAACUCAGUAUAAGCACAUAGGACCAUCCGGUCGAUAACUCAAAUAAGACCCUCUGUUCACAUAGUAUUACCACUCAGGUAAGUAUAGUGAUAAGACUCGUCUCGGAAGUAAGCAAAUAGAUCUAGUACCCCACGAACAGUUUAGACUCCGCCUACAUAAUAUAAUUAUCUCUAAUAAGCAAUUUGUAAUAACCAUUCCGAGAUGUUAAGCUAGCUCCCCCACUAAAUCUCAAAAAUGGUGAAAAUACCAUUUUACCCCUCCAUGGUCUCUAAGGUCCACAGUUGACCAAACCCUAAAACUCAACGUAAGUCAACGCUCAAGUCAACAGUCCAUGUUGACUAAACUCGUCGAAUGCAUCCAUGCGACUCGUUGAGUACCGUCGUUUUCUCUGAAGUAUCGGGAAAAUCCAACUCAACUCGUCGAGUUGUCUCAUCAACUCGCUGAGUUGUAACGCAUUUAGACUAUCAGGGAAAACCCUAGCUGACUAGUCGAGUUGUCUCAUGCACUCGUCGAGUCCCUCUAUACAAAUUCUCAUUUAGACUAUUCUAAGCAGGAAUAAGGUCCCAAACUCUAGAUCUAGCCUCCCAAGGCUGAAAUACCAUGUAAAGCUGCAAGCUUUACGUCUAUGCAUGGAAUCUAGCGCUCAAAAUGCUAAAACAAGCUCUAUAUAGGGUUUAAUGCAUAAAAUCUUGCCACUAGCUUGAUAAAGCUUGGACCUUUGGGCUCAAGGGACCUCAUAUUGUCCAUAUCUGAAGUCUCAAAUUCAUGGCAGGCUCAAACAACUCAAGUACUCAAAGAAGGAUGGAAAAAGGCCCUAAAACUCCUUAGAAAAGAGAUCUAACCAAAUAAUGAUCAAGGUGGUAACUUUUUACCUUCAAACAGAAGCUAGAAAUGAAUAAGCACCAGAUCCAAGAGCUCCCUCUCGUCCCAAGCCUUUUGUUCCUCAAUCUUUCUCCAAAAAUGCACCAAAAUACACAAUAUUAUCCUCUCCUUCUCUCACACAUAGAUAUAGCUCGAUUAGGGUUUCUCUCAGAGUUUUAGGAUGAUAAGGGAGGAUGAAAUGAAGGCUUAAGGUCCUUUAAAUAGGACACAAACCCUGAAAAUUGGGGUUUUCUCACUCUGCUCCUACUCGUCGAGUUGGGGUCCUCCAACUCGUCGAGUAGACUCUAAAAAUCACGCAACCUUUAACUCCUCUACUCGGCGAGUUGGGGCAUCCAACUCGUCGAGUUGCUCUGACAUCAUAAAUGCAAAUUUAUUAAAUGUUAUAUAUGGGAGCAGGAUGGUACAUGUAACGACCCAAUUUUCAUGACCAAAAAUUUUGUUUUAAAAACAUUACUUUAGAAAAUAUUAAAAGCUAAAAACAUUGUCGGAUCAAAUCAUAACACAAGUGAACCAUGUCUAAAAGCCAAUUCAUACAUUCAAUCAAAAUAUCAGAGUACAAAUCCCAGUGAAGCUCGUAAAUGCGGAAACCGGAGAGUGUGUGUGUGACAUGCUGCUACCGCGCCGGCUCCUUUCCCCUAGCUGAGGAGGUACCUGAAACCAAAACUGAAGACUGUAAGCACAAAGCUUAGUGAGUCCCCCCGUCGUACCACAUACCAUACAAACACGUAACAUACAUACUGUCAGGCUAUUCUGGGGUGCCUGACUACCCGGUACGGCCGUUCUGGGGUGCCGUCCUACCCGUGUCAAGCCAUUCUGGGGUGCUGACUACCCGUGUCAAGCCAUUCUGGGGUGCUGACUACCCAUGUCAAGCCAUUCUGGGGUGCUGACUACCCAUCGGUCCUAACAACCGAUCCUCGGGGACUAGUCCCCUCUUACUACCUUUAUCUCAUAUAACAUAACAAGCCAGCAUGCAAUCAUAUCAUCACGUACUGUCAGACAUAUCUGGGGUGUCCGACCUACCCUUCGGUCCUAACAACCGAACUCUACAACUAUCACAUAUACAUAUCAUGCCAGCAUAUAACAUAUCAGGUAGUAGCAAACCUAGAUGAUAUCACAAAGACAAUCAUCUAACAUACAACUCCUACUGGUGGGCCGGCAUUGUGGCCGUAGACCCACCGCUACUGGAAGGUAACUCACCUCGAAGUAGCUGCUGAUCUGAUCGGGAACUGACUGCCUACUGCUGCUGCUGCUGCUCCGGAAAUCCUCCGGCUGCAAUUCCCACAACAUACUCAAUCAAACACUGCUCACUGACCUUUGGGUAAAAUGACCAUUUUACCCCUGAUCAUGCCCUAAGUCAAAGUCAGAGUCAACUUUCAGUUGACCCGACUCGCCGAGUUGGCUUUCCAACUCGCCGAGUCCCUACCCAAACGACUGCCCUGAAACCCGAUCCUACCCGUCGAGUUAGGCGACGACUCGACGGGUUCACCUUCUUAACCAAUAUUCAAGUCCUUCAUUCUACUCGCCGAGUUGUAUGAACAACUCGCCGAGUUCAUCUUCAUCCGAAGAACACUUAUGCUAAGACUCGCCGAGUUGUAUGAACAACUCGCCGAGUCUGUUCUUGAUCUAAGGAGAUUGCCUUGAACUCGCCGAGUCAGGGCAUUGACUCGCCGAGUACCUCCAUAGAUGAGUUAAGCUUCCGACUCACUGAGUCACACCCCGUGACUCACUGCUCACUCGACACUACGAAAAGGGGACAAACUCGGAGACUCGCGAACAGACUCGCCGAGUCAUAUGAACGACUCGCCGAGUCGUUGCCAUGCAUCCACUAAAUACACAGAUUUGCUCGAUUCCAGUCCAUGCCAUUCAUAGAUCUGGGCUUCUAGGACACGAAUCACACGUAAAGUUUCCAACUUUACGUGUGGAUAUUCACCAAUAUGGAUUUUAGGGCUCAAAAUGUCUCAAAAGGGUAGAUCUAGGGCUAACAAGCAACAUGGGGCCAUAAAGCUAACAGAUCUGAGCUCCUGGAGCUCAAUCUUGCCUAGAUCCAGAGGCCAAACAUCUUAUUACGACAUACAAUGCACAUACAAGCUUGGGGAUUUGACCAAGAAGGACCCAAAUGAAGUUUUAAGCAUAGAAUCAAGGGGAAAACGGGUUAUACCUCAAAGGAACUGCUGGAAGAACACAAAUAAUGCCUGGAUGGCUUCCCUUCUUCUGGAUCUACUUCCUUCCUCCUUCCAAACCUUCAAAAACACACACACUAACCUCAAACUCUCAAGGAAUAGCUUAGAACGAGAGAUACAGGGCUUUAAGGGUCAAUGGGGGCCGGCUUGGGGCUGAUAAGUCCUUUAAAUAGGGUGCAAACCCCUGAAACUUAGGGUUUCAUCCAACAGCUAUGACUCGCCGAGUCCAGGAUAUGGACUCGCCGAGUCGCCAACUUAAACGUGUCCCGGGUCCCGCAUCCACUCGGCGAGUCGGACCUAUGACUCGCCGAGUCCAAGGCUAAAAGAAAGGAAAUACUCAAAUAACAUUUACGUACCAGGAACCGGGUGCUACAGUACAUCAGUUGUAUCAAAACCAUCUUUUAAAUGUUAGAAUGAUUUUUAUGUUAUGAUAAUCUUUGGUUUUUGGGAAACAAGCAUGGAUUUCUUUUUAGCUUGCAUCAUGUUAAUGAUUCGACCGAAGUGGCUUGCAUCAUGCUUGCAACUAUGACUCCUGAACUUCAAAAAACUUUUGAGUUUCAUGAAGCAUUUGAAAUGAUUGAACAACUGAGUCAUGUUUCAAGUUCAGGCUAAGCAAGAUAGGUUUGAGACCUUGAAUGCUUUCAUUGGUUGCAAGAUGGACAAAGGAUCUUUUGUGAGGUCACAUGUACUAAAAAUAAAAGCUUAUGUUGACCAACUUUCCUGCCUCAGAUUCUAAUUUGGGGAUGAGCUAAAGACCAAUGUGAUCCUGGCCUCACUGCCUAAGUCAUUCAACCAAUUUUUGAUGAACUUCACAAUGAAUUAUUAGGAGAUGAGCAUUAAUGAGCUUCAUAACUUGCUCAAAAUUGUUGUGAAAAACGUCAAGAAGUCUGGGAACAAUCAAGUGCUGAUGAUUCAUGAGGGUCUAAUCUCUAAGAAGAAAACUAGUACUAAUAUCGGUUAGGGGAAAGGAAAAGCUGCCAAGAAAGGCAAGGGCAAGGGAAAGGGUAAAGGGAAGCCUCCUUCCACUAACCCAACUCCUAAACCCAAGCCUACUGCUAAUGUUGAUUGCUUUAAAUGUAAUGAAAAUGAACAUUGGAAGCGCAACUGUCCCAAAUACCUAUAGGAACUUAAGAAGAUCAAAGCCAACUAGUUUGGCACCUCAGGUAAUAUGUGAUUGAAUUACAUGCAUUCCGUACUAAUUCUUGGGUAUUCUAUACUGGAAGUGGUACUAACAUCUGGAAUGAUUUGCAGGGACUAAGGAAUGUUAGAGAACUAAGAGAUGGCGAUUUGGAACUUCAUGUUGGCAAUGGCAAUCGAGUAGCUAUCAAAGCCAUAGGACAAUAUCAUCUUUUUCUUCCAAAUGUCCUUAAUCUUAUUUUUAACAAUUGUUGUUAUGUACCUAGUAUAACUAGGAAUAUUAUAUCUACUUCUCGCUUGUAUGAACAAGGUUGUCGUUAUAAGUUUGACUUUGAUUUUGAAAACAUUUUCGUGUUUAAGGAUAAUGUGUUCUAUUUUGAGACUAGUCCCACAAAUGGAAUAUACGAAAUCGAUUUAAAUGGUUCAUACACAAAGGAUAAUUCAAUAUUCAACUUAAAUAAGAAAACAAAGUUAGACUCAAAUAAAACUUUUUUUUGGCAUUGUCGACUUGGGCACAUAAGUAAAACUAGCAUUACUAAGCUCCAAAAGGAUGUGAUAUUAGAGUCAACAGGCUCAAAGUCUUUUGAUGUAUGUGAAUCAUGUAUAUGUGGCAAGAUGACCAAAGCUUUGUUUACCGGUGUUGGUGAAAGAGCUUCGGAUCUAUUAGGACUCAUACAUACUGAUUUAUGUGGACCUUUUAGAACAAUGACCAUAAGCGGUGAAAGAUACUUCAUUACACUUAUUGAUGAUUACAGUAGAUUUGGAUAUGUGUAUCUCAUGAAACACAAAUAUGAACAUUCAAUGUCUUCAAGGUUUUCCAAACUGAAGUACAUAAUCAACUUGGUAAAAAUAUUAAACCCAUACGAUCAGAUCGUGGUGGUGAAUAUCUGAGAUAUGAGUUUGAUGAACAUCUGAAGAAUUGCGACAUAGUGUCACAACUCACUCCACCGGGAACACCUCAGCAUAAUGGUGUCUCAGAAAUAAGAAAUCAUACUCUACUUGAUAUGGUGCGAUCAAUGAUGAGUGAUACUUCCCUUCCUCAUUUAUUUUGGGGUUAUGCCCUUGAAACCGCAGUUCGAACUGUAAACAUGGUCCCAACUAAAAAGGUUAGUAAGACUCCCUACAUGUUAUGGCAUGGAAAGGAUCCAUCAGUGUCUUUCUAAAAUAUAUGGGGUUGUGAAGCAUAUGUUAAAAGAGAAACUUCUGACAAGCUUGACCCUAGAUUUCAUAAGUGUAUCUUUGUUGGAUACCCAAAAGAAACCGGGUGUUCAUAGCUCGUAAAACAAUGUUUCAUGUAACUGAAUUUAUCUUGCAUAAAGUAAGUGGGAGCCCCCUUGACCUCGAAGAAAUUCGAGAGAAACAACCUUUAGUUGAAAACGAUAAUCAACAAAGCAUUUUUGAACAUGAACUUAUUAUUCAGAUGCCGGAAACCACACCAAUUGUACGAUGUUCCAGUAGAACUCCUCAUGAACCUGACAAAUUUGGAUUUGUCAUUCCUGAAUAGGAAGUCUUCUUGAUGGAUCAAUAUGAGCCCAUCAACUAAAAGGAUGCUACUGCAGACCCAAAGUCUAACAAAUGGCUUGAAGCCAUGAGAACUAAAAUCCAAUCCAUGAAUGACAAUCAAGUAUGGGACUUGGUUGAUUUACCUCCUAACAGUAGAGCUGUUGGAAGCAAGUGGAUCUUCAAGAAGAAGAUCUACAUGGACGGAAAUGUACUCAAAUUCAAGGUGUUGACUAUGAAGAUACCUUCUCGCCAUUUGCUAAGAUUGAAUCUAUUAGAAUUAUCAUGGCAAUAGCUGCAUAUUAUGACUAUGAGAUUUGGCAAAUGGAUGUCAAAACCACGUUCCUUAACGGAUAUCUUGAGGAAGAUGUUUUUAUGGAACAAUCUGAAGGUAUUGUCAAGCCGGAUAACCUAAAGAAGGUACGUAAACUAAAGAAGUCCAUUUAUGGAUUAAAACAAGCAUCUGGGGUGUGGUAUCAUCGUUUUGAUGAAAAGUGUUGGGUUUUGAGCAUUCUAACACUCCUAUGGUGUACAUGCAACCCUAAAUACCUUGGAUCUAUGUUUUCUCUAUUAUACAUGAAAUAUCAAUUUCCAAGGUAUUUAUCCUAACUAGCAUAUUAUGAAGUACAAGUAAUAUAGAAACUAGUAGAAAUACAUACCUCUUUGUUGGUGCUUGAUUCCAUGGAGCUCAAGAGCCUAGUGCCCCAAAUGUGACACCUCAAAUGGUUCACACAACAUCAUAUGCACGUGGAAUAACUUAGACAGAAAUCAUCACUUCAUGAAAUCGACUUGCCCUCCAUAUACACACAUAGUGGCCGAUUUUUCACAAGAAUAUGAUGCUUAUAUAGUUGUUACAAUUAGGGUAAACCCUAAUUGUCAUGGCUUUCCAUUUCCUUAGAUCCAUGGGUUCAAAUACACCAUGGAGCAUCCAUGGAGUAUCCUAUGGGUUUUAGCCUAACUUAACAAUCCAUGGAGUCUUAGCCCACUAUACAGGUAUGUAUGAUAUACACAACCAACCCAUAUAUUUAAUUAGUCUUCUUUUGAUCACUUAAUUAAUUCUAGAUUAAUUCUUGAUCAAUAUUAAUUAAAUAAUCUUAUUAAUAUAUUAUAACUUAUAAUAUAUUAAUAAACCUUAAGUGUUAUUUCUCUCAUUUUAUUCUAUCCAAAUGCAUGAUGCCAUGCAACCCAAAUGGACUAUGUCGGGUCGGGUCAAGUAUAUACCAAUUAUAGUUAUGGACUUAGACACUAAUCCAACAAUCUCCCACUUGGAUAAGUCUAAUAACUAUCAUUGCAAGUACGGCUUCAC
RNAcentral lists this long non-coding RNA (109340 nucleotides) under Lactuca sativa (garden lettuce). RNAcentral describes it as "long non-coding RNA (LSAT_LNC003408)". The record is from RNAcentral. Lineage: Eukaryota; Viridiplantae; Streptophyta; Magnoliopsida; Asterales; Asteraceae.